This 98227-nucleotide long non-coding RNA is filed under the name Malus domestica (apple). RNAcentral describes it as "long non-coding RNA (MDOM_LNC010908)". The record is from RNAcentral. Lineage: Eukaryota; Viridiplantae; Streptophyta; Magnoliopsida; Rosales; Rosaceae.
CGGGUUCAAUCUUCUGUUUCUGUGUGCAUUAGAUAGCUGGUUGAAUAAUCCACUCUCAUAUCAAUUACAUUUACAUUUACUCUAAUUUAAGCUAUAUUCUUUCUUCCGACAGACUUUGAUCCCCCGCCAAAACCUGGUGGAAGUGGCGUGCCUACAGGUGGUGUGGUUGGAAUUGUGGUCGGAGGAGUCUUCAUUAUACUACUGAUAUUUGGUAUUCUUUGUAAGAGAGGUCUCCCAGGACAACAAAAGACAUUGGAGGAUGGUAAUAAUUUGCAGUUUAUUCUGUUAUACUGGUUUUUCUUUUUGUUUCUCCAUUACUUUUUCUUAUUGAACUUUUUUCGUAACUAAGAACAAUAUUUAUGCUAUUUUGCAUGGUUCUCAUGCAUAUUGACGUGCAUACACAAAGACAGUAAUUAUUUAGAUAUUGAGCUUUUUGGCCCUUUGAUGUUGCUAUAAUAUAUUUAUCGUCCAAACUCAUGAUGCGGAUUGCAGAGUGUCUGCCUAUAGAUCCAAUUACUAGUUAAAUUCUAGAAGCACAAAAUAUUAAGAACUAAGAAUACUAUCGUUCUGAAAGUUUUCUUCGACACAAUUUCUUAUGAGUUUUACUUGUGAUACAGAUUUGAAGGGUGUGGGCUUGCAAACCGGUAAAUUUACCUUAAAGCAACUCAAAGAUGCCACAAGCAACUUUAACAAAGCCAAUAAGAUUGGUGAAGGUGGUUUUGGUUCAGUUUAUAAGGUAUUCUUCGGAGCUGAUAUUUAUUUAUUUAUUACAUUUUUUUCUAAUUUGAUAUUGUCUGUUCAAAUGAAAGUUAAUUUGCUUUAUAUAGUGAGGCGAAUUUGACUAUCUUUCUCAAAUGCAGGGCGUUCUAGCAGAUAACACCGUAAUAGCUGUUAAGCAGCUUUCUUCCAAAUCAAAGCAAGGGAAUCGUGAAUUUGUUAAUGAGAUUGGCAUGAUUUCUGCUCUGCAACACCCUCAUCUUGUCAAGCUCCACGGAUGUUGUGUUGAAGGAAAUCAACUAUUGCUUGUCUAUGAGUACCUGGAAAAUAAUAGCGUCGCUCAUGCUUUGUUUAGUAAAUAUCAAUCUCGCUUGCCAAAAGUUCAUUUCAUUCAUACAAUGGGCAUAAAAGAUCUUAUGCACUAAAAAUGUCCUUUACAACUAACUUUGUUUAAUUUGGCAAAUUGAAGGGGCAAAAGAAAGUCAUUUGCAGUUGGAUUGGCCAACAAGGCACAAGAUUUGUAUUGGUACAGCAAGAGGUUUGGCUUAUCUUCAUGAAGAAUCAAGAUUGAAGGUCGUUCAUAGAGACAUCAAGGCUACUAAUGUUCUGCUUGAUAAAAAUCUUAAACCGAAAAUAUCUGACUUUGGAUUGGCCAAGCUUAAUGAAGAGGAUAAUACACACAUUAGCACCCGUAUUGCUGGAACUUAGUCAGUCCCUACACUUUUAUUUAUCUUCUUAUUCUCUUGUUUUGAUCUUCUUCAACCCUUAAAAAAGAAGAUAGAGCAACGGAAAGUCUCUAACUUACAUAAUUUCCAACCUAACCAAAUCCUUGUUCAAGAAAUUUCAAGGGCAGAUUUGUUCUUUCAAUAUAGUUGGGUUAAUGAUUUGAUUUCAUGAUAUUGCAGUGGAUACAUGGCGCCCGAAUAUGCAAUGCGGGGUUAUCUGACUGAUAAAGCAGAUGUCUAUAGUUUUGGUAUUCUUGUAUUGGAAAUUGUUAGCGGGAGAAACAACACAACUUACCGGAAAAAGGAAGAAAGCUUUUAUCUUCUUGAUUGGGUAGCAUGAAUCUACUACUUCCUAAUUUCACUUCAAAUUUUCUUAAUAUGCCUUAUACGUAUGAAAGUACAUUUGAAUCGAUGAAGUUUAAUCCAAAGACAGAAUUCAUAUUGCCUUUGAUGCUUCCAUUUUUUGUAGGCACGACUUCUAAAAGAUCAGGGGGAUUUGAUGGACCUAGUUGAUCCAAGGUUGGGAUCAGACUUUAAUAAAGAGGAGAUGAUUGUUGCAAUCAAUGUGGCUCUCCUUUGUUGCAAUGUUACUUCGACAGCUAGGCCUACCAUGUCUUCGGUUGUGAGCAUGCUUGAAGGAAAGGUUGUUGUUCAUGAGUUGGUCUCGGAUCCAAAUGCCAAGAGUAUUGAGAUUGAUGCAAUGAGGAAACAUUUUCAAUCUAGUUUUGGAAGGGGCACGGGAGAGAAACAUAUAGAAAUGGAGUCAACUGAAGGGCCAUGGACUGCUUCGUCUGCGUCUGCUCACGAUCUGUAUCCCGUCCAUCCUGAUUCAGAUUACUGGAAGAACAGAAGCGAUAUAACUUGAGCUGCACAGUUAUCAGUUUGACUCAACCUUGGCACACUCAAACACAUCAAAUAAUAAAUCAUUUGUAUUUCCUCUAUAACUAUUUGUUGACGUGAGUCAACCAUAUAGUUUAGGAAUGUGAUCAUGUGAUUGAUUCCUUGUAUAAUUCGGAUUCUUAUUUCCUAUUUUAUGGGACCUCUUGAACAACUAUUUAUUUACCUCCUAGAGAGAAGGAUACGUACAAUUACACCUUAACUUUUAUGUCGGUAUCAGAGGAUGCUUCGGCCCGUCUCUUUCCAAAAACCCUUAAAAACCCCCUCAAGGCAUGCAACUUGCAUCAAGAAUUAUUGCUGGUGUUUGUCACGAACCGAGAAAUCCAACGUCUGUGGCUUUGGAAUAAACAAAGCUACAAAGUCAAAAAAACAUAUCAAAAUAAACCUACAAAUCAGUCCCUGCAAUGACUGAAGACAGAAAAACAAAAACCGGUGAGAUAAUUCCCAUGCAAACUAUGUCUAUUCAAAGUGAGUCUACCAAAAUCAGCGGCCUUCCAUUCAGAUUUAGAUUGAGCGACUCGAAUUUCAAAGUUUAGUCGAAGAUGAUGGAGGUCCAUGCCUCUGGCCUUGGCAAACUGGGGUAUUUGACAGGAAAAACCCCUGUUGUUGCUGAAGACUCGCCUGGAUAUACAAAGUGGGUCAAUGAUCACUGCUAUAGUACGAGGAUGGUUGUUGAAAACCAUGAAGCCCCACCUAUCGAGUCUCUUUAUUGACUUGCCGACAGCCAAAGAUGUGUGGGAAAGUGUAACCCAGAUGUUUUACGACAAUUCAGACGAGUUCCAAUAUUGUGAACUCAGGUGUAGGGCUACGCGAACUAAACAAGACGGUCGUCCAGUAAAUUUGUACUUCACUGAACUCAAAGGAGUAUCGCAAGAUCUUGAUAAAAGGCGCCCUAUCAAGAUGAUAUGCAAAGCAGACCUGCAAAGCCGUAGGGAGGAGCUUUCAAAGGACAGGGUUUACGACUUUGUUGCGGGGUUAGAUCAUGGUUUUGAUCAAGUCAGGAGUGAAAUCCUAAGGAUGAAACCUAUCCCUGGGAUUGAAGAAUGUUUUUAUUUGGUUAGACGUGAAGGCCAGAGACAAACCCCUAUGCUUGAAACAAAAUCUAAAACCACAAGCUCUUCUAUGGUGAUGAUCACCAAGUCCCCAUCAUCAUCAUCCUUUCGUUUAACAUCCGCGGGAACAUCUAGCCCAAAUCGCACCCAAGAAGAUAUUUGACACGCCCCGAUCCCGAUAUUCCUCGAAUACCAAGAUAGGCACGUGCUGGCCGACACCCAAGGGUGACGAAAGCCAUUAAUUGAAUGCAAAUGCUGAGAAUAAGGAAUAGAUAAGGUUUAUAAAUAUAAAAGAAUAAAGAAUAUGCAUUUAAGGAACGUGUUCAGAGCACACAUCUAAUCGAGAAUAUUAGAAGAAUUAACAUAAACAAUUUGAAUGAACACAGAACGGGGUCCUACACCUAGAGGACUCGAAGAUACCGAUGCGGAAGUGUCUGGAUGCCGGGAUUGUACGCCUCGAUUCUAAGUCCUGAAGGGGGCGCAAAACAAACAUGAGUGGACCAAGUUGAUAUAUAUAUAAUAAAACAGUUAUCAACGUACUAACCCCCAGGUUUAUGAAAACAUAUAUAUAAUGAUAAACAUAGGUUUUCCGAAUUCUAGCAUGAUGUGCAGUAUCUCAAAUCAUAAUUCAUAUAUAAUAAUCACUAGUGAAUUGUCCGAUAACCCCCAGGCCCCAUGCCGGCUCCCCGUCUCUGAGCAGACAGUCAGAGGAAAAUACACUUCAGGCCCUAUGCCGGCUCCCCGUCCCUAUGCUAAAUAGCCAGAGGAAACACACUCCAAGCCCUAUGCCAACACCAAACCGUCGCCCGGGACGGACCGGAAUCUAUCCCUACGUCCCAUAGCAGAAAGGACCACUAGGUAAGUACAAAACCAUUGAACAUAUAUAUAUAUUAAAAAACAACUUCAUAGUAUAAAGUCAUCCAUCAUCUAUACUAUAAAGAGGUGUUCGAAACAUGUUCUACAUAUCAUAUCGUCAUCCAUCGGAUAUUCUAUAAGAACAUGGGUUAUAGGAAAAAUAGUAAUAAUUCAAACUAGCCUUAGUAAGCAUGUUAUCUCAAAACGUUUCAUAAAACGUAAUCAUUAAAUCAUGUCUUUCAUGUAUGCAUUUCUACUAUUAAAACAUGCUUUUGAAGGGGUCCACUCACAGUACUUAGCCGCCGAAGAGUCACGCAAACUAACGAACAAGAAAACGUCACCAAUAAUUGCCCCUAAGCACAUAAAGGGUCCAAUUAAUAAAACUCUAUUUUAACAAUUGAAUUGGGAAAACGGACUUCAAAAACGGGUCCAGGACGUCGAAAUUAGCCUAGGAGAGAUCCUGGACGAAAGCCAGAAUGGGCUUGGGGUUUGGGUUUUAAUUAAGCUAAAGGGACUUGGGAAAAGGGCUGAAAGCCCACUUUACAAUUGGCCCUAAGGCCUUACUUCCUAAAACAGAAAAUAAAUAAAAACCUUAAAAAGGUUUCUUGGGUUUGACUAAUGGGCUACGGGCCCUAAAUUCCUAAUGGCCCGAAGGCCUUUAAGGGUCCUAAAACAAUUACAAUUAAAUAAAAUAAUUAAAAGUAAAAUAGGCUAGGGUUUUGGGCUUGGCUCCCCAAACCACACGGGCCUAAGGCCCGCUUAGCAUGGAACCGGCCUGGGAGGCCUGUCUCGCCGGAGCACCACCACCGGAGCUUCACAGCUCCGGCCGACUUCCACACACAACCCUAGACUUCGAUCUAGGUACCAAAACGAAGAGCAAGACGAGGGGAGUAUUUCUAUACCUUCCUUUCGUCGUGGAAUGGACGGAGAUGGCCGGAAAAACCCCCGAGGUCGCCGGAGUUGGGUGUGCUUACACCCGGCUUCGAUUUCGUCCUAUAACCUCCAAAAAUCACGAAUUAACUCCAAUUAAACCUCAAUCUCGCAAGAAUCAAGGACGAAAAGAGAGAAUUAGGGGCUUACCUAACCGGAGAUUGAAAAAUCUCGCCGGAGCUCCUUUUCCGGUUCUCUGGGGUCGCGGGAACGAGAGGGAGAGAGAGAGAGAGCAGGACGCGGUGAUGAAGGGUGAUGGGCUUCCUCGCGCGGGGAGAUGGGUGCGUGCAUGUGUGCGCGGUGCAGAGAAGAGGGAGAGAAGUGAGAGAUGAGAGAGAGCCGAGAGGGAGAGACAGGAAGAAAGAAAAGAAAAACAGAAAAGAAGAAGGAGAAAUUGUUUGGGGUGCUGCCAAGUGGCAGAUUUAGAAAGAAAGGGAUCCAUUUUCAGAUUGGGUAGAUAAAAUGGGACAAAAUUGAUAUAAUUAAAAUGUUUUGGGGUAAUUACAUACAUAUAUUUUUAUAAUUAGAGGGCGGGUGUUACAAUAUUGACAAAGAUAAGCUUCACUGCAACCACUGCAAUGGAACAAGGCACACCGAAGAAACUUGUUUUGAAAUACACACAUACCCAGAAUGGUACUGGGAAAAAAUGAAGCAAUUGAAGGCCAAAAGGAGGAAGUCGGGCCAGGCUGAACUGGUCGAGAGACAGGACCUGGAUCCAACGGGAUUAAAGGCCGAAAUGAAGCAAUUAAUGAGCAAAUGAAUAUCUAAACUGGCCUUAACAAUUUUCAGCAAUAAAAAACAUGUCCCUUUAUCGAAGUUGCAUAAAUUACAGAACCUUGGGAUUAAGGAGGAAUAAAAAGCCCAAAUUCCAAUCAAGAAAAAAAAAAUUGUAUGUAAAUUUAAGCUUUACCUGUAGAUUGGCAGCAGCAAAAGCAUACUGGAUCCAACGGGAGCGAGAACUGGAUGCCCAGCCCUUGACACGUUAUCGAGUGAGUUUAGGGAUCUGGGUUUUGUGUUUGCCGUUGAAUUUUGGAAUGAUCUGGAGAAAUUUGGGUUUUAGGGUUCUAAGGAUUUGAGUGAACCGAAACUGAUUUGGAUGAGCAACUUUUGGUUUCGAUUCGCGGUGGAGCAAGGAUGAAGAGGUGGAGGAGGUAGGAACGAAAGGGUGAGAAAAUUUGGAUAGGCGGGAUUCGGUUUCGUUUCGAAUCAGGACAAGACCACCGAGAAACCUCAUUAGCACUCCACGUGUGCAAAAGGGUUUUUCGUCUUUUUACUGUACCAACUUGAAAUACACAAAGGCAAAUUGAAGAUGGGUAUUUUCGUCUUUACACCGUCGCUUAUGAACAAUGUUUUUUCCAUGGCGCUUUAGUAUAUAUAACUAGCAAAGAAUGUUCAAGAGCAAUGCUGCGGGAUUGAAAAUCAUACAAAAACUUUGUAUCUAGUACUAUUUAUAUACAAAGGAUAAUACUUUAUGUGUAUUACAUACUAUUUACAUACAAAAGAUUUGAUAGUCCUAUUAAAAAUCACACAAAAUCUACAAUCUGACUGAGUUACAUACUAUUUCCAUACAAAAUCUACAAUCUGAUUGAAAUACAUACACUUAAUAUGUGCGUACCCCUCUUGACCUUGAACUCCCCCUACAUAGUUUACAAAAUUUACAGAUUAAAUUAAAUAUAAAAUCCAACUUAUUAAUUAAUUAUCAAAAUCGGAAAAAAAAAAUUAAAAGGGUCAAAAGAGAGAAUAGGAGAGGAGUCAAAUACUAAAAAAUAAAAAGAAAAAAACGAAAAUAAAAUCAAUAAUAAGAUUACAUAAGCACAUUCAAUUUGAUGAUUUGGAAAUUAAAGCAAAGGCCUUUGACCUUCUACGUAGGCCUGGUGUAGACAUUGAAAUUUCGGUGGCAUAAAUGUUAGCCAUUGCAGUAAGAUUACAUUUGUAAACAUUGAAAUUUUGGUGAAAUAAAUGUUGACCAUUGUAUUAAAAUUACAACCUUCAUUCACUUCACCUACAUCAUACACUAAGUUCACCUACAACAUCCACCAAGUUUCACCUACAAACAUCCACCAAGUUUCACCUACAACAUCCACCAAAAUUCACCUACAACAUCCACCAAAACAAAUGGAUGGUGGUGAUUCGUUCCCAAAGCCUAUAAAUAGGCUCAUCCAUCAAAGAAUCAAUAAACCAAUUCACAAAUACAUUUCUCUACUCCCAAAAUGGAAGAGAAUACUCCCCACACAUCCAAAAUCCUUGAAGCUUUGAAACUCUAAAGCUUUCAAGCAUCCAACCUCCCAAAUUCAAGCAAAUCCCGAAGGAUCAAGAAAGCCCUCUUCGUUCUUCGUCAAAUCCUCCUUCAAGAUCAAGCCCUAACGGCCCUUGAAGAAAUUUCUCCUUCAAGAUCAAGCCCCAACGGCCCUUGAAGAACUUCCACCAAUUCAAGAUCAAGUCUCGACGGCCCUUGAAGAAAGUGUUCAACAAAUCCACACAACUGUUCAUCCUAAGAUCAAGCCCCGACGCCCCUUUUUGGAUCAACAACAUCACCAAAUCCACAUAAAAUGUUCAUCCUAAGAUCAAGCCCCAACGGCCAUUUGGAUCAACAACAUCAACAAAUCCACACAACUGUUCAUCCUAAGAUCAAGCCCCAACGGCCCUUUGGAUCAACAACAUCAAUAAAUCCACACAACUGUUCAUCCCAAGAUCAAGCCCCGACGGCCCUUGGAUCAACAAUCAUCCAUCUUCAAGAUCAAGCCCCGACGGCCCUUGGAUCAACCAUCCACCAAUUCAAAAUCAAGCCCCGACGGCCCUUGAAGAAAGCACCAUCGUUCAUCAUCCGUUCAUCCAAGAUCAAGCCCCGACGGCCCUUGGAUCAACAACAUCAACAAAUCCACACAUCCAACCGUUCUUCAAGAUCAAGCCCAAAAGCCCUUGAAGAUCCGUUCAUCACCGUUAUUCAAGAUCAAACCUUAACGGCCCUUGAAGAAACACUCAUCCUCAAGAUCAAGCCCCAAUGGCUCUUUGAAGAUCCGCUCAAAUCCACCUUCAAAGAUCAAGCCCACGGCCCCUUGAAGAAACUUCCAACAGUUCAUCCAAGAUCAAGCCUCGACGGCCCUUGGAUCAACGAAACAUCCAUAAAUCAACACCUUACGGAGAUCGAAUCAGAAGAUCAAAAUUGAGAGAGAUUGUAACCCAAAUCAAAAUCACAAAAUAUUAUUUUGUGCACGUUGUUCUUGUCUUUUUCGUUUCAGGAAUUUUCCGUGUUCACAAAUUGGCACGCCCGGUGGGAUAAUCUCUACCUCUCAUCUCUUUCUCCGUUCAAGGAAUCCAAAUCCACCUUCAAAGAUCAAGCCCACGGCCCCUUGAAGAAACUUCCAACAGUUCAUCCAAGAUCAAGCCUCGACGGCCCUUGGAUCAACGAAACAUCCAUAAAUCAACACCUUACGGAGAUCGAAUCAGAGGAUCAAAAUUGAGAGAGAUUGUAACCCAAAUCAAAAUCACAAAAUAUUAUUUUGUGCACGUUGUUCUUGUCUUUUUCGUUUCAGGAAUUUUCCGUGUUCACAAAUUGGCACGCCCGGUGGGAUAAUCUCUACCUCUCAUCUCUUUCUCCGUUCAAGGAAUCCAAACACACCUCAAAGUCAAUAGCAUCAAGCAAGGGACAAGCCGUUCUCGCAAUCACUGAGGGAAUGAUCCUAAGCACUUCUGCCGCAAAUGGACAAUCCAUUAGCGCCACAACCGCUCCUCAACAUGCCACUUCAAAGUUGGUGCCGCUAAAAGAGCAAAUGGAGCAUCAAAGGUGUGAGUCUGUCAUCAACCUGACCUCGCUGGGGGCACCGAAGCAUGCUGCUGAGGCACACAAGAUGACAUCCCAAAACAACCAACGACGUUCUUCGUCAGCAUCUUGGAUGUCUAAAGGAAAGUCACGUCUAGUGGUUGCACAAGUCAUGACCAUCAGCGUUACCUCCAUCGAAGAACAACUGGCUCAAAUGAAUGAAGCAAUCGCAAGGCUAACCCGAACUGUGGAAGAAACAGACUUGCAAAUCGCUGCACUCGUCAGUCGACUGGAGCCACAGGACGGCGAGAACCCUAACCCAGAAGAUGAGUCUACGGUAGAGAGAAUCGAUGUGAAGCUGGAGCCAGACCAAGAAGCGGCACUCAUGGGAUCUCUUUCUAUCCAGCAGUUGCAAGAGAUGAUUGCCAGCACCGUCAAGGCACAGUUCGAAGGGAGCUCAAAUACCUCUAGGUUGUACUAAAAGCCUUAUUCAAAGAAGAUUGAUGCCCUAAAGAUGCCGAGGGGAUAUCAACCACCAAAGUUCAUGCAGUUUGAUGGAAAAGGAAACCCAAAGCAGCACGUUGCACAUUUCGUCGAAACUUGCAACAAUGCGGGGACGGAGGGAGACUACCUUGCCAAGCAGUUUGUGCGCUCGCUAAAAUGAAAAGCCUUUGAAUGGUACACGGACCUAGAGCCUGAGUCCAUCAACAGCUGGGAACAGUUGGAAAGGGAAUUCCUCAACCGCUUCUACAGCACCCGCCGCACUGUGAGCAUGCUAGAGCUAACGAGCACAAAGCAGUGGAAGGACGAGCCAGUCUAUUUACUACUCCAGCAUAUCAUUCAUGGAAGAUAUGGCGGACACUCUUCAAGCCUUCCUGUUAUCCUCGUGUUAUAAAGAACAGUAGCUCAUCGGGUACAGCUACUUCAAUCGUGAGGCAUGAUGCAUCUCCAAGGUCAGAUUCUCAAUUAUUAAGUUGUUUAUAUUGAUAAUUGAUUUUUUGUGUAGCCGGUGGCCGAUAUUCGACUUUAAUUACAUAUCGAUUCAAUGGCAUUCAUAGAACCCGAUCUAAUAUGUGCGGACCGAAUACUUGCCUUACCCCGCCACAAAGCUGCCGCUCUAUUCCCGAACGAUUAUGGAAAGUUGUGUGAGCAUCGCCCAUAAUUGGGUAAGAAAAUGUACACCUGCAAGUCGCAACCGUGCAGAACGUACAUGAUACAGUACGAUUAUACGACAAAGAGAGUGCUUCGAGAACACAAAAGGUUGAGUGUGUGCGAAGGAAAGUGUCCUCCGUGGAUAUACCAUACUCUCAACGAUUUAUCAGAGACUACAUGACCAGUCAACACAUUUCUGUACCUCGUUCAAAUGAUGACAAGACUCUGCGUACUACUAGCAUCUGAACUAACUUGUUAUGUUAUUAUAUGAUUUGAAGUUUUCUUAGCCGUGUCUUAGGCAUGGAAAGAUCGCAUGUUCUUGGUUUCCUGCUCUCAAAUGCUGAGAUACUCAUGAGAAGCUUCCAUACUUUCUCAAGGUGUUUGUGAGAGAAGGUGUUGUUAUGCCGUGGACCUACUUAUUUACCUGGUACUCCAAAUUCAGUUUUCGCGCUACCAGAAUCUUCUGCUGAAAAGGAGUCGUGAUAUCCUGUUCUCUGAACAUAUCACGUUUUCCUAGAGCGUUAUGUGACGAAGCAAACGAGCAUACUUGCAAAUCCAAGAAUGGGGAAUUCCAUUUGGUUAUCAGAAACUAAGAUGUUCCGCCUUAUCAAUCAGACAGAAAGUAAUGGUUCAUCCUCCAAGCUUCAGUGGAGAUUCCCCCGCCCAUACUGUUAACUCUCAAGCCCUGCGACAAUGGACUGUCAGCGGCAUGUGCUUUAAGCCUUUUAAGACAAUACUUUCCCGUAUUCAGAAGUCCGGGCUGUUGAGUUGGGAGUUUACAGAUGAUCUAUUUACAUUUUGAAAGAGUCUAUUGCAUGAAUGCGAUAUUGCAGGUGUUGAGUGAGAGCCAAAAAACGAAGCAAAGCGGAAGGAUCGAAAGCUUUUGGGGAUCUCGCUUGAGUAUAAGACUAGUUCUUGCAAGUUAAGCCGAGAGAGUAUUCACUGAUUGGUGUCCGGUGUACGUGAGAUUGCUAGCCGAACUAACGCAAGGGUAUGGUGUAUCCACUUUGAGUUCAUUGGUAGAUAGGUGUGGUUUGUUUGCUGCAUUGCUUCAACUAUUUUUUUCUUAUGGGUACUUCUCCAAGGAGAGGAUUUCGUGAAGCCUAAUGCUUCUGCGCCAAGGCUUCAUGAGCAAGCCUGCGAAGAAGAUUUCAAAUCAUUUGUUGCUGUUCUUUUCCUUUCAUUAUUUAAUGAAGGAAUGUAGCAUCCAUAUGGGGGACUGUCCUACAGUAUCAGAAGCUGCCAAAUGCCUUGUCCUCCUCCUAGUAGGCCCGUUCCGGUUUGUAGCAUAGUCAUUCAAUCAGGUCAUCCACUGGUUGAGGGCACGCCUCUCACUCUGGACUUAGCUGAUUAUCCUCAGCCCUUUAACAAGUGUUGCAGUUCUUUGUCGAGCACGAAGCCGAGAAAAGAAUCCGAGACUAUUCUCGAACGUUUGUUUCUGAUCUUGAUCCAUUAGGCAAGUUUAGCUGCUGUAGAAGAGUUUCUUUGGGCUCUCGGGAUCACCAGCCGCGAGGGGAAUCUGGUUCAGAGCCUGCCUGCCCUCUGCUGGAAUAACUCGGGGAAUCUGGAACUCACACCGCACAGGUGCUCGUGCUUCAUCUCUGGUCUACUUCAAAUCUGCUUCACCACUCGUUCGCCAUUCAACCGAUCCAGAAACAUCUGUGAAUAUAGGAGAUACAGCUAGGAGGGAACCACACAAAGGAGUAGCAAGAGCACAAGACUCAUCAAAGGAAGGGUAAGCUGUUUGAAGCCUUCUCAGGAUGAAGCAAGAGGACCUCAAACAGAAAUGCAGCUACGUAGACGGGCACUCUUUUGAUAAAAGAUGUUCAAACUGAAGCCACAAAUGGGGACACUACUCUGAGGUUGUUACUGAUACCAAAGUGACAUGUAAUUAUUAUUAUUAUUAUUAAUUUGUGAAUAUGCGUGUUUGGGUUAUUUUGUUCAUGCUAACAAAGACACUUCUAGUAGUACUUUUUCACUAAGCAAUCUUCUUUCUUGCAUAUCUGUAUGGGUUUUGAUAUGGCAUUGGGGUUCCCGAUAGGAUUCAGUUUACAUUCCCCAAGCUUAUUGUGUUGAUUAUCAAUUAAAAGAUUAAUUCUAACGCGACAGAGAAUCAUGGUUCAUUGUUUCUGAUGGGCUACUUUAUCGACAAGGGUUUAUUGGGUAUUUGGUGAACCAAACCUUGCUAAGGGCAACUUUAAGCGAGAUGGGUAUGUGGGGUAAGCAAGUGGACAUUAACUUUGGUGUCCCUAUAAUGAGUUAGUCCUCCACGCGUUUGCGCUCUUACAGCACUUUAUCUUUUUAAAUUUCUUUAUAUUGGUAAAGUUGGUUGGCAAUUCACUUCUUAGAUAUCUCAUCUCGGUAUGAGGUUUGUUUAAUACCACUAACAACCUCCUCCUUCUAGUGAGACGUAUUUUCUUUUUUCGAAAUUUUUUUUGGUUGAGUAAUCGCUGCCAUAGUCAUCCAAUCUGCCUUUCCAAUACAAUUUCUGUUGAACAGUCAUUGAUGUUGUCUUCUGUAGGAUGAGGAAUCUGAUAAUAUCGCCUGUGAGAUGGGAUGAAUUGUUUAGAAGAUGAUGAAAUAUCUCAGAUGACGAAGAUGUGACCUAUUAUGUAUGUUAUUGGAGUCUUUAAUUUUUAUGUCCUGAACAGGAGUAUUGGAUACUUUGAGUUUUUAUUGUUGCUAUUAUUGGGUACUUUUGGCAGGUUCUAAGAGAUGAUCUCUGGUCCCGCUUUGCAUGCCGGGAUAAAGUUACAACCUGCAUGUCAUAAAUUGGGAGAACUCAACUAAUGAGGAUGCUACAUUCUAAGCUUUCCAGCCAGCAACGUGAACAAUCUACUAACCCCAGCUUGUCUUCAGUAGCCAUCAGUCACUCCGACAAAAGGCUUGUGCUGUGAAAAUCUCAUCAUAGAAGCGCUCAUAAAGCAAUCCAGACGCAUGCUACAGUCGUAAGAGGCUGCCAGAUCUGCUGAGCGAUAGGCUAAUAGUAUUCUGCUUAAUUAGGUUCAAUAUAGACUUGCAUGUGAAUUUUGCUCUUGCCCCAUGGCUGGGCUUGGAUCUGCAGCAGGGGCAUUAGGGGAGGCAGAGAUAGAUCAAGGACGUCCUAUUUUUGUCAUUCUAGUGAUCCUCCUAAGUUGAUUUUUACUUUCUGGAGGGGACAGCUUAAUAGGCUCUGACAUCAUAUCGGCUAUUCAGAGGACAGCUUGUGCAGAUAGGUAGAUGAUGAAAGUAUGCUGGAGUGAUUUUGUAUCAGUAAGGUUGCAGGCUAUGGAGUGAUAUUUACACUAUCACUACCAGGGCCAGAACAUUCCAAAACUGCAGGCAUUCGUUUGUUGAGAAGGGCAUAACCAAGUAUCCAUACCCCAACACCUGCAUCACAUGAUCUGGACAGCUCAAAUUUCUGCGACUUAACAAAUAUUUCUUGCACCUUCACACUUGCAUUCGCAGAUUCCAUUCGAAUUCAAUUGCAUCGAAUGUCACUUGUCUAUGCGCUCCGUAGUAUAUAUAGAAUGCCAGGAGUCGAGAAGGCUUUUUGACAGCUUGGUGAUGGACUCAAUGUCUUAAGCAUAAACACAUACAAUAAUAUGCUACCACAUAGGCAUCUUACGUUCUCCCCCACAUAAUAGAUGCAAUCGGACUGGAGGCGGCUGAGCGCCAUAAACCUGCGUAGGUCAUCUUAGAGGGCUUGGAACUUUAGCACUACCUUCCAAUCCUCGCCUGAAGCUCAGAAUGCAACAGUUUCCGACAUUUUUGCGGAGGUAAAGUUUUGGAAUUGAUGACUUGAGUACAACUUGGUGCUAGAGUUUUUCCUUGAGGAAUUUAUGUAACGAACGCUAAAUCUACGUCGCAAAAUUGAGAUGAUCGCCGGCCAAAAAUUCAUAGCGACACAAUGCCCUUGUCAGUAGUCGUCCAGCCAGUGGGCGCGCGAAGUCUUCACUUCUUGAUCUUUGUGGUUACCAUGUCUUUACACCAUCACAUGAGAUCCUUAUCUUUCAUAUGUUCACCCUUUUGAGACUCGGAACAACGUAUGUCUCAUGAGUUCUCCCAUGCGCAUAUUAAGAGUAUGUCCCUCAGCCGGAACCGUCCCUGUACCUCUCCCUAUAUAUAUUCCGAGCACCAGCAGUGCUGACUGGUCCAUGCACAUUAACAAAAUUUCACAAAUUCUCCUCCCCGCAAUGAACCAGAAUGAGUCUAAACUGGGUGAGCAUAGGCACAAGAAGAAGUCUCACCUUGGGGCUAGCAAAGUCGACGAGUCUAUUUUACACACGAAACCGGAUUUUGGAUUCUGCCUGCCCAAGACAGUUAACUGAGCCAGAGAUGAUUGCAUUCCCCAUCUCCAGAAAAUCUCUGUCGCUGAAGUAAGCAGAUGAAUCUCUUUAUGAACUGGCGUGGGCCACUGAGCCUGAUGGGUCCAACUGCUCUUUAGGCUUUCAGUCAAUCCAGAGCCUAAACAACCUAUAAUGAACCACAAGCUCACUGGUGCGCAGCCCUACCAAGAGUAAACUAGUUGGCAAUUGCGAUAAGAACUGUGCAUAAUUCUUCAAAUGUACGCACAAAAUCAAUCGAAGUGCAAAUGAGGAAUGUUACUGUUAAAACUCUCAUUCAAGAUGGCUCACUCAAAUAUGCAAAUUACGGUCGACAAUAUGCCCUCAAAUGCUGAUCCCUCUUGUGUGUUGUCCCUUCUCCUGGAAUCCGAAAGCCGUUAGUUCGUAGCUCCUGUUAAUUGCCAGUUUUUCCAUACAGAAACAUUCAAGAAGUUCGAAGGUUCAAAGUCAAUAUACACUAAAUUAAGAAUUAGAGAAAAAAUAUAAAGUUUUAUUAGAAUGGAAAGUGCAAUUUCUAGUGUACAAAAAUUAGUAAUAAAUAAUGCACGUGAAAUAGUCACUAUUCGUAAGUUUACAUAUAGAAAAACAGACUAAAUGAAGAACAACCCUACAAUAACCAACCAGAAUUUGUUUAAAGUUUUGCUGGUCAGGCCCAGAUAGAAUAAGUUAAGAGAGAAAUAUAAAGUAGACGCUUUCUUAUUUUAUUUUUUUCUCAUGAUAAUCAAUUUACACCUAAUAAAUUUUAUUAAUGAUAAGUAGAUAUCUUAUAAGAAUAUAAAAUAAAUUUUCAUAUAUCAAAUAUUAACAAUUUUGAGAGGGAUGCUUAAAAAAGAAUUAAACCCAAUUUUCCAUCUCCUGAUCUAUCUUCCCUCCUUCAGGAAUGCGCUUCGACUUAACCACUCAUAUCCCUUGGCUAUCCGUGUCUCUCACAAAUGCAUAGUUGAAGACUUGAGCAAGAGUGAACAUCGUUAUAUAUGAAGCAUACACACUAACUCAGACAGAACUUCCUUCAGUGCUAGACGUGAGAAAUGAAACCCUCAUAUAAUAGUUAGAAUCCAAAAUUAUUACAUUAGGAGCUUUUCAAUUGACGCAGUACGAGCCUAGACGAUGCGGCCAUAUUGGUGCUGAACAAACCUCUGAAAUCAAUGCCCUUGAUUUUGAAGCCCGAAGCUCAAAACUUGGCGGAGUAGCGCAUCAGAUUCCUGCAAUUUCUGAGUGUUAAUACCUCUCGCGUUCUGUCUAUGAGAUUUGUUUAUCCCAACUUAGAUCACCUUGGCGAGCUUUAAUCUGCAGACUAUUAUUGAGUCUUUCCUGCGUUCGACCUCCUCGAAACCUAACUCGCUGGUGUGAAAUACUGCAAUGAUAUUCUUCAAACUGCGAUGCAGCCGCUGAAAUUGAUUCAAAACUUUUGGUACUUAGUUCUUCGGUGCAUUAAUAAUUUGGCUGUAGGGCUUUCAUUAUUUUAGGACUUUCUAUUCCUGCAUCAACGUACUAUCUUGGAGCUCAAUGGGAUGAAUCUCUCGAUAAUAUGGUCGCCUAUCUCUAGAUCCGGACUAUUGGUGUAAAAUACUGAUUUAAUCUCGGGUAAUUUCUAUAGGUUAGUUAGACACAAAUGGUCAAUUACACGUUGGCCAGGACCACGCGCUAGUACAAGCAUACAUUUCAUAAAUUCUCUAAGCCAUGCGUCGAUAGAGUCACCCCAGCACAGUGCAAGUAUCUUAAGGAUAUGAAUACUAAGUAGGCAAUAUGAAAGUGUGAAGCAAUGUGUGGGCCCAUAUGGUUAAUCUGAGAAUAGACAGACUCACCUCAGGUUCACCGAGUUUUCUAAAUCAAAAAUCGGGGUCGGUCGGUAUGUUGUCUUCUAGUAUACUAUUUUCUAAAGCGUUUGUUGAAAUAAAGACACUGACCGGUGAUAUAGCAGGAGCAAUUCAAGAUCUAAUGAAGUGCAGGAAUGAAAUUUUUAACAGAGGCUGACAACUCAGAGAGUGUGAGUCUUUCUUGUAUACAACGAAUACUGAGCGAUUCGACCUUUCUAUAUAAAUGUAUCAAGCCAUUCACGACGGGUGACUCAAAAAGAUGUCGUAAGACCGUCUGGAGCUCCGAGAAUUCGGAUGAUGAGGACAUAUUUCAAAUAAUACUCAAGAGGGCUAAGUCAGGAGAACACUUGAAAAGAAAGUUAUUCUGCACUUUUCCAUGCUAUAUCUGUGCCAACUGCAAGUUUAAACAUUCCCGCUUACAAUACGCGCCCAAAUCAGCUCUGAUGGAAAAAGUUACUUUGCGGGGCACGAAUGUUUGUAAAGAGCUCGCAUGGAAAUUCGCGCAGUGAGUUUAUCGAAGAAGCGAGCGUGUACUUAUUCAUCGCUACGUUCAGCACCUGGUCCAUCUCUGGGCGAAAACUCAUCUUACGGGUAUUUAAUCGAAAGUGAGGCAAUUUAUCAGAGGCGUUUAUGAAGCCUGUCUGUCACAAGCCCAAGUAAGUAAAUCUCAAGAACACGCACCUGGUCGUGCUCAGUCUUUGCAGGUACUGGCGUUCGCUGAGACACACGUGUCCUAACUACACUUUGCUUCAGCUCUUUUAGAUUACAUAUUUGGAGCUAAAAUUGCGUACUUCACUACGGACAGAGAGUUUGUCGGAGGAUUUUUCUGGAUAUGUAAAUAUAAUGAAGUAUAUAUUGAGUCUAAGCUUCCUACGCUCAUCUAUUGGCUGUUUACCGACAAACCGCGUGUGAAAGUAGAUAUAGUUCAGGUUUACCCAAUACCUGAUGUAUUAAAGUAAUGUUUUAUCUCUUUCUCUGUGUUACGUAAGCCUGUUGUCCAACCUCUCUACCCCUCCGUCCAAUAUGCAAUGUCUGAACAUACUAUUACUGCUUAAUCUUCAUAUCUACUCGAGAAUGACGCGCUUUUCUCUCUCCCUCAAAGACGUAUAAAGAACCUUCGUCGGAGUGAUGAUCAGUUCAGUCUUUGAAUCUUUAGUUGUCACUUUGGGUGUCCUCUGCUGCAAAAUACUAUUAUCGACUCACUCUCCUAGCGCACGAGAGGUAUCAUCAGUUGAGAUCAACCAGAGUAUGGUUUAAAUUGCUCUUUCUGAAUCGAGCCAUAAUUCUUACAAUCAUGUCUUUACUCCCUUUCCCAUUCUCUCUGUUUUCCGCUUUUUACUCUUACCCUGUACAAACUUCUCACAGGAUAGAGAGGUCAAAUACAUAUAUGCCAGGAAUACUCUCCCAGCUCUCCAAUAUACUUCGGACGACCAACAUUAUUUCCUGCGUCCACAUGAGUUGGACUAUCUGGACUGUUAUCGAGGUACAAGUCGGGCAAGAGGUGAAAAUUUGUGGAGUAGCAUGCAGACAGUUAAUGUGGAUACAAUCGUAGCAUGACUAUCACGCUAAAAUAAGUAGAAAUUACCACGAAGAAGAUAAUGCUUAUUAACUAUCUAGCGAACAAGCAUUGCCUCAAGCCAUAAGUGAGUGUUUUGAGCUGAGAUCUGUUGAUAUUCUAAUGACUGAAACUUCGCUCUACAUUCUGCUGAGAGGACGAGAGACGAGACCGAACAAUUUGGCAGUGACCUGUUGCACGAUGAAUCAGUCAUAUCAGUCAAAGAGGAGUUCUGAGGCGAAGAACUCAUGCAGGAAGAUGCUUAUGGCAAUGACCAACCAGCCUCGCCAGAAAUGGAGACUCCAUAGAGCGAGGAAAAUGGAUAACAUUCUUAAAGCUAUGGAGGACAUAGUGACAACAACAUAUCAUCGUUCUGUGCUCGAAAUCCUUCAAUGUGCGCGAGUGCGCUUCUCUGUUCAAAGAAUUUGCAAAAGUUGUUCUAGUUCUAUUGAUCAUCAGUGUAGCACAGUUCUUCUUGUGUUUAUAAAUUUGUAGGUUUGCGUCGAUGAUUAGAUAGCUCGGUUUGUGGAACCUCCAACGACUCUCAUGGGGUCGACUUGACUAGGCGUUGUUAAGGGCUGACAGCUUUCUCACCAACCCUUAAUCAAGCCUUAAGAUUUCAAGUCACCAACUGGCAAGAAGAGAGGCCCACGCAUCAAUUCUUGACAUAGAGCCAUCUUACCUUUGACGCACACAAGUCUGGUCUCAUUGACUUGGUGAAUUAAUGCAGAACCUCUGGUUGUAAUCUCACAGACACACUAAUCGGUUCACCGUUUCUUCGUGCCUUGUCUUGUGGCCCUUUCGAUUUAACCUCUCUCAGAAGAAUCAAUGCAUCAGACCCUGAAGAAGUUUCCGGCCAAAUUCAAGAUCAAGCCUCGACGGCCCUUGAGGAAAUCACAAGUCCGAUUCAAGAUCAAGCGUCCACCAUAUUUGAAUCAAAUCCAGUUCAAGAAUAAGCUGUGGAAAAUCAACAAUUGGAGGAAUCCAAAAAAUCCUCCAACCCAGUUCAAGAUCAAAGCUGUGGAAAGUCAACAAAGCGCAAAAACAAAUACGUGCCGAUUCAUCCACUACCAAAACCAAAGAUCAUCUACCACAUAAAGCUCCUUGUGGUCCAAUUUCAACCUUCAAGAUCAAGCCUCGACGGCCCUUGAAGAAAUUUCGAACAAAGUCCAAGAACAAGCCUCAACGGCCCUUGAAGAAAUCUCCAGCCCAAUUCAAGAUCAAGCCUCGAUGGCCCUUGGAUUGACAACUACAUUAACGGACUUCAAAACGCAUCUCCUACAUGUAACAAGCACAUGUAUACAACGCGCCUUGAAGUGGGGGCAUUUGUAGACAUUGAAAUUUCGGUGGCAUAAAUGUUAGCCAUUGCAUUAAGAUUACAUUUGUAAACAUUGAAAUUUUGGUGAAAUAAAUGUUGACCAUUGUAUUAAAAUUACAACCUUCAUUCACUUCACCUCACCUACAUCAUAGUUUCACUACAAGUUCCACAGUUUCACCUACAAACAUCCACCAAGUUUCACCUACAACAUCCACCAAAAUACAAUCACCUACAACAUCCACCAAAACAAAUGGAUGGUGGUGAUUCGUUCCCAAAGCCUAUAAAUAGGCUCAUCCAUCAAAGAAUCAAUAAACCAAUUCACAAAUACAUUUCUCUACUCCCAAAAUGGAAGAGAAUACUCCCCACACAUCCAAAAUCCUUGAAGCUUUGAAACUCUAAAGCUUUCAAGCAUCCAACCUCCCAAAUUCAAGCAAAUCCCGAAGGAUCAAGAAAGCCCUCUUCGUUCUUCGUCAAAUCCUCCUUCAAGAUCAAGCCCUAACGGCCCUUGAAGAAAUUUCUCCUUCAAGAUCAAGCCCCAACGGCCCUUGAAGAACUUCCACCAAUUCAAGAUCAAGUCUCGACGGCCCUUGAAGAAAGUGUUCAACAAAUCCACACAACUGUUCAUCCUAAGAUCAAGCCCCGACGCCCCUUUUGGAUCAACAACAUCACCAAAUCCACAUAAAUGUUCAUCCUAAGAUCAAGCCCCAACGGCCAUUUGGAUCAACAACAUCAACAAAUCCACACAACUGUUCAUCCUAAGAUCAAGCCCCAACGGCCCUUUGGAUCAACAACAUCAAUAAAUCCACACAACUGUUCAUCCCAAGAUCAAGCCCCGACGGCCCUUGGAUCAACAAUCAUCCAUCUUCAAGAUCAAGCCCCGACGGCCCUUGGAUCAACCAUCCACCAAUUCAAGAUCAAGCCCCGACGGCCCUUGAAGAAAGCACCAUCGUUCAUCAUCCGUUCAUCCAAGAUCAAGCCCCGACGGCCCUUGGAUCAACAACAUCAACAAAUCCACACAUCCAACCGUUCUUCAAGAUCAAGCCCAAAAGCCCUUGAAGAUCCGUUCAUCACCGUUAUUCAAGAUCAAACCUUAACGGCCCUUGAAGAAACACUCAUCCUCAAGAUCAAGCCCCAAUGGCUCUUUGAAGAUCCGCUCAAAUCCACCUUCAAAGAUCAAGCCCACGGCCCCUUGAAGAAACUUCCAACAGUUCAUCCAAGAUCAAGCCUCGACGGCCCUUGGAUCAACGAAACAUCCAUAAAUCAACACCUUACGGAGAUCGAAUCAGAUGAUCAAAAUUGAGAGAGAUUGUAACCCAAAUCAAAAUCACAAAAUAUUAUUUUGUGCACGUUGUUCUUGUCUUUUUCGUUUCAGGAAUUUUCCGUGUUCACACCUGGCAAUUCCUGACACGACCUGAUAAUCCGACACGACACGACACAAAAUUAACAGAUGUUCGGGUCGACACGAUAACGAAUCGGGUGUUAUCGGGUAACCCGAUAAGCAACUGUUAAGAUAACGGGUUAGUUCGAGUAUACAUGUGGAUAACACGAUAAGCACCUGUUAAUAAUUUUAUAACGCUAAAAAAUACUAUAAUAAUUAUAUAUAUUAAUUUAACAAUUUUAUACCCCUAAAAAGUUUAAAACUAUAAUAAUUAUAUAUAUAUAUAUUAAAUUAACUAUAAUAAUUAUAUAUACUAUAAUAAUUAUACCCCCAAAAUAUUAACUAAAAUAAUUAUAAUAAUUAUAUAUACUAUAAUAAUUAUACCCCCAAAAUAUUACUAUAAUAAUUAUAUAUAUAUAUAUAUAUAUUAAGUUUUAAAUUAAAUUUAUACCCCUAAAAACUAUAAUAAUUAUACGUACAAAAUAAAUAGAUUUAAAUCUACAUAAUAUAUAUAUAUAUACACACCAUUGAACUUGAUGGAAUACACGAAACUAAUUUCAACGAUCCAACCAUUAAACUUGUUUGUAUAUGCUUCGAGAUCGCAUCAGCAAAAAAUUGCAAAAAACAAACAUUUAGAGAUCAAGUAACGAGACAAAACUUUUCGACGGUUAUAAAACAAAAAAUUACGAUUUAACAGUUAUUUUAACUCCGAUUUUGAUAUUUUUUACAGCUACACUCGUUGACCAUAUAUGAAUACAAUGAAUGAAUUCGAUUUUCAAUUUAAAAUAUUUACACUAGUGGAUACUACAAAAUUUUAUGUUAUACUUAAUGAAAAUAUAAAUAAACUCUAAGUGUUAGUGAAUCUAUCGUUUUGAUGAGAUACAAACUCUAUGAAACUAAUUUUAACGAUCCAACCGUCAAACUUGUUUGUAUAUGCUUCGAGAUCACAUAUGCCAAAAAUCACAAAAAAAAAACAAUCAGAGAUUAAGUAAUGAGACAAAACGUUUCGACGGUUAUAAAACAAAAAAUCACGAUUUAACGGUUAUUUUAACUCCGAUUUUGAUGAUUUUUUACAACGACACUCCUUGACCCUAUACGAAUUCAAUGAAUGAAUUGGAUAUUCAAUUUAAAAUAUUUACACAAGUGGAUAUCACAAAAUCUUAUGUUAUACUUAAUGAAAGUAUAAAUAAAAUCUAACUGUUAGUGAAUCUAUCGUUUUGAUGAGAUAUGAAUUCUAUGAACCUAAUUUUAACAAUCCAACCGUCAAACUUGUUUAUAUAUGCUUCGAGAUCGCAUACGCCAAAAAUUACAAAAAACAAACAUUCAGAGAUCAAGAAAUGAGACAAAACAUUUCGACGGUUAUAAAACAAAAAAUCAUGAUUUAACGGUUAUUUUAACUCCAAUUUUGAUGAUUUUUUACGACUACACUCAUUGACCCUAUAUGAAUACAAUGAAUGAAUUUGAUCGUCAAUUUAAAAUAUUUACACAAGUGGAUACCACAAAAUCUUAUGAUACACUUAAUGAAAGUAUAAAUAAACUCUAAGUGUUAAUGAAUCUAUCGUUUUGAUGGGAUACGAAUUCUAUGAAACUAAUUUUAAAAAUCCAACCGUCAAACUUGUUUGUAUAUGCUUCAAGAUCGCAUACGCCAAAAAUCACAAAAAACAAACAUUCAGAGAUCAAGUAAUGAGACAAAACUUUUCGACGGUUAUAAAACAAAAAAUCAUGAUUUAACGGUUAUUUUAACUCCGAUUUUGAUGAUUUUUUACAACUACAAUCUUUGACCCUGUACGAAUACAAUGAAUGAAUUUGAUCGUCAAUUUAAAAUAUUUACACAAGUGGAUACCACAAAAUCUUAUGUUAUACUUAAUGAAAGUAUAAAUAAACUUUAAGUGUUAGUGAAUCUAUCGUUUUGAUAUGAUACGAAUUCUAUGAAACUAAUUUUAACGAUCCAACCGUCAAACUUGUUUGUAUAUGCUUCAAGAUCGCAUAUGCCAAAAAUCACAAAAAACAAACAUUUAGAAAUCAAGUAAUGAGACAAAACUUUUUCGACGGUUAUAAAACAAAAAAUCAUGAUUUAACGGUUAUUUUAACUCCGAUUUUGAUGAUUUUUUACAACUACACUCCUUGACCCUAUACGAAUACAAUGAAUGAAUUUGAUCGUCAAUUUAAAAUAUUUACACAAGUGGAUACCACAAAAUCUUAUGUUAUACUUAAUGAAAGUAUAAUUAAACUCUAAGUGUUAAUGAAUCUAUCGUUUUGAUGCGAUACGAAUUCUAUGAAACUAAUUUUAACGAACCAACCGUCAAACUUGUUUGAUAUGCUUCGAGAUCGCAUACGCCAAAAAUCACAAAAAACAAACAUUCAGAGAUCAAGAAUUGAGACAAAACUUUUCGACGAUUAUAAAACAAAAAAUCACGAUUUAACGGUUAUUUUAACUCCGAUUUUGAUGAUUUUUUCAACUACACUCCUUGACCCUAUACGAAUACAAUGAAUGAAUUUGAUCAUCAAUUUAAAAUAUUUACACAAGUGGAUACCACAAAAUCUUACGUUAUACUUAAUGAAAGUAUAAAUAAACCCUAAGUGUUAGUGAAUCUAUCGCUUUGAUGGGAUAUGAAUUCUAUGAAACUAAUUUUAACGAUCCAACCGUCAAACUUGUUUGUAUAUGCUUCGAGAUCGCAUAUGCCAAAAAUCACAAAAAACACACAUUCAAAGAUCAAGUAAUGAGACAAAACUUUUCGACGGUUAUAAAACAAAAAAUCACGAUUUAACGGUUAUUUUAACUCUGAUUUUGAUGAUUAUUUACAACUACACUCCUUGACCCUAUACAAAUACAAUGAAUGAAUUUGAUCUUCAAUUUAAAAUAUUUACACAUGUGGAUACCACAAAUCUUAUGUUAUACUUAAUGAAAGUAUAAAUAAACUCUAAGAGCAAGUCCACCCCUAAGGACUUUGCGCCAGCACCCAGCGUAUUUAUCCACCCAAGUGAACAGUAAUAGACCCCAAUGAACAGUAAUAGGCUAAAGCAGCUCCACCCCUAAAAAUGGACUGGCACCCAGCCCAUCUAAUAUUAUAUUAUUUUAUUCAUAUCAAUUAAUAUUUUAUCAUUUAAUUUAUUUUUUCUUCCUUUCUUUGUCCGGUCCUCACCCUUUUAUUCUCUCUCUCUCUCUCUCUCUCUCUCUCUCUCUCUCUCUCUCUCUCUCUCUCUUUUCCAGCUCACUCCCGUGAGCUCUCUCUCUCUCUCUCUCCUUUUUCUCCAUGUUUUCUUCUUCAAAUGAGCACCCAGCACCUGAAAUGGACCUCUUCCCCCAAAAAUGGGAGGUCGCCGUGGAGGUGCUCCACACCAACGGUUGGGAUCUCGCCGGAGCUCCACACAAACGCUCACAGGCACCUCGUUGUCGUCUCCUCACCGGAGCUCGCCAUGGAGGUGCUCCACACCCACGGAGUCGGAUCUCGCCGUGGAGGUGCUCCACACCAACGCUCCUCGAAAAAUGGACCUCCUCCUCCUCCGCAUUACCCGGCUGGCGUCAGCAUGAGUCAGAUGUACCGGGCAACACCUCAGUCAAUUUUGGACUGGGCUACAGACCAGCUUGCGCUGGGUGCCAGUCAAUUGGGUCGGGUGGAGGGGUUUCACAGGGUGCUGGGCAGUUUUUUCAGCUGGGUGCUGGGCAAAAUGCCCUCCGCUGGAACUGCUCUAAGUGUUAGUGAAUCUAUCGUUUUGAUGAGAUACGAAUUCUAUGAAACUAAUUUUAAUGAUCCAACCGUCAAACUUGUUUUUUAUUAGGCUCUUAUUUUCAUGUGUAGAUGUAGUACUUAAAUGACAAAUAUGUUUUAAUGUUUUGAAGUAAUAUUUAUGUGGUCAAACUUGUUUUUUAUUAGGCUCUUAUUUUCGUGUGUAGAUGUAGUACUUAAAUGACAAAUAUGUUUUAAUGUUUUGAAGUAAUAUUUAUGUGGUAAUGUGUGGUAUAUGCAAAUUUAAGAAAAAAAUAUAUUUUUCUUAACGGGUCAUAAAGGGUCGGGUCACUUUACCCAGGGUCGGGUCACUUUACCCGUUGGGUAAAGUGACCCGACCUGUUAAAGACCCGUUAAGAUAACAUGUGUGACACGACACGACCCGUUACGAUGACAGGUGUUAUACGAAAACGACACGAACACGACAGACACGACCCGUUUGCCAGGCCUACUUCUAUGACAUAUUAAAUACCUCCUUGAGCACAAAAAUAGAAAGAAAGGAGGCAUAACAUAUAAUAACUCUAGUUUGGGCUAAUUCAUUCACAUACUAAGUGUCAAAGAGGUUAAUAUAUAUAUAUAUAUAUAUAUAUAUAUAUAUAUAUAUAUAUAUAUAAUAUAUAUUUUUUUUUUUUUUUUUUUUGGUCGAAGAGGUUAAUAUUUUUAUUGGAACUAAGACUUCUGUUUUAAACAAAAGAAGAAAACACGCGGCAGACAGAAAAACAUAAAGUGGAGUACUUACAUCAGGCCAAGAAUCGAUAAUGAGCUCUGCAAUUCAUUGGCUAUAUCUCAUUCCACAUCAACUUGUUCCUUCUCAGUUGGCCGCUAAAACCAACCAUUCCAAUUUAAUUAUAAGAAAUCAAUAGGAAGGCUAGUAAUUUAUUGUCAAAGUUCACCGUAUAUAGAUUUCCUCAGAUAUAAUUCAUCGUAUAUAGAUUUCCUCAGAAAUACGAUAAAAUACAAUUACAUUAAAUCUAAGGGUUGAAUUGCAAACUCAAGCAUUUCCUUGUAAAUAAAAACUAAUAAUAGCUCAUGACAAAAAAUUUACAGAACACAUAAAGUAGAAACAUUAGUACCUAAUUAGACAUGAAAAUUACAGAAUAAGCCGGAUUAAGCCAUCUAAAAACAGAAUAAGCCACUCAGUACUACGAUGGUCUAGUGAUAUUUCUCUUCACUUUGAAGUGAGAUGUCGUAGGUUCGAAUAUCGUGGAUGGUGAAUUCGAUAUCAAAUUAGGCUGUCUAAUGUGUGACUUAGCCAAACUUCCCCUCCCUUGGUAUAAAAAUACGAUGUACUAAAAAAAAAAAAAAAAAAAAAAAACAGAAAAUUAAUACCACCAUAGCGAAAUACUACAGAAUAAUCUAAUUAUUUAUGCAUUUGGCAAGUUAAAAUAAUUAACUAAAAAACUUGGAGCAAAACAACACUUUAAUUCCAUGGUUGGUUUUAUAUAUGUGUUUGGGCCCAAAAUAAUAGUUUGGGUCGAGUUUAGUGACUCUUGGCGUAGUAACCAUUUAGGGUGUGUUUGUUGCACCAAACUAUCUCGAACUGGACUUAGCUCAUGGACUAACCUAGAUUGACUUAGACUAGAUUAAGCUGGACUAACUUAGUGAAGCGUUUGUUGCAGUGUCAGACUAAAAAGCUGGACUAACAAUAAAUUAUUAUUAUAUUCUAAUUUUUUUUAUUAAGAAUAUCAAAAUUAAUAGAUUAAAGAAAGAGGAUAUCUUCUUCGCCAAUUUCCUGGUGUUCCUCAACACCUUGGAAGUUACAAAAUUUCCAAUAACAAAAGGCUUAAACUUGAUCUUGAAGAUAAACCUCCGCUGCUAAAGACCCAAUUCCCAAAUAUUUUGAUUAUUACAAAUAAAAAGUACCCAUAACCCUAAAAAUACCCAAUCUUCAUCCUUCUCACCCUCAGAUUCCUAUACCCAUGGCCAUGUAUGCGACUGAAGAUAGACAUCGACCACUAAAGGCCGUCGUCGAAGAGUCGAGCUUAAUCAUCCAAAGAAAUCGCCAGAUUAUAUAAUCGAUUCGGUUUGAGAUUUGCAUCGAAUGCGACCGCUAAGAGGAACUCAUCAAUUAAUUUCCCAACGAGCUUGAUCUAGCAGAGAGAGGUAAAGACAAAGAUAGAUGAGGAAAGACGAAGAAGGAGGUAGCAAGUGAGGAAAGCGAAGAAGAAGGCAUAUCGUAGUCCUUGGCAAUCCCAUGGUUUAACACGAGACUAUUUUGGACAAUCUAACGAGGCUCGGAGUCCACACGAGUCCGGGCUAGUCUCAUUUAAGUUAGUCCCCAAGCAUACCAAACAUGAGACAAUAAUCCUAGCUAGUCCAGUCCCACUUAAGAAGGUGAAACAAACACACACUUAGAGUCCUAUCAUGGGCCGUCCAAUCAUCAUCGACCGUCUAGUUAAGGUUGGCCGAAUCCCAUUGCAAAGAGGAUUGGUUUAGAUAAAAAGUAUACUCUAAGAGACGAGCGAUAAUAGUGCUAUACAUACCAGGUUGCUCAAACUACUGGUCAAUAAAGGCCACGAAGAUGGACCCGUCGAUCGUUCCCGACAGCCCUCACUUAAGAAUAAUUUGCCACCAGUGAUACAAGCCGAGACAAUAUAUGGUUGGCUCAAAAUGAUUGACUUAAAGAAAAGGGGUGGAUCAACUAGUAGAUCAGACAUAUUUGACCAAGGAGCGGAAACAACAUCUAUUGAUAUGGUCGAGGUUUAGAGAAUGAUUGAUUCGGCCCUAAAAAAAGGGCCGAAGUUUCCGAAAUUCAUUCACCCAUAUCCAGCAUUCGUAGAAAAGUUUGAAUACCCCAAGAGGUUCAAAAUUCCGGAUUUCAACCUUUUCGCCGGAGAGUCAUCCUUAUAGUCGUUAUAACAUGUAGCUCAAUUCACUGCCCAACGUAGGGACGUUAACAAUGAUUUUCAUAAGCUUCGACUGUUCAAUUUCUCAUUAACCGGCUCAGCAUUCGCGUGGUAUAUAAACCUUUCACCUAAUUCCAUCCAAAGCUGGGAGGAAUUAGUUAAGAAAUUUCAUGAGCAGUUCUAUCGACCAGGGAUGGAUGUGUCAGUAUUUUCUCUGGCCAGGAUGGCUCAAGCUUCUGACGAGUCGCCAAUGGAAUACCUUACGAGGUUUAAGUCGGCCAAAAACUGGUGUCGAGUAUCUAUCCCAGAAGUCGAGUUCGUUAGGCUUGCCUUGAAUGACCUAUAUGUGGAAUACAAAAAGAAAUUUUUGAGGGAAAACUUCGAGAUAUGUACGAACUGGCUUAACAUGUUGAGCAAUAUGAUUAUUUGCUACGAGAAUAAAAUAUUUGAAGCCCCUAUCCUGAGGAACAAUCUACAAGAACCCUACGGUCAGUUAUGCAUCGGUCGAAGGCGAAGAAUCCCAAUAUGCCAGUAUUGACGCGGCCGAGAUAGUGAUUGACAAGCCAUACAUAUGCAAAGCAUUGGCUUAUGCUAAUUCCAAGGAUGCCAAAACCCGCUCGGCCUCUGAAGAAGCUACCAUCAAAACAUCGAAAGUUUAUACUGUUGACAUUACCAAGGCCGACGCCAUCUUCAAGUAGCUGUUGCUCGUGAAAAUUAUCAAGCUUCGGUAAGGGCAUAACAUUUUCAAGGCUGAAGAUUUGAAAGGAAAAACAUAUUGCAAGUACCAUGACUUGAACAAACAUACAACAAACAACUACGUCGUAUUUCGUGAUGUCAUCUAGAUCUGGAUCGACAAUGGUAAGCUCAAGUUCCCCGAGAAACAAAUGGGCGCUGACACCGAUCAUUUUCCUACGGUGACAGUAAACAUGGUAGAUGUUCAUCUACCGAGGGAUAAAGGAAAAUGAAAAGCCGAGUUCGUUCCAAUGCAAUUCAUCCCAAAGCAGAACUCUCAACCACGAUUGAAGAUUGAUUUAUUUUCAAACGAGUACCCCAAGAUUUGAUUGGACCAACUAUUAUCGAGUCAAUGUCGGACUCCAGCACUGAGGAAACCGACGAGCCGAUAAAUCUUAUGUAGUCGGUGUAAAACAAAUGUCAUCUUAACUGAGCCGAAGAAAAAGCUAUUUCGAACUAAAAGGUCACGACAGGCAUCCACAACUGCAACACCAUCCCAAAAGGUACUUGGGGUAGGACAACACUAGAAAGUUUUGAUAGGCUCGGCCCGCAGGUACAAGACAAGAUGCCAUCUUCGGCCAGACGACACCUUGAUUUCAACGUGCAGUUUUACAACGAGGAUUAUUAUACGUGUAACUCUGGUAAUUCAAGUUCACCUGCGAACCAGUGUAUCAUCAGACCUCCUGAGCCACGUGAUCAACACUGGUAUACUUAUAACUCCCCUACCAGUGUAUACAUUGCGUUGUCCAAAUCGUUAAAACGUCGGAGCCAAAGAAUAGAUUGUAUAGCCCGCCGACGAGCAACUUAGGAUACCUCGGUUACCAAGUGGAAGCCGAAGGAAACGACCAAUAAUAAAGAUGACCGAUAACCUCCUGCGAUCAUGAUCGAGUUGCUCCAAGGGAAGAAAGUGAUUGAUCGUGACUUUGAAACCACGAUCGAAGAAUCCAAAAAGUGAAUCAAACUCCUCAUUCAACCUGAGGAAAUAGAAGCUCGCCUCGAGCACUUCCGGAAUGAGAUUAAGAGCAAACUUCCCCUGCUAUCUACACAAGAACCGUUGAUCAGAGUUAGAUAGAAUCUCCACCCACCAUUUCUUAGUGAAACUUUAGAAUACAUGCGAGAGUUUCACAAGAAGCAUUCGGCAAAUGAUUUAUACGGCUUGCCGAAAGCAUGCCAAGAUACUCUUGAUCUUGUUCUAACUUGCCCCGAUGUUGAAUGAAUCAUCCAAAAGACCUCAGAUCCGGGGAUGAAAGCUAGGUUCCAACAUAUACGAGAGCCUUGAGUUUUCGACUUCGAGGUAGAUCCAUAUAUUGAUAUUGACGCUGCCGAACUUCCUCUUUCGAUGACCUUCAAUAUUUACGAUACUAUUUCAAAGUCUUUUCAGAUGUUUCUCUCUUCGACCUUACUGUCGAUGAAAAGGAAUGCGUAGCACAAUUAGAUGCUUACCUUGACACGAGAGAUACUCGCAUCACAUAUCAGGAGCAAACUCAUAUGUCGUCACAAGACCAAAACCCAGUUUUAACACUGAACGAACCUGAGGUCAACAUGCAGAAUGAGAAGACUCUAGUGAACAUACCGCAUGAGCAUACCCCGGCGUCAGCUGAAAAAAGCAAGCAAAUACUGCCCAUACGUAGGACACCUCACCCGAAAGUCCAGAAGAAGAAGAUCAUGACCCGAUAGGUCAUUCGGUCAUCGACAACAGGGAAAUCAGCAUGGUCUAUGUUUUACCUACCGAGUUCCAACCAACCACAUCCCAACCAAAUUUCCUGGACAGCAACGUGGUUGCCGAGGAAGCCACGCAAGUUGAUUUUAUGGUCGCCGAAGAGAUUUAGCAAGCAACAAAAGAAGAUAAACUUAAAACAGUUUUUGCCGAAUUGUUUCCUCACUUUUCAUCAGUUAAUCUCCAUCAUCUUAAGCCGUUAUAUGUUAUGGCUCAUAUUGAAGGAUAUCCGGUCUUCAAAAUUUUCAUCGACUAUGGAGCAACGGUCAACAUCAUGCCUGUUGUUAUCAUGAACACAUUACGUCGUUCCAACGACGAACUUAUUCCAUCAGGGGUCACCAUGAGCAGCUUCGUCGGUGACAAAUCCCAGACCAAAUGAGUGCUUCCGUUGGAGGUAAUUAUCGUAGGUCGUAAUCACAUGACUGUAAUUUUCAUAGUCGAUUCAAAGACAGGGUAUAAUGCAUUUCUUGAUCAUGACUGGAUCUAUCAAAUGAGCUGCAUCCCCUCGUUAUUAUACUAGGUCAUUAUCUUUUGAGACGGCAAAUCGAUCUUAGUUCAUCUAGCCGACAAUUAGCCAUUCGAAGCAAAUAUGAUUCAAGCUCGUUAUUAUGACGAUCACGUCGGCUACAUCACCCUGCAAGCGUUUGAUGAGGAAUGACGGUCGACUUAGAUCUCAGUUCAGAAAGCCAUCGAGGUAAGCGCCGAGAUUGUUCAUUAAGAUUCGGCGAAACUAGGGUUGGCCGACCUAGUUGCCGAUCCUGAUGUCUGGUACCAAACUAGAUAGAUGCUGGGCCAUGGUUUCAUCCAUCAUAGAACGACUACUGGCGCAUUGGUAUGCUAUUUCUAGGUAGCUAAAUUCGGGUGUGAACUUGGUAGAGUUUCUCGCCGAAGGAAACAACAGUCCAGUUUUAUCACUUGACAAGAUUCAAGCUGCCAUGGCCGAGCUCGAAGACAGUCGGGCCCAAGUCAAAGAACCUUUAGAGGAAGUAAAUGUCGAAACGGCCGAAAACCCACGGCCUUUGUUUAUUAGUGCUUUGUUACCCCAACCUAUGAAAACUGCACUUUGUAAUUUACUCAAGGAAUUUAAAGAUUGUUUUGCUUGAGUUACCAUAAGAUGCCUAGUUUAGACCGAACGUUCAUCUAGCACGAAUUACGCAUCAAACCUGGUUGUAAACCGUUCCUCCAACCCCUCCCCCCCCCCCCCGACGAUUCUCGACCGAAGUACAACUUGGCAUAAAAGAUGAACUCGUUCGACUUUUAAAAGCUGGGUUUAUCCGGACAACUCGAUACAUUGAAUGGCUGGCGACCAUCGUCCUAUUUUUACAGAAAAGUGGUGCUCUACAUAUUUGUAUCAAUUUUUGAAAUUUGAAUUUGGCAACCCCUAAAGACGAGUAUACAAUGCCAAUUUUAGAUUUGUUAAUCGAAGUAGUAGUACACCAUGAGAUAUUAUCCUUCAUGAAUGGUCAUGCUGGUUACAACCAGAUUUUCAUUGCUGAGGCCGACGUCUAUAAAAUUACUUUUCGUUGCCCAUGGGCACUCGGGACUUACGAAUGGGUCGUCAUGCCAUUUGACUUGAAAAACACUGGUGCCAUAUGCCAACGUGCUAUGAAUACGAUUUUUCAUGUUUUAAUUGGUACCAUCAUCGAAGUCUAUUUUGAUGAUGUUGUAGUUAAAUCAAAACAUCGCCGAACACAUUUAGAUGAUCUUCGGCAGGUUUUCCUUCAAAUGCGCCAACAUAACCUUAAAAUGAAUCCUGCCAAAUAAGCAUUUGGUGUAUCGGUCGGCAACUUUUUAGGUUUUCUUGUACAUCAUCGUGGCAUUGAAGUGGACACAAAUAAAGCUCGGGUGAUCAUCGAUGCUCCACCUCCGACAACAAAGAAACAAUAACAAUCACUACUCGAUAAAGUCAAUUUCCUCUGCCGUUUCAUUUCUAACUCGGCAGGGAAGAUGAAAGCUUUCUCCACGCUCUUGAAACUUAUAGAUUCGGACAAAUUCGAAUGGCGUGAGGAGCACCAAGAUGCUUUCACGAAGACAGCCAACGGAUUCCUCGGCGGCCAAAAUAUACAACUUGAGUGAUUUACCGCGCCGAGGUGGCACAAUGACAUGUGGGUUAGUGAGGGAGACCCUAAUUUGUUUACUUUUAUUAAUUAAAUUCGUUUUUAAUUUAAGUAGGUUAUAAACUCAAUCAUCUCAAUUUCUACUUUACAAUAAUUAAUUGGAAUUUGGUUUGUUUCGAAUUAUUUAAUAAUUCCUGUGGAGAACGACCUUGCGAGAUCCGUUUAUACUACAAUAACUUUGUCAUUCUUACAAGUAUUAUAGGAGUUUUUAGCCCGUUUACGUGUGUAGUAAAAUCCGUAUCACCUUUCUUCAGACAGACUUUGAUCCCCCGCCAAAACCUGUAAGUGACACAUCAACUGGUAGAAGUGGCGUGCCUAUAGGUACGGUGGUUGGAAUUGUGGUUGGGGGAGUCUUAAUUAUACUACUGAUAUUUGGUGUUCAUUGGAAGAGAGGCCUCUUGGGGCAACAAAAGACAUUGGAGGAUGGUAUUAAUUUGCAGUUUAUUCUGUUAUACUGGUUUUUCCUUUUUGUUUCUCCAUUACUUUUUCUCAUCGACCUUUUUUCGUAACUAAUUAAGUACAACAUUUAUGCUAUUUUGCAUGGUUCUCCUGCAUAUUGACGUGCACUACAAAGACAGUAAUUAUUUAGAUAUUGAGCUUUCCGGCACUUUGAUGUUGCUGUAAUAUAUUUAUCUUCCAAACUCAUGAUGCAAAGUGUCUGCCUUACUUGUUAAAUUCUAGAAUCAGGCACAAAAUAUUAAGAACUAAGAAUGCUGUCGUUCUGAAAGUUUUCUUAAGACACAAUUUCUUAUGAGUUUUACUUGUUAUAUAGAUUUGAAGGGUGUGGACCUGCAAACUGGUAAAUUUACCUUCAAGCAACUCAAAGAUGCCACAAGCAACUUUAAUAGAGGCAAUAACUAGGUCUGGCAAACGGAUCGUGUCAAUCGUGUUCGUGUAACAUCUGUUAUCUUAACGGGUCGUGUCGUGUCACACCUGUUAUUUUAACGGGUCCUCAACAGGUCGGGUCACAAAACGCUUACAUUUUGCAUAUCCUUGCACAUUUAAAGUGACCCGACCCGUUAUGACCCGUUAAGAAAAAUAUUUUUUUUUCUUAAAUUUGCACAUACCACACAUUGUCACAUAAAUAUUACUUCAAAACAUUAAAACACAUUUGUCGCUUAAGUACUACAUCUACACUCGAAAAUAAGAGCCUCAUAAAAAAUACAUCCAUACACUACUAAUUUAUUACAAAUAUUAAAUGUGCAAGGAUAUGCAAAAUGUAAGCGUUUUUGUUUUCAAGGUUGUGAAGCCUUUCUCAAAAGUUUAAACCUUGCCAAUGGAACUCAAAGCUUAAUGAAACUGACCCACUAGUGUGUUUAUUCGUACUUUCAUUAAGUAUAGCAUAAGAUUUUGUGGUAUCCACUAGUGUAAAUAUUUUAAAUUGAAUAUCGAAUUCAAUCAUUGUAUUCAUAUAGGGUCAAGAAGUGUAGUUGUAAAAAAUCAUCAAAAUCGGAGUUAAAAUAACCGUUAAAUUGUGAUUUUUCGUUUAUAACCGUUGAAAAGUUGUGUCCCGUUACUUAAUCUUUAAAUGUUUGUUUUUUACAAUUUUUGGCGUAUGUGAUCUCGAAGUAUAUACAAACAAGUAUGACGGUUAGAUUGUUGAAACUAGUUUCGUAGAAUGCGUAUCCCAUCAAAACAAUAGAUUCACUAACACUUAAAAGUUUAUUCUUACUUUCAUUAAGUAUAACAUAAGAUUUUGUGGUAUCCACUAGUGUAAAUAUUUUAAAUUGAAGAUCGAAUUCAUUCAUUGUAUUCAUACAGGGUCAAGGAGUGUAACUGUAAAAAAUCAUCAAAAUCGAAGUUAAAAUAACUGUUAAAUCGUGAUUUUUCGUUUAUAACCGUCGAAAAGUUUUGUCUCGUUACUUGAUCUCUAAAUGUUUGUUUUUUGCAAUUUUUGGCAUAUGCAAUCUCGAAGUAUAUACAAACAUUUUUUACGGUUGGAUCGUUGAAACUAGUUUCAUAGAAUGCGUAUCCUAUCAAAACAAUAGAUUCACUAACACUUAAGAGUUUAUUCAUACUUUCAUCAAGUAUAACAUAAGAUUUUGUGGUAUCCACUAGUGUAAAUAUUUUAAAUUGAAGAUCAAAUUCAUUAAUUGUAUUUAUAUAGGGUCAAGGAGUAUAUCAUUAAAAAAUCAUCAAAGUCGGAGUUAAAAUAACCGUUAAAUUGUGAUUUUUCGUUUAUAACCGUCGAAAAGUUUUGUCCCGUUACUUGAUCUUUGAAUGUUUCUUUUUUGCAAUUUUUGGCCUAUGCGAUCUCGAAGCAUAUACAAACAAGUUUGACGGUUGGAUCGUUGAAACUAGUUUCGCAAAAUGCGUAUCUCAUCAAAACAAUAGAUUCACUAACACUUGAGAGUUUAUUUAUAUUUUCGCUAAGUAUAACAUAAGAUUUUGUAGUAUCCACUAGUGUAAAUAUUUUAAAUUGAAGAUCGAUUUCAUUCAUUGUAUUCAUAUAGGGUCAAAGAGUGUAGCUGUAAAAAAUCAUCAAAAUCGGAGUUAAAAUAACCGUUAAAUCGUGAUUUUUCUUUUAUAACCGUCAAAAGGUUUUGUCCUGUUACAUGAUCUCUGAAUUUUUAUUUUUUUGCAAUUUUUGGCAUAUGCGAUCUUGAAGUAUAUACAAACAUGUUUGACGGUUGGAUCGUUGAAACUAGUUUCGUCGAAUGCGUAUCCCAUCAAAACAAUAGAUUCACUAACACUUAAGAGUUUAUUCAUACUUUCAUCAAGUAUAACAUAAGAUUUUAUGGUAUCCACUAGUGUAAAUAUUUUAAAUUGAAGAUCGAAUUCAUUCAUUGUAUUCAUAUAGGGUCAACGAGUGUAGAUGUAAAAAAUCAUUAAAAUUGGAGUUAAAAUAACCGUUAAAUCGUGAUUUUUCGUUUAUAACCGUCGAAAAGUUUUGUCCCGUUACUUGAUCUCUGAAUGUUUGUUUUUUUCAAUUUUUGGCGUAUGCGAUCUCGAAGCAUAUACAAACAAGUUUGACGGUUGGAUCGUUGAAACUAGUCUCGCAAAAUGCGUAUCUCAUCAAAACAAUAUAUUCACUAACAAUUAAGAGUUUAUUCAUAUUUUCAUUAAGUAUAAUAUAAGAUUUUGUGGUAUCCACUAGUGUAAAUAUUUUAAAUUGAAGAUUGAAUUCAUUCAUUGUAUUCAUAUAGGGUCAAGGAGUGUAGCUGUAAAAAAUUAUCAAAAUUGGAGUUAAAAUAACCGUUAAAUCAUGAUUUUUCGUUUAUAACCGUCGAAAAGUUUUGUCUCGUUACUUGAUCUCUAAAUGUUUGUUUUUUGCAAUUUUUGGCGUAUGUGAUCUCGAAGUAUAUACAAACAUGUUUGACGGUUGGAUCGUUGAAACUAGUUUUGUAGAAUGCGUAUCCUAUCAAAACAAUAUAUUCACUAACACUUAAGAGUUUAUUCAUACUUUCAUCAAGUAUAACAUAAGAUUUUGUGGUAUCCACUAGUGUAAAUAUUUUAAAUUGAAGAUCAAAUUCAUUCAUUGUAUUCAUAUACGGUCAAUGAGUGUAGCUGUAAAAAAUCAUCAAAAUCAGAGUUAAAAUAACCGUUAAAUCUUGAUUUUUCGUUUAUAACCGUCGGAAAGUUUUGUCUCGUUACUUGAUCUGUGAAUGUUUGUUUUUUUGUAAUUUUUUGCUGAUGCGAUCUCGAAGCAUAUACAAACAAGUUUGACGGUUGGAUCGUUGAAAUUAGUUUCGUAUAAUUCGUAUCCCAUGAAGUUCAGUGGUGUGUGUGUAUAUAUAUAUUUAUUUAUUUAUUAAGUAGAUUUAAAUCUAUUUAUUUUGUAUGUAUAAUUAUUAUAGUUUUUAGGGGUAUAAAAUUUAAUAUAUAUAUAUAUAUAUAUAUAUAUAUAUAUAUAUAUAUAUAUAUAGAACUAUUAUAGUUAAUAUUUUGGGGGUAUAAUUAUUAUAGUAUAUAUAAUUAUUAUAAUUAUUAUAGUUAAUUUAAUAUAUAUAUAUAAUUAUUAUAGUUUUUAGGGGUAUAAAAUUGUUAAAUUAAUAUAUAUAAUUAUUAUAGUAUUUUUUUUAGGGUUAUAAAUUAUUAAAUUAAUAUUCUGCUUAUCGUGUAUCGUGUUACCCACGUGUAUACCCGAACAACCCAUUAUCUUAACAGGUGCUUAUCGGGUUACCCGAUAACGACCCGCUUCGUUAUCGUGUCGACCCGAACACCUGUUAAUUUCGUGUCGUGUCGUGUCAGAUUAUCGGGUCGUGUCAGGAAUUGCCAGGCCUAGCAAUAACAUUGGUGAAUGUGGUUUUGAUUCUGUUUAUAAGGUAUUCUUUGGAGCAAAUAAUUUAUUUAUUGAUUAUAUAUUUUUUUCUAGUUUGACACUGUCCGUUCUAAUGAAAGUUAAUUUGCUCCAUAGUGAUGCGAAUUUGACUAUCUUUCUUAAAUGUAGGGCAUUCUAGCAGAUGGCACCGUAAUAACUAUUAAGCAGCUGUCUUCCAAAUCAAAGCAAGGGAAUCAUGAAUUUGUUAAUGAGAUUGGCAUGAUUUCUGCUCUGCAACACCCUCAUCUUGUCAAGCUCCACAUAUGUUGUAUUGAAAGAAAUCAAUUAUUGCUUGUCUAUAAGUACCUGGAAAAUUAUAGCAUCGCUCAUGCUUAUCUUCAGUAAAUAUUAGUCUUGUUUGCCAAAAGUUCAUUUCAUCAUAUAGUGGCAUAAAAGAUCUUAUGCACUAAAAAUAUGUCCCUUACAACUAACUUUGUUUAAUUUGGCAAAUUGAACGGGUGAAGAAAGUCAUUAGAAGUUGGAUUGGCCAACAAGGCACAAGAUUUGUAUUGUUACAGCAAGAGGUUUGGCUUAUCUUCAUGAGGAAUCAAGAUUGAAGGUCGUUCAUAGAGACAUCAAGGCUACUAAUGUUCUGCUUGAUAAAAAUCUUAACCAGAAAAUAUCUAACUUUGGAUUGGCCAAGCUUGAUAAAGAGGAUAAUACACACAUUAGCACCCGUAUUGCUAGAACUUAGUGAGUCCCUAAACUUUUAUUUAUCUUCUUAUUCUCUUGUUUUGAUCUUCUUCCACCCUUAAAAAAGAAGAUAGAGCAAUGGAAAGUCUAUAACUUACAUAAUUUUCAACCUAACCAAAUCUUUGUUGUUCAAGAAAUUUCAAGGGCAGAUUUGUUCUUUGAAUAUAGUUGUAUUACUAUGUAUCUCUCUAACUAUUGCAUUAAUCUUAAGUAUUCAAUUAGCAAUAUUUUUACUAAUUAUUUUAGCUAAAUCUGGGUUAAUGAUGUGAUUUCAUGAUUUGCAGUGGAUACAUGGCGCCCGAAUAUGCAAUACGGGGUUAUCUGACUGAUAAAGCAUAUGUCUAUAGUUUUGGUACUCUCGUAUUGGAAAUUGUUAGCGGGAGAAACAACACAACUUACUGGAAAAAGGAAGAAAGCUUUUAUCUUCUUGAUUGGGUAACAUGAAUCCACUACUUCCUAAUUUAACUUCAAAUUUUCUUAAUAUACCUUAUAUAUGUGAAAGUACAUUUGAAUCGGUGAAGUUUAAACCAAAGACAGAAUUUAUAUUGCUUUUGUUACAUCCAUUUUUUGUAGGCACGACUUCUAAAAGAGCAAGGGAAUUUGAUGGACCUAGUUGAUCCAAGGUUGGAAUCAGACUUUAACAAAGACGAGAUGACUGUUGCAAUCAAUGUGGCUCUCCUUUGUUGCAAUGUUACUUCGACAGCUAGGCCUACCAUGUCUUUGAUUGUGAGCAUGCUCGAAGGAAAGGCUGUUGUUCAGGAGUUGGUCUCGGAUCCAAAUGCUGAGAGUAUUGAGAUCGAUGCAAUGAGGAAACAUUUUCAAUCUAGUUUUGGAAGGGGCAUGGGCGAGAAACAGAUAGAAACAGAGUCAAUUGAAGGGCCAUGAACUGCUUCGUCUGCGUCUGCUCACGAUCUUUAUCUCGUCAAUCCUGAUUCAAAUUACUGGGGGAACAGAAGCGAGAGAACUUGAGCUGCACGGUUAUCAGUUCGACUUAACCUUAGCACACUCAAAACAUAUCAGCUAAUAAAUCAUCUGUAUUUCCUCUAUAACUAUUUUCUUUUUUUUGUUUGAUAAUAUAGUAGAAAGCAUAAUUGAAGAAGUUUCUACAGCAUGGUAAUUGUAAAAUCAGUUCUUUUCAGUAUUUUGUAGUAUGAUAAAAUGAUUUUCUUUUCGAAUAAUCGAAUAGAGUAAGUUGGUUGAACACUAUACUAUUUUGGCUAUGUGGUGGUUUGUGAAGAGAGGAGAUAAUGUACACCAAAUUCGAAAAGGAUGGGAAUAGAGUAAGUUGAUUAAGAGAAGGAACUUAAAUUUAGUAAAAUCGGAAAUCAUUUGUGGAGGAUUUUUCUAUAUCAAUAUAUUGUUAAUAUACAAGGUAAAGCAAGAUUCAGAGGAUAUGCAUGAAAAGAAAAAUGAUACCUGACGUAAAUCAUUGCCAAAAAGAUAAACAAAUUGCCAAGUUUUCUUAAAUUUAGUUUUGGAAGUUCUGAAAUUUACUUCAAUUGCAUUGAUUUUGAUUGUACUAGAAUACAGGUAUAUAUAAAUACAAGAAUUCCUACUACAUAGGUAAUUGGUACAAACUAAGUAAUCAGCCUGUGAUGCUUUACCUUAUUAAGAACGCCCAACUUGCCUAAUAGAGAUUUAAAAUGUUCAUUCCCCAAAGCUUUAGUGAAAAUGUCGGCAAGCUGUGACAUGUUGACAACUUUUCAUUCCAUGAUUUUAUUUCCGACAAAGUAACAAUCAAUCUCAAUACGUUCAUGAAAUACUGAAUUUGCGGCAAUGUGAAGAGCAGCGUGAUUAUCACAAAACAAAGUUGCAGCCCCCUUGUUGCCAAGUUAUAGACCACGAAAUAGAUUUUGUAACCAAGCCAACUCGCAAUAGGCUGCUGCCAUGGAUCUAUACUCUGCUUCGGCAGAGGACAAAGAAAUUGUCUUUUGACGUUUGUUGUUCCACGAAACAAGAGAGUCUCCAAGAAAAACUCAAGAAUCAGUGGCGGGUCGCAGAGUGGUUGGCCAUCCUAUCCUAUCCAAGUCACAAUAUGCAUUCAACUUCAAAUCAUUUUCUGAAGAAAACAUAAUACCUCGUCCGGGUGUCCGUUUUAAGUAUCUCAAAAUCCAUAAUGCAGCCUCAUAUCAUGGCUUCCGAGGUGCUUACAUGAAUCUACUCAACAAGUGGACCAAGUACAUGAUAUUUGGCUAGGUAAUAGUGAGAUAAAUUGGACGACCAAUCAAUCUCCUAUAUUUAACAUGAUCAUUGAGAAUUUCACCCUCAUUAGGAGAAAUUUUUCAUUGUAACGAGAACACACGUGGUAAACCACGUGUCAUUGUGUAAGUGGUGGAAAAUUUUAUUUUUUAAGCUAUUACCUUUUUAACACACAUAUGAUAUAUCCUACCAUUUAUACAGUAACACGUGGUGUACCACUUCGUAUGCCGGUCACUCUGAAAAAUCUCUCCCUCAUCAGAAAGCAAUUUGAGAUUUUGCUCCAUAGAGAAAGUGCAAGGUUGUGAUCCUAAAAGACCCACAUCAUUGAGAAUAUCCAACAAGCAUUUCCUUUGUGACAUAAAAAUCCCCCUUUUUUAACACGCCAUUUCUAUGCCCAAAAAGUAUUUUAAAUUACUAAGAUCUUUGCUAUAGAACUUGGUAUUUAAAAAAUGUUUUAGACUAUUAAUUGCAGUUGAAUCAUUUUCUAUAAUCAAAAUGUCGUCAACAUAAAUAAGGGGUGAAGUAAAUGACUUGCCUUUGUGUUUAGUGAAAAGCGAAUAAUUUGCUUUUGAUUGAACAUAACCGGCGAACCGAAUGGCUUGCGAAAACUUGAAAAAUCAUUGUCGAGAGACUUGCUUCAAACCAUAAAGUGAUUUAUUGAGGCAACAUAUCAGUUUCUCCCCCUAUCGGCGAAGAUUGAAAGGUGGGACCAUGUAUAUUUCCUCCAUGAGAUCACCAUGAAAGAAGGCAUUAUGAACAUCCUAUUGAUGUAAAGACCAUGAAUAGGCGGUGGCAAGAGCAAUAAGGCAGCGGAAUGUGACCAGUUUGACAGUAGGGGAAAGAUAUCAUGAUAAUCAAUACCCUUUGAGUGUACCUCUUAGCGACCAAAUGAGCUUUGUAACACUUAAUACCAUUGGAUUAGUACUUGACUUUGUAGACCCAUUUGCAACCAAUGAGUGAUACUCCAUAUGUUGUUAGCCUUGAGAGCUUGGAUUUUGUCAUCCAUGACUUGAUUCCAUUUAGGAUAUGUGCAAGCUUCUGCUUAUGUGGUUGGCUCCAUAUGGUAGAAAUACUAGCAAGAAAGGUAGAAUAUAGGGGCAACAAGUGGAUACCUGGUACUGGAACUGGAAGACGAGGGCGUAAUGGGGCAAUGUAAGAGAGGGACAAACAUAGUCACUGAGCUUCGCAGGUGGAGUUAUGAGGCGAUUACAUCCUCGUAAAGGGAUAUCAGAGAGCUAGUCAUCAGGCUGCAUGGUAGGGAGCUGAUCAUCAGGCUGCGUGUCAGGGAACUAAUCAUCAAGCUUCGUGAUAGGGGCAAGGUGCUCAUCAGGUGACUACAUGUUAGAAAGCUGAUCAUCAGGAGCAAUAUCAACAGAUGUCUCGACAUUUUGUAGGGCAUUGGUGGGGUCAUGCAGUUUAUGAGAUAGUGAGCAAGGCUCAAUGCAUGGAUUGAAUAUAGGUGUCUGAUAGCUAUUUGUAAGGGGAUUUAAUUCUUUUUGGCCAUGAUAGGGAAACAAAUCCUCGUAAAAAACAUCUCGACUCGUAAAAAUAUGUUUGGAUUGAAGAUCAUAUAAUUUGUAUAUUUUUGUCCUAAAAGGUACCCAAUGAAAAUUCAGGAGGGUGCCAUCAGAUAAGCCCACGGUAGGCAAUGGUGGUUUAAAUGUUGCUUGGGCCAAUGGAAGACCUGAAACGUGGUAUGUUGCACCACUGUCUAAUACCGACUCGUUAGAAACCCUACCUGCAGCGGUGACUGCGUGGGCUUUGCUUUCCAGGCCUACCUUAUGGCUCAUCAGCGAUAAAAGUUACUGGAACUGCUUUUGAAUAAGGUUGGGCAUCAUGUCAGCACACCCUGUGGAUUAAAUGUUGUUGACCAAUGAAACCCCCCUCUGGAACUGUUACCUUUAGUUUUCUUUUUGUGAUCGCCAUCACAGGUUUCUCUGGAUUUUCCAUGAAGACAAUGACUAGGCAGAUAAUCGUGAAGUAUUUCCAGCAGGUGUCAAAGGUGUGAUGGUCAUGGUCACAGUACAAACAGUGGAAAGGUUUACGUUCUAUCGAUCGUUCCUUGCCAUUAUUGGAUGAAGACUGCACCGCCAUGGCUGCGGGUUCAAUCAAGGCUUGCACAAUGGUUAUGCCUCAUUGCUUCUCUUCCUGAUAAAAGAGAGAAUAGAUCUUGCAAAUGAACAGAAGGGUUGCAUUGUUGAAUAUCUCACUUCUAACUCAUCAUUGCUAGCUCAUCAAAACAGUUGUAAAUGAUUGGAUGAUGUAAUAGUUAGUUGAAAAAGUUAGUUAGAGUUUGUUGCUCAAAGCUUAUGAGCUAGGUCCUAUAGGCUAUAUAGUCAACUAUAUAUAGCUGUCGUAAACAUGAUCUUUUGUCAUGAUCUUAUCAAACAUGAAGCACGUGAUUCUGUCUCAGGUUUCUUUUGGGUAAAUGAUAUGGCAGGGUCUUGAAGCUUGAUUCAAUUGUGGGAGGCAAGUUAUGGAAAAAUAUUGAUGUGCUCAUCUUUAACACUUGGCAUUGGUAGAAUCGUAGAUGACCCUCUCAAUCGUGAACAUAUCUUCAAUUUGGAGAAACAGUAAUGUGUUGGCAACCAGCAACAUCUUCAGUUUGGAUAAACAGCACUGGAGCUGUAGAAUCAGCCGAUCGAGGAUCACCUUCAGUUUGGAUAAAUAACAUUGUUUUGAGACCAACUGGUUAUCUAUCCAAGUUUUGGCCAUCAAAGAUUUCCGAAUCUUUGUUGGAAGAUGUCAUCUCAUUAGCCUUCUAGGUAAAGUGAGGUGUUACAAGGUUACGACAUUCGGCACACUGAAAGUCAAAUACUUAUUGAACUUCGCAGAACUAGUAGCCUUGUCUUCAGACUCCAGAACCCAAAGGUCAAUAUGUGUUCCAUCCUCGACUGCAGUCACAAGAUUCAGAAGUCAUUAGCGCGCCUAACACCACAUUAACAUUCAUUCACUCCCCGGCCAAGCUCGGCCAACGAGUUGGCACGCCUUACAUUCAACUAAAGGAUGUAGUUAGCUUAUUAGCUAUUCGGCCUAUACACCACGUAGGCUAAGUAGUUUUUAAGGUGAACACCAUGGCAUCAAUCAAAUUAAUAGUCUCUUAUUUUCUCUUUUUUUUUUUAAUUUUAAUUUUAGUGGCAGUGAGUGGCAUGAACCAAGGGCAAGAAGAUGUGUAGGGCAGAAUGAGCCUUUGCUUAGGUCGACCUAUCCAGGAGCUUUGCCACCAGCUCUGGGUGCGCUGAGGAAUGUGUUAAGCACAAUAAAAAAGCUCGUGACAUUGCAAGAUAUAACAAGCCUCUCACUCAUGCGUAAAGAUGGACAUCCUUCAAUCUAUGGACUGGGAGGCCAAUAACUGCAAGCAAGGAAUGGAUGACAAUGGUAGCAAUAGCUGCAACAGGCCAACAUAUAAAAAUAGGAUAUUACUAGAGAAACUAAAUUUUUUAAAUUAAAUUUCAAACCAAAUGAUUUGUCAACAAUAAGAAACAAGUACGUUAAUAGACACUUAAUUAAUAAUCCAAUCAUCUACAACCACAUCAUUUAGUUUGCAAAUUUGGUUUUAAAAAAUUUAGUUUUCCUAGCAUUACUCUAUCCAUAAAGAUAACAUCUAGGGAAACCCAAUCGGUGAAGUAUAGCAAACAACUAUUCACUAAGGAAUGAGGAUCCUCUUCGAAUCCAUUUUGUGAGGAUCUCAAGAAUCAUUCAAUCACGUCUGUUCAUCGUACAUCGUGUGGUAACAAUUAUUGUAAAUUUUUUUAUUUAAAAUUAAAUAUAAAUAAUACCUGAUGAAAACUGGUAAUGUACAAUGAACAGACAUGAUUUGAGGAUUGCCGAGAUUCUCACAAAAAUUAUCCGGAAAGGACCCCCAUUCUUCACUAAGGAAUAAACUAGAAAUUAUAAUAUUAAAAUGCAUAAUGGUUACCAAGCAAGCAAAUUUAUUGGGACUUGGAUUGUUUGCCUCCCCAUCCCAUACCCUCCAUAUGCCCUUAUAUUUCUAUGGUCAUGGUUAAACCACGUUAACAUUUUAUAUUUGCAUUGCUUUUUGUUUUAUUAUUUUUAUAAAAAAAAUUAAUAUAAAAUAUUGACGUGAUUUAACCGUGACCACAAAAUAUAGGAGGGCAUGAGAAAUGUAUAGAAUGGGGGAGGACAGACAAUCCAAGUCCAAUUUAUUGGCCUUGAAGUACCCAUGCCUGCAGAAGACAGAACCCAAAGUAACUCGGGAACUCAAACGUGGCCAAUUCAUCCAAGCAAAACAAUUAAAGCAUCCAAGGAGCCGAAACGACAUCCCAUUACAACCAUUAAACAUCAAGGAGAAUGGAAAACAUAUGAACUUUUUUUAUGAUGCUUUAUGAAUGAUGAAUUGAAAUAUAAACGGCUCAUACCUUUGAAAAAAAAGAAUUACAAAAUGAAAACCACAAAAAUUGUGUUAAAAUGUGUGUCAAAUAUAUGAGGAUGUGUAUAUAUAUGCACACCCACAUAUACACACACACACUUAAACGUGUAGCACUGGGUAUAGGUAGCAAAAGGCCACUUGUGAUGAGUGCUUGAUUCUAAAAUGUAGUAUUUCUCUCAAACAUUUGACUAUUACUUUAGUCAUGGAAUGCUGAUCAAAAUGCAAUUAAAUAGUAUCACUUAGAAUCAUAACUCUUGGCUUAUAGUAUGAAAAAAUAACAGAACAUUUGUAUAUUGCUUGCAAGUAAUUAGCUUCAGUUAGUCAACUCCAGCAACUUGAUUAAGAAAGCAUGUACAUAGAGCUGCGCAAUUACCAUGUCCACAUUUCCUGAUCAGGAAAUUUCCCAUGCUUGGCUUAGUUGAAAAUAGCAGAUAAGUCAAGAGUGUAUUUUAAAUUACUGUUACUUAAUUAUUCUAAAGUUCAUAAUCAAUAUUAAUUACUAGCAGCUUAUUAUAUACUGUUGUCAAAAUCGUGAGUUGGACUGUUGGUAAGGGUUUUUAAUUAGGGAACUUUAACGAAAAGCACCCGGUACUGUUCAUUUUAACGAAAAACCACAUUUUUACACUAAAAAGUCAAUUUUGGUACUAUUCACUUUACCUUUUAUUUUGUCCUUAUCAUUAAAACUCAAAGUUUUCAAGCUCUUUUCAUUAGUUUUCCUUUUUAAUUAAGCUGACUUUGGGCCCCAAAUAAUAAAGUGUCGACAUAAUACCUGUUACUUCAACAACAACGAAUAUGAAAAAAAAAAAACCCUUGAUUGUCAGUUGCUUGUUGUAAAUAUAAUUUUUUAUGUAAUCUUUCGUUUUCUUCCUGCUUACGUCCAUUGUCAGCUAAACAUCAGCUCUUUGUUUUUGUUGUUAAAAAACGGCUUUCUAAUAUUAUAGAAUUCCCACUUGAUCUAACAAUUGGGAUAAUUAUUCGAAAGAAAAAAAUACAAUUGAGAUAAUUAUAACAAAUCAUCUCAACUAUUUGCAGUUUUACUUUAAAAAAAAAAAAAUCUCACAUACGUCUCAAUCAUCCAUAAUGAUCAGAUGACUAAAAUUUCACAUCCGUCUCGAACAACCAUUUAUGUUAAAAUUGACUAAAAUGCAAAAUUCUCAUAUAUUAGAGUCUUUAAAUUGGAUCCUCACUACAGAAUGUCACUUGGUUGUGUAUGCGUAUCUUUAGCUGAAUCUGGCCGGCCACAGGUAUCGGUCAAAAAAACAGGUUUUCAAAAUCUGUUUUUUAUGAUAUUGUUCUACUAGAAUUUGUCUUUGAUUAGUAUUGUCCAUAGACUAUGUUCGAGAGAGCUCCCAAACUUGACCUCGGGAGGCGUUCAGUGUUUCGUGAUACAAUAAUAUAGUCCAUACAAAUUUUCUUGCUGAUUAUAUUCCACAGUAUGAUCCAAUACUUUUUGGUAAUUUAGGUCAUGAUUAUCAAUUCAAUAACUCCCACCUUAUACCUUUAAAGCCAAAAGUAACAUAAGGGGCAGAUCCGUGUUAUCACAUUUUUACACAACUUUUUAUUCUUAUUUUUCGUGAGAAUCAUUCUGUAAUGUAUUUCAAUAAUCCGAACGUCUAUCUUUUAGGUUUUUCUUCAAAUAUCAUGUAUACCAAGAAUCACCUAAAUAUGAAAUCAUAUGACUGUUGAAUGUCUUCACAGUUUUAUAUUUGUCUAAUUUUUUACAAGAAUCAUCCAUGAAUGAUUUUCUAAAAAAAUAGACGUUCAAAUCGUUAAAAGUACAUUACAAAUUUGACCCCACAAAACCUGUGUAAAAAAUUAUGUAAAAAAAAUAGUGCCACGGAUUCGCUAUAUAUAUAUAUAUAUAUAUAUCCAUACAUUUUUUUUACUUCUCACAUACCUCUUAUUAAUUUCUGUCCUUUGAUAUAUAUAUAAAAAAAAUCUUCUUCAAUUCAUCCAAUCCGAUGGCCGAAAAUUAAAAGUGUGUGAGAAGUAAAAAGAAGUGUGUAAAUAGCACACAUCAUCUAAAAAACCAUUAACGAACGGGCCUGUAAUUCCAAAUUUACAAGUUUUUACUCCCAAAAGAGACAGAGCUUAUUAAUUUUGAAUUUUUUUAAUUUUCUGAUUGACUUGGGGUUGGGGUAAGUACGGAAUAUAGCGCUUGAUCUGUUGAAAUGUCCCACAUCGACCGUAUCAAUGAAAAAAGAAGAGUUUAAAUACCCUAAUCUCACUUUAACUAAUACCGAGGUCUUCUGUAAUAAAACCACAUAUCUGACGGAUUGUGCAUAUGGUAAUUACCAAGUUGGGGACAAUAUCGGUGUUGUUGGAAGUGGGCCGUGUGGUUCGUCUCUUUGAUAAUUCUACAUGGUAUCAAAGCCAAGAAGCUGGCAUGUACCGUACUGCCACGUGAUUGGUGGGUCCCCUUGGCCCCGCGCGAUGAUGGUGGGUCCCUUGGUCCCGCGUGUAGAGUGAGUCCUCUUGACUCCACGUGGUUGUCGAUGUGUGGAUCUCCCACGUGUGACCUGGUAAUUGGGUCCCACAUGAGGGGGGUGUUGAAAUGUCCCACAUCGACCGUAUCAAUGACAAAAGAAGAGUUUAAAUAUCAUAAUCUCACUUCAACUAAUACCGAAGCCUUUUGUGAUAAAACCCCACAUCUGACGGAUUGUGCAGGUAGUAAUUACUAAAUUGAGGACAAUAUCGGUGUUGUUGGAAGUGGGUCGUGUGGCCCAUCUCUCUAAUAAUUCUACAUGAUCACGGCUGAAUAGUCAAUUGGGUCCCACGUGAGGGGAGUGUUGAAAUGUCCCACAUCGACCGUAUCAAUGACAAAAGAAAAGUUUAAAUAUCAUAAUCUCACUCCAACUAAUACCGAAGCUUUUUGUGAUAAAACUUCAUACCUGACAGAUUAUGCAGGUAGUAAUUACUAAAUUGAGAACAUUAUCGAUGUUGUUGAAAGUGAGCCGUAUGGUCCAUCUCUCUAAUAAUUCUACAUGAUCACGGCUGAAUAGUCAAUUGAUCGUAUCAUAUACCAACGAACCUUUGCUUUUGAUUGAGUAGUUGUGAAGAAGUCAAGGUCGUGUAAGAUUAAUUUUCAAACUACAAUUAUUUAGCCUUCUAUCAUUCUGUGCCAUUCAUUUGUUUUAGCUAAAUGUAGACAUGCACUUAAUUUCAUGCCCGACUUUUAAAAAUGAAUAUGACUUUUCUCUUUAAUUUGUCGUGUCACCGGUUUAAAAGCUCCGAUCUUCACAGUGUAGCUUAGAUUAUUAAUAAUAACAUCGAUUGUAAUAAAAAUAUAUAUAUAUUCUCAAAACACAAAAAGGGUUAUUAAUAAAAAUAUAUAUAUUCUCAAAACACAAAAAGGGUUAUUUUUUUCAUUUUCAGAUUAUGUUGGACACGGAAUAGGAUCCUCUGGAUUUGUGGGGAUCUGAAAGAUCAAUUAAAUCGGUGUAUUGAGCAAAUAAUACUAGUUACUUCAACAAAAAAAAAAAAACAGUUACAACUAAUUAUUUUUGAUCGUCAGUUGCUAGUUACAAAUAUAGCUAAUGUCCUGUGACCUCGUAAUAUUUUUAUGAAAAUUUUCAUUUUCUUUGUCAACUAAAAAAAUACUCUUUAUUUUUGUUGUUAAAAAACAACUUUCCAAUAUUAUAGAAUUCCCACUUGAUCUAACAAACGCAUCAAAAUGAUACCUGAAAUUGAAAAUUGAUCAAUGUCGUCUAUGAAUAUGGAGAUUGUUGUCGGUGGCUAAGUUCAAAGAAGAAGGAGAAGAUGAGGAUUAUUAGUUUGUUGUUUUUCUUCUUUUUACCUUUUAAAUUUUUUGAAACACUUUAUUUAAUCCAUAUGUUAUCAUAUUAUUGGAGUGCAGAGUCUUAUGUGUGUCACAUAAACACAUAAUAGAUUUUUUUAACAGAAAUAAGACAGAAGACGACAUUGAUUUGCAACACCCAUAUUCAGGGACGAUAUUAUUCAAUUUUCAGCUUCAGAUAUCAUCUUGAUGUGAUGGGUCAAUUUCAGAAACCACUUAUAACAAAAAUGUAAUAUAAUAUAAUAACGUAAGUUUAACAAGUCACUACCUGUGAAACCAGUCUUUUUAACAUGUUACUAAGGAGCCUAUCUAUUGUCAAACGAUAAGAUAAUUAUAUUAAAUUUAACUAAAUUACGGCAAGUGGAAUUCAAACUUGGUGCAUAAUAAAACACAGUGAUGUAACUAGCUUGGCUAAACUAAAAUCUUCUAUUUUAAAUUAAUUCUUUUACAAGUAAUUUAUGUAAAUGUAUCUUUAAUUAUAUAAAUAAUUAAAUAAAAAUAAAUAGAGUAAGUGGUUGGGAACAAGGUCUAAAAUAUCGAUAUUAUCCCGAUAUUUCCAUCGAAAUUUUCAUGUUUUUGGACUAUCGAUAUUUUCGAUAUCAUCAAUAUUUUAGACCUUGAUAGGAACUCUAUGUGGUACUAAGUCACUCAUGUAUCUUACCAUGCAAUGUAUAAAGUGUAAAAUAUUGUACUAAUUCAUUAUAUAUAAAUGAUUAUGGUGUGUUUAAACUUCUUUCAUUAAUUACUACAUAUUUUUACACUCACAAUGUUUGCCAGCUCGCUAUAUAAUUAACUUAAAUCAGUUAAAUCCAUCAUGCAAUGCAUUUCUUUCCAAUUUUUUGUGAUAAACUAAUAGAUAAUUGACUAAAUAAACAUCCUGCAAAGUUUUAAUAAAAAUUUCCAAGUUUUUCUUAUAAUUUCCGUGGUUUUUAUUCAAUUUUUAUCGAUAUCGAUAAUAUCCCGAUAUUUCCAUCGAAAUUUCCGUGUUUUUGGACUACCGAUAUUUCCGAUUUCAUCGAUAUUUUAGACCCUUCUUGGGAAUAAUAUAUAUUUUUUCCUUUCUUGUUUGGUCUUUGGUUUUAAGGAAAAUUAAUGAAAAUGACUUGAAAACUUUGAGUUUUAACAAUAAUGACAAACUAAAGGGUAAAGUGAAUAGUAUCAUGAUUGACUUUUUAGUAUAAAAAUAUGAUUUUUCGUUAAAAUGAACAGUACCACAAGCUUUUCGUUAAAAUUCCCUUAGUUUUAAGGGCAAGGUAACACAAGUCAUUGACUUCCGUUUGUGUCCUUCGAGGUCCACUCCUUCCCUCCCCUCAAGGGAAUAAAAACCUGUAAUUCAGACUCAUUCUCCUCACAAAUCCUUCUUUCUUCGCUACUCUAAAAAAAUUUCAUACAUACAAUCCAACAAAUUCCAAAACCUCUCAACAUAUUCCAUCCAGCUAGCUGCACAAACUGAUCCUUUUGUCUCUGGUUUUGUCUUCAAAUGUGAAAGACUUUGCCUAGAAAAAUGAUGAAUAUGUUCUUCCCUCGACUUCUUCCUCAUUCUCUUUUCUUUGUAGCUUGCUUUGUAACUUUUGCCUUUGGAGCUGCUCGAUUGCCAAAUGAUGAAGGUACGAGUAAUUCACCUCAAUAUCUCUAUGUCAAAUAUCUUCCUUAGUUUCCUCUGUUUCAUUCUAUAAAUGAUAGUUUUAAGUUCGUUUGAUAAUUUUUUUAAUUUUCAAUUCUUUUUGAGUUCUCAAAUUUUGGUUUGGUUUUUCCGAGAAGUGAAAACAGUUACCAAUGAACUAAAAAUUAAAAUGGUUAUCAAAUGAACCUUAGGUAAACAGAUAUUUGUGUGAACUUAGUAGAAAUUUUCAAUCAUAUAAGGUGCACUCUGUAGUUCUUGUCUAUGCAUCAAUUUUUUUUUUUUACUAUUUUGUUGAGCACGAUGUUAAUUUGUUGCCUUUUAUUUUGCGUAUAUGCAGUGCAAAUUUUGAAAGACAUAGCAAAGACACUGGGGAAGACGGACUGGGAUUUCAGUGGAGAUGCAGAUCCAUGCAGCGGCCAACUUCCAUGGGCUGAUCCAAGCGCACCCAAAGGAUUAGAGAAUGCCAUCAGCUGUAAUUGCUCCUACGAAAACUCCACCGUCUGCUAUAUUACCAGCAUGUAAACCUCUCUCACUCUCUCUCUCUCUCUCUCUCUCUCUCUCUCUCUCUCAAAAAUAAACAUGGCCGGCUCAGAACUCAGUGAGAUUUUUCAAUGUGAUGGUAUAUCACGUGACACGAUAUAAAUGGUGAGUAACUUGUAUUAAAAAAUUAACACAAUUUGAAACAUAAAACUUUUUUCACUUAUAUAACAACACGUAGUGUAUCUUCCGAAUAUAAUGAAAAAUUUGUUUUCAUCUCACAAGCUAAUACCAAAUAAUCUUAUCGGAAUUUUGUGAUUUAAAUUGAUGGGCAUUUAUUGGUCCACCCCCCGGGGCCCAAUCUAGGGAUAUUUUGAUAUUGCCGCCUCAUUUUUUAUUUCUUUUAAGAAUUUGAUUAAACAUUUUUUUAUACAAUUUUAUUAGAGGCACGUUUGGUUUUAUUAGUACAUUUGAUUUUAUGGACAUUUUGUUUUCUGGUACAUUUGGAAUUUAAACGUAACAAAAGUUGGUAUGUUUGUUUUUAAGUGUACCAUAACUUUUAAAUACAUUUUCUAUAUAACUAGUUAUACGUAAAAUUUUAAUAAGAUUAAAGAAGUUUUUUUAUGAAAAUAUUAAUGAAUUUUUUUAAUGAAAGAAGAGACUAAUUAAAUAUAAUAAAAAAAAUAAAAAGUUAUUUUUUUUAUAAUGAUAAUGAGGAAUUACUGAAAUUAAUAUUUUAAUGAAGCCAUGAAUUUAAAAUUCCUAGAUUGUAGGAAAUAGUUGUUAGAUAGUUUAAGUGAAUAUAUAUAUAUAUAUAUAUAUUAAAUAAAUAAAUAAAUAAAUGUUGAGUUGGAAAUUAAUCAAAACAUCUUAAUCAAAUUUUGUAAAAGAACAUAUGUUUAGUCUAAACAAGUUGAAAAAAAUGGAGGGAAUUCUUAAUUCUUUGUCUUCAAUUUAUUUGACACAUAAUAUGCACAUGAGAUUAUUGCGUUAGUAAACACCAAUUUAAGUACUUAAUGUGAUAAAGAGACAUAAGUUGGAAAAUAAACGUUUGGUUAUAUAGAAUUGUGAAUGAUUAACUUAUUUCUUAAGCGAUAAAAAAUUGCUCAUUAUAUUUUUCUUUUCUGGAUAAACAGUUUGUUCGUUGUGUUUUGAACGAGUUCCAUCUCAUGCAAUAUAUAGAAAUAUUACGAGAAAAAUAAAGAAAAAUUUGAGAAAAGAAUUAGCCAAUUAGGUGCUUCAUUAGUCGAAUAACUUGACUAAGCAAAAACAAUGUACAGAUUAGGCGCCUUUUGUUGUGAAAGGUUGAGAAUGAUAAGAUCAAAGUUUUUCAGUCUUUGUUAUAUCAAUCAUAUUAGAGAAGAAAAAAAAAAUAUAAGAAAGGUCUACGUCCACGUACCAUCCAGUCGACAUUAUAUAAUAUCUACAUGAAGACUUUGCAUUUUAGGUCAAUGAAUCUGAAUGAGCAGAAAUUUCUGUAAGUACUCGGUAUUCAAGCGAGUAAUUUAAGUGUUAUAAAUGAGCGAAGAAAUACAAAAAAAAAAAUAUUAUUAUUUGUAUUAAGAUAUGUGGUGUACUCUUUGAAAAAAUCUAUUCUCAAUGAGCACUUUCUAAUACUUUGUUAGGUUAGAUGUUAAAUUAGCUAGUGGCAUGAUUUGAACUCAUGUCGUCAUACAAAGCCUCAACACUUUUUCACCACUAUGGUAAAGAGUUACGAGUCACUUGCAUCCUACAGGGAAAAUUAACUAGCAUGUAGACUACUAUGCGAAAAAUAAGGGUUAAUCUCAGUUUACUACCUUGAAGUUUCGUGAUUUUCAACAUUUGAUACAUGAAGUUUUUUUCAUCACAGAGUCAUAUCUCAAGUAUUAAUUUUGGAACAGUAUCAUACAUUCAUUAAGUUGGCUGUUAAGUCACAGAGUCAUAUCUCAAGUAUUAAUUUUGAAACAAUAUCAUACAUUCGUUAAGUUGGUUGUUAAGUCAGCCGUUAACUGAUGACGUGACAUCCAUAUAGAUAAUAACUAAGCUCCACGUGUAAAUAUAGGCCAUAUAAAUAUUUAAAAAAUUAAAAAACUAAACAAAUAAAAAUAUGGCCUAUGGAUGCGGGCCUUCCCUUUCCUCCACCCGCACCAACUCUUUAUCUUCUUCUCUUCGACAGCCACCAGAGCUGAUCUGAAAAUCAGCACAACCUCGAAAUUUAAGCCCUAAUUCAACCUAAAUUUCAGAUAGAAGGGCUGGAUUAGUCCAUUAAUCUAAGCGUACGAUCCAAAAUCCAGUUCCCAAUUGUGUUCCUUUCCUCAAUAAACAGCCAGAGGGCUCAACGAAAUGAAGAAAUUACAAAGAGAUGUAUAGAAAACGCACCGUUUUGGAGGUAGGGGCCGUACUCGGUGGCAGAGAGGUGCAUCUUGAUAUAGUCGAGGGUCUCGCACUGGCAAAAGUUGUUGUAAUCAGCGGCGAGCGGUGACCCUGCACUAUGGCCUCCAAGUACCCGCCGUGAAUGUUGAAGAUCAUCGCUUCGAAUCCGUACACUUUCGCUGAAAUUUUGAAAAUUUACGCGAUCUGCCACUGCAUGAUCCGAAAAAUUGAACGUCUCGCGGGAGAGAGAGAGGAAGGGGACGAUCGGGGAACCAGAAACCCCCUUCUGCAGCGAAAUCAAUGGAAACCCUAGCGAUUUGCAGACGGAAGCUGAAAUCUGGAAAUUAACCGCGUGGGCGCCAAUGGAAACCCUAUGGGCUAUGGCUUUCUACUCUGGUUUGAAAUCUCCGCGAUGAAUGCCUCGUUGUUGUUGUCGACGGAGAAGAAAGAGAGAGAACCCAGGCCGUGGUGGUGCAGAUUUUCAGAUCAGCUUUGGUGGCUGUCGAAGAGAAGAAUAAACAAAACUUCAUAAUAAUAAACUGAGAUCGUUCCGAAAAAUAAAGAAAAAGUUGAGAAAAUAGCUUGACUAAGCAAAAGCAACGUACAGCUUAGGCGCCUUUUGUUGUGAAAGGUUGGGAAGGACAGGAUCAAAGUUUUUCAGUCUUUGUUAUACGAAUCACCUUGUAUAAUAUCUACGUGAAGACUUUUUUAGGUACUCGGUAUUCAAGUGAAUAAUUGAAGUGUUAUAAAUGAGUGAAGAAAUAUAAAAAAAAAUGUUAAUUUUCCAUUAUAUUAUGAUAUGUGAUGUGUUGCUUGAAAAAAAAAAGAGUAAUGUUAUUCAUACUAUAUUUUUGUACCAUAUUUUCAUACCAUCUUAGGUGGUAUUUGAUGUGGACAACCAUAUCAUUUGAAUUAAUCUGAUUUUUAAAUUUAGUUCAUUAUUUAAUAAACUAAUAAUUAAGAAAAACUAAUUAAUUAAAUAAUAAUUGUGGUAUACGAGGAGUUUUUCUCCUUCAUUUUCUUGGGUUUUGCAAAUUUUUCAAAUGAUGUGGCUGUCCACAUCAAAUGCCACAUAAGGUGAUAUAGAAAUGUGGUAUAAAAAUAUGGUAUGAAUAACAUUACUUGAAAAAAAAAUCUCUUCUUAAUAAGCGCUUUCUCCUAUAGAGAAUAGAUUUUGUUAGGUUAGGUGUUAAAUUAGCCAGCGAUCGGGUUUGAACCCACGUCGUUAUGUAAGAACUUAACUUUUCACCAUUGUAGUAAAUAACCACUUGCCUCCUACAGAGAAAAUUAACUAGGCAUGUAGACUAAGUGAGAAUAAUAACUAGGGCUGGUUCGGUAUGGGAUACCGAACCGAAAAUGACAUACCAAAUCCCGAACCGAAAAUUUUCGGGACUGGAAUAAGAGGACCGAUACCAACCGAAACUUCGGGAUUCCCAAAUUUCGGUAUUCCCAAAAAAAUUUCGGUAUUUCGGGAUUUCCCGAAACCGAACUUGCAUUGAAAUCCAAAUCAACUAAUUGAAAUCGAAAACAUUCGAACCUGCAUGAAAACCCCAAAAUGAAAUCAGAGAAGUGACAGUGAAUCAGUGAAGAUUGAUGGGAGAUAGAGAGACAGAGUGAAGAGAUAGUUCGUCCUCCUCCUGACCCGAGCCCCUAAUUCGAAACCCUAAUCCCCAAUUCGAAACCCUAAGCCCCAAUUCGAAACCCUAAUUUGAAACCCCACAUAGAGAAUCAAUGGAGAGAAUCGGAGGUGGGGAUGAAGCCGUGAUGUGUAGUGGUGGCCGGAGGGGAGAGAGUUCAUCGGAGUGAGACUGUGAGAGGGUGGUGGCUGCUAGGCUUCGAAUUCGAGAAGGAGAGACAGAGAGAAUCUGAGACUAAGUGAAGGGCCAAAGAUGAGAAAUGAGAGAGAGUAAGUAUGGAUGUGUCGGCUUGGGUUUGAAUUGAGUUGAAGGAAUGUUUUGGUGGCUUCGCCUUUCUGGGUUGCAAAGCAGAUGGAGAUAAUGAGAGAGAGAGAGAGAGCGAGAGCAGCAGACAGCACCCAUGUGCUUUGAUAAAACUUCAAACGCCAGGCACACAAUCAUAUCCUUAUCCCCACACUUAAGUUAUUUUAAUAAUAUAAAUAGGCCAUAUACAUAUAUUCCAACAUAUAUAUAACAAUAGGGUUUAAAGUUCGGUUCGGGAUGGGAAUACCGAACAAUUUUAAGUGUGAGACCGAAUCCCAUACCGAAAAAUUCGGGAUCGGUUUGGUUUUGGUACCAAAAUUUUCGGGAUUUUCGGUAUGGUUUCGGUAUGAUUUGGGAUUUUCGGUAUUUUUUUCCACCCCUAAUAAUAACUUACAUUGAACGAGUUAAAUAUCAUAAAAUUUUACACUUAAAAUUUAGUUCAUUAUUUAAUAAACUAAUAAUUAAGAAAAACUAGUUAAUUAAAUGAUAAUUGUAGUAUACGAGGAAUUUUUCUUCUUCCUUUUCUUGGGUUUUGCAAAAUUUUCAAAUGAUGUGGCUGUCCACAUCAAAUGCCACCUAAGGUGGUAUAGAAAUAUGGUAUAAAAACAUGGUAUGAAUAACAUUACUAGAAAAAAAAUCUCUUCUUAAUGAGCGCUUUCUCAUACAGAGAAUAGAUUUUGUUAGGUUAGGUGUUAAAUUACCCAGCGAUCGGGUUUGAACCCACGUCGUUAUGUAAGAGCUUAACUUUUCACCACUGUAGUAAAUAACCACUUGCCUCCUACAGAGAAAAUUAACUAAGUGAGAAUAAUAACUUACAUUGAACGAGUUAAAUAUCAUAAAAUUUUACGUUUAAUCAUAUUUUAAUACGUGUAAAUUUUUGUUAGCAUGAUAUAUAAUAUUAUAACAAAAAUAUUAAAAAUAAUAAAUUUGUUCGAUGUAAACUGAUCACAAGUGUGUGAGGAGAGAUGUUUUUCUUUCAAAAAAAAAGAUUAGCUGAUAGUUUCGUCAUGACAGGAGUCGAAAAAACUAGUAGAGAUAGCGAGGAGAGAUGUUGAUUAGAUGGUUGGAAUUCGGUUUUGUGGACCCCAUGUCUAUUCGAUAUAUGUAUCAAUCAAUUUUUCUUUUUCUUUUUUUUUUCUGUUAAAAAGUAUCAAUCAAUUUUUCAUUACAUAUCCCCUAACCUAACCCCAUGCCCAUGAAACCUCCAAAAUAAAGUAGGAAUUAUAAGGCUUAGUGUGGGCCUCAUCGAGUUGCCUAUUGGCAACUUGGCACGUCGUAUUCACUCAUUCAACCUUAUGUCGAGCAAGGUAGCUAGGCCGAUUGAUUUCAAUUGGAUUUGAGAGUUGUUAGUUUAAUAGCAAAGUCGAGCUCGUUUGUUUCUUUGUGAUUUUCUCACGCCCCGACCGUAGUUUUGGAGAGAUUUUUUAGUGUGCUAGGAGUACGAUCCGGUAUAUCAAGUAUUAUAAUACAAGUAGUUAUAUACUUGAAAUUUUUUUCCAACUGCUUAUAUUAUGACACUUAGUGAACCAGAUUUGUUUCCCCCGCACACAAAAUUUCUCCUACCUUUGGGGCGUAAAAAUUUUAAAGCUCUUAUUGUGUAUGUAAAACAAGUAAAUGUUGCUACCGUUUAGAGCUAUGAAAAGUGACUACCACUCGUCUUUUUCUCUUCAUGCACACUAUUGAUUUCUGGCCUUUGACGAAUCAAGGGGCAUGAAUAAAACCAAAUUAUGCAAUAAUCAUUUUCAUAAAGCUAUAAGUUAUUCUUGGCAUGCAAGUUGGAUUGAAAAUUUCGAUUUUAACCAAUUCUGUUCUUGUCGGUUUACGAACAAAAAAUAUGAAGCAAAUUGGAACGCAUCUUAAAAUUAGGCCGCCUUUGCCAUUGUUACACAGUUACUAAUUUGUGAUCCAUCAUUGGGUAUAAAGUCAAUAUAAUUCUGAUAUAUCUAGACACUAGUGGGGUUUCCAUUUUCCCAAAUCCUUUACCCUCUAGAUUUUUAAUUUUUCUUCAACCGGCAACCAAUUGGAAGUUUUUCUUGGUCUAAUAAGACCUUGUUGUGCCUUGACAUUCAAGAAAUGCAGAAAGACUAAUCCAUUUCUUUUAUUGAAUGACCAAUGAAACAUCAAUUACAACCUACCAUGGACCGCAAUUCAAGUUAAGCUUAUCUGCAAAAUCGAGUUCAUGGGAUGUGACAAAUUUGCUCAAUUAUGAUAGCAAUGUGUUUUUGAGCUGGCCAUGAGCCAGCAUAGAUGUUCUGUGGCAUGCUGAGUUGUUAGGACUUGGUAUUACAGCUGUGCUGUAUUUAGGCUUGAUUCUUGCAUACUUGAUCAACGUAUAAAAUUUCGCAGUCACCAUGAUUGUUGCGUACUUCUUAUACACGAACAACUUUGUAUCGGCCUAGUUAUUAGUUACAAAGUCGAUGAAAGAAUGAUUCACAAUAUGCUUGUAACAAAUACACACUUACCGUUUGUGUAAUUCUUCAAGUUCUAUUCUUUGUAAAGAACAUUGGACAUUUUCCUUCGGUUUUAAAGAAAACCAGUUCCUUCUUCCUAUUUAAUUCCCUGAUCAAAAGUAAGUAUUUUCUGUGAUAAAUUAGUGUUUUACCUGUUUGGUCCUAUUUGUGUGGCAGCUUUUCCUUUUAGUCACAGUAUAGAUGUGUAAUAGAUAUCUGUUAAUUUACAACUAAUCUUUGAAACCCUGUUUUCCGAUGAAACACAGAAUUCUAAAAUCCCAAGAUUUGCAAGGAACACUCCCACCAGAGCUGGUACAUCUCACCUAUCUUCAAGAAAUGUAAGCACAUUUUUACCCCUCCAAGUUUACAAUAUUUAAAGUAAAAAGAAAAUAACUAUGUGUCGUGUAAAUGGUUUAUUCUAAUUUCAUAUAUAGCUUACCUUUAUUUCUGUUGUCAAUGAGACAAUAACUGGUUUCCUUCUUUCUCCUUUAGCGACCUCACCCGCAACUACCUGAGUGGUACCAUCCCUCCAGAAUGGAGCUCUCUUCCACUAGUGAACAUGUACUAUCUUCUCUCACACUGCAUACAUUUUUGUGUUUGAUGCUCAUGUCAUGUUCUUGUUACUUUAUUUGGUCACUCCAAUGUUCUUCAGCCAUUUCUUUCUUAAACUAUGAAUCUAAUACAUUGGGUUUUGUUCAUGAUAAUGAGCUUCCGUGGUCAUGAGGUGUUUGAAUCAUAAAUAUUGAAUCGAACACAUGGGGUUCAUUGCCUUCGUAUUGAUGAACAUGUUAAUGUUAUUGAGUCUCUUGCUUGAUAAAAGUGAUCUUAAGAUUAUAGUUUUGAUGCAGAUCCCUUCUUGGAAAUCGUUUGACGGGUUCUAUCCCCAAAGAGCUUGGAGACAUCACCACCCUGAAGAGUUUGUGAGUGUUGAUUGAGCAUUUGUUUCUUGCUUACCUCAUUUGAUUAUGUGGAGAUCCUUAAUGAUGUUUUUUAAUCAAUGGAAUUGAAUUUGUUUGUAUAGGGACAUCAGUUUCAAUAAUUUUUCUGGACCUCUCCCUCAGGAGCUUGGAUCUUGGGCCAACAUAGAAAGAAUGUAAGAGUCCUAUUCAAAUUUUACCGUGUUAAAAAGUACUUGGUUUAUUUGGAAUUUUCUUUCUUAUAGACAAAUUCUGGAUGUUUUCACCAAUAAAUCAUCUACUUCUUUAUCAUUGAUAUAUUGUUAUAUCUGUUUCAUACUUAGGCUGCUUUCCUCAAACAACUUUAGUGGGGAGUUGCCAGAAACAUUUGCAAUGCUUACCAAAAUAAAGGACUUGUAAGCUUCUGUGGUUCUUUCUUCUUAAAGGUUUCCUGAGCACUUAUACAUUUUUUACUGCUUUCUGAUACUAAUUCGUAGUAUUUUCCCUUUUCCAAUCAUUAUGCAGUCGGGUUAGUGACAGUCACUUUUCCGAGCGGAUACCUGAUUUUAUUGAGAACUGGAUAAAUCUUGAAAAACUGUGAGUGUUUUUCUUUUGUGUGUCAUAUUUCUGCUAUAUGAUUCUGAAUAUUAUCUCUAAUUCAUAUGCUAUGACUCGUUGAAACAGAGUGAUUCAAGCUAGCGGUUUGACAGGGCCAAUUCCUUCUGGCAUUUCUCUUUUGACAAGCUUAACUGACUUGUUAGUAUAUCCCGUCUAUAUUUUUAAAUACAAAACGAUUAGCAAAAUGUGUAGUUUAUGUUCAUGGCUCAAUUUUAACAUGCAGGAGAAUCACUGACUUGAGUGGACCUGAAUCACCAAUUCCUUCACUUAAUAAGAUGAAAAACAUGAGGACACUGUGAGUUAAUGGUUCCAUGACACACAAUUUUUGUCUGUACCAGAAGUCUUCUGUAAACUCAAAGCUUUGGUGUCUGUUGCAGGAUGUUGAGGAGUUGCAACCUUAUUGGAAAGCUACCUCCAUAUCUUGCACAAAUGAACAAAUUGAAAACUUUGUAAGUUCAAAUGUCUUAGUCCCUAUUUUUUCCGUCUUCAAAUAAAAAAAAUUCUUCUAGAUGUGAUUCUACUAAUUCAAGAUUUAUUGAAGUGACUUAGACGAUGUUGGGUGGACUUUAUGUUUCUGUAUUUAUUAAGAGAACUUCUCUUUCAGAUGUCAUUUCCCUUUCUGCAGAGAGCACAUCUAAACUGCAUUUGCUAUUUGUUUGUGCAGAGACCUCAGCUUUAACAAGCUGACCGGAGAAAUUCCAAGCAGCUUCGGUAGUCUAGCAGAUGUGGUUUAUAUGUAAGCAAUUGGAAUGACCAAUCUAGUCUUUCUUACAUGGAAUUCAAGCAGACAUUCUUCAAUGGUUUUGUUACACCCCAGCCUGGCAAGCUGGAAGUAUUUCCAAUCACAGUUACUAUAAUUAUGAGUCACGGGUUAUACUGCAAUGAAAAUGAAAACGGCUCUUCUGCUCAGAAAUGAAAUGUUUAGUUUAUUCAUUAGAGUCAUUACUACUCGUGCAAUUAUCUGACAUAAGGUGAUCACCCUUAGAUGUGUCUUUCACAUGGAAGUACUGAUCUAAUGCACUCAGAGUUGGCAAACUCAAAUUUUCAAACCUUUACAAAGAACAAACACUAUUCUCUACUGAGUUUUUUCUGUAUUCAUUAUUUUUAGAUUCUUAACUGGAAACUUGCUGACUGGACCUGUACCUGCUUGGCCAAGAGUCAACGUGUAAGCUUCUCUUCCAAAUGCUACUCUUUAGCUACUAAGGAAAUUUAUGCUGUUUUUUUUACUAAGAUAGAUAUAAAACUAUUAUAUCAAUAUUGAGUUUUGGUUUCAAUAUUUGUUGUAUAUUUCAUUAUGAAGAUUACAAGAGAGUGAAGGCAACUCUUAUAGAGAGCCAAAAGAAAGCUACAAUAGAUUGUAGGAUAACUACACAAACACAAUCCCUAAAAUCUGCCCUAACAAAUGGAAAAGCAAAAACCAAAUUACAAGUAAAAAAGCUUUUACAAACAACUAAGAAAGGUUGAUGUAAGGUGAAUGACAAGGAAAGUGACUGGUGAAUGACAAGCUAUGGAAAGUGACUUUAGCCUAUGACUUAGCUAAAGUGAGGAUGACAACUCAUACAUACAACCCAUCCAUACAAUCCAUACAAACCGGUUUCAAUACACCCCCUCAAGCUGGAUCAAGGGGAUUGAUUGAUCCAAGCUUGCACAACAAACGCUGAAACUGAGUAGAGUCUAGUGCUUUUAUGAAUAAAUCAGCAAGUUGAUCGUGGCUGCAUGUGAACACGGUGUCUAUCACCUUGGAUUGAACUUGAGCACGAAUAUAAUGGCAGUCAACUUCAAUAUGUUUGGUCCUUUCAUGGAAUACUGGAUUGGAGGUAAUGUGCAUGGCAACUUGGUUAUCACAAUACAAGGAUAUAUGUGCCAUGCUUGUGAAUCCGAGCUCGGAAAGAAGACCUUUCAACCAUAUGAGUUCACAGGCUGUUGCUGUCAUAGCCCUAUACUCAGCUUCGGCGCUAGAUCGAGCAUUAAUAGUUUGUUUCUUGCUCUUCCAAGUGACAAGGUUCCCUCCAACAAAUAUGCAAAAACCUGUUGUGGAUUUUCGAUCAAGGGCAUUUUCAGCCCAGUCAGCAUCUGUGUGGGCCAAGAUGUGAUUUGAUCCAUUGUUCUUCAUAAUUAUCCCCCUUCCUACUGAGCCCUUGAGAUAUUGAAGUAUUCUCUUGACGAUUUCCCAGUGAACUAGAGUAGGAGAGUGCAUGAACUGACUGGCUAGGCUAACUGAAUAUGAGAUAUCAAGCCUAGUAAUGGUGAGAUAAAUAAGUUUCCCAACCAUUCACUGAUAAACACUAGGGUCCGAGAGAGGUUCACUUUUUUCAUGCCACUGAAGUUUUCUAGCUAGGGGUGUCCAAGCUGGUUUACAUUCCAUCAUGUUAGCUUCAUCUAGAAGAUCAAGAACAUACUUUCUUUGAUUUAAGAACAAUCCCUUUGAAGAGGUAGCCACCUCAAUUCCAAGAAAGUAUUUCAAGGGCCCCAAGUCUUUAAUGGCAAAUUUUUGGUGAAGUGAUUGCUUAAGCGUCUUUAUUUCACUUAUAUUGUCACCUGUAAUAAUUAGGUCAUCAACAUAUAUAAGCACAACCAAUUUUCCAGCAAUACCACUUCGAACAAACAAAGAAGAGUCAGCAUGACUCCUUUUGAACCCUGCAGCUUCAAGGACUGAACUAAGCAUCGAAUACCAAGCUCGAGGGGACUGUUUGAGACCAUAUAUGGCUUUGUGAAGUCUGCAGACCUUGUUGGGUUCAUUUUCUCUUGGAUGACCAGGAGGCAACUUCAUGUACACUUCUUCUUCAAGAUCCCCAUGAAAAAAAUGCAUUCUUCACAUCCAUUUGGAAUAAGGGCCAUGCAUUAUUGACUGUCACAGACAACAAUACCCUCACUAUGUUCAUUUUGGCAACAGGAGCAAAGGUCUCCUUAUAGUCAAUGCCAUAGUUUUGAGUAAAGCCUUGAGCUACUAACUGUGCCUUGUGUCUUUCAAUGCUUCCAUUGGAGUUGAAUUUGGUCUUAUAUAUCCACCUACUUUCCACGACCUUCUUGCCAUUUGGAAGAUCCACCACACUCCAUGUCUGCUUGUCAUUCAGAGCUUGAAGCUCUUUAGUCAUAGCAUCUUGCCACUCAGGCAUGCAUGUGGCUUCAUGAAAAUUCCUUGGUUUGAAAGUGUGGGACAAUUUGUUAAGGAAAGAAGUAUGAGAAGAUGAGAAUCUAUGAUAAGAAAUGGCUGCAGAGAUAGGAUGCCUUGCAGUGUAAGUAACAUACUCUUGUAACCUCAUUGGUGGAUGUCUAUCUCGUGUAGGAUUUCUUCUUGGUGUACUUAUAGCUUGCUGAUUUGGUUGAGCUUCUGAUGGUUCAGAUGAGCUUGGCACUGCAUCAAUUACACUCUCAGUGAGUUAAGAAUUAUCAGUGCUGAUAUGAGUAGGAGUGACUUCAUGAAUUUCUGCUGGAAUAGGUAGUGGAAAUAGGUCCAUAAGAUCUUCCAUAUUAGCAUUAGUCUUCAACCCUUUGUGGAAAUAAGGUGAAUAUUCAUCAAAUCACACAUCUCUAGAGACUGCCAGCUUUCCCGUGUUAGGGUUGUACACUUUGUAACCCUUUUGAGAAAUGGCGUAUCCCAUAAACACACAUUUGACAACUCGAGGGUCGAGUUUGUCAUGAUGGAGAUCUUGAAUGUGCACAUAACAAGUACAACCAAAAGUCCUGAGGUAAGACAAGUUUAUAGGCCUUCCUUUCAUGACUUCAAAAGGAGAUUUAGUAUUCAACACCCGAGUUGGCAGUCUAUUAAUGAUGUACGUGGCAGUGAGUAAGGCUUGAGACCAAAAUUUCUUAGUAAUAUUCAUUUGGAUCAUAAGUGAUCGAGUCUUCUAAUAAGUCUCAAUUCUUUCUCUCUGCCACACCAUUUUGUUGUGGUGUACCAACACAGCUAGUUUGAUGCAAAAUGCCAUGAUUGCUCAAGUAAUUAUUCGUGUUAUUGGAAAUGUACUCGGUACCAUUAUCUGAUCUUAACAUAUAUAACUUAGAUGAAAAUUGAUUGGUGAUUAGGUUGUGAAAGUCGUUAAAAGCAUCAAACAAAUCACUUUUAAGUUUUAAAAGAUACAACCAGGUUACUCUAUAAUAGUCAUCAAUAAAUGUAACAUAAUAUCUAUACCCAUCAAAGGAUUCUACACGAGAAGGACCCCAAAUAUCAGAGUGAACAAGCUCAAAAAGUUUACUAGUUCUAGAAUUAGAGGAAACAAAAGGAAGUCUAGUGGCUUUUGACAUUUGACAAGUUUCAUACUCUAGUGUGUUUUUACAAAAAAAGGGAAACAACUUGGUCAUCACAUGUUCUGAGGGAUGGGCAAGGCGUUGAUGCCAGAGUUGGUGUUCCUGAACUUGACUUAAGUUGACACCGAGCUUUUUGACAAAAUUGGACUCAUUUGAAAGAUAGUAGAGUCCAUUCAAGAAGAACCCUUCACCAAUCUUCUUCUAAGUAACUCGGUCCUGAAACACAACAUUGUGAGGGGAAAAUAUGGCAAGACAGUCUAAGGUUUUUGUAAUUUUUUCCUAUUGACAAGAGCUGAAAAGGAAAAGAAGGUACAUAGAGAACAGUGGAAUCAGUAUGCUCACUUAGCAAUCUAAUCUUUCCUUUCCCUAGAAUAGGUUCCCAUUUCCCAUUUGCAACAGAUACAUGCAUUGGAUCAAUAGUUCUUUGAAAAUCGUGGAGACUAGAGGGUUUAUUAGUUAUAUGAUCAGUGGCACCAGAGUCAAUAAUCCAAAAAUCAUGUGUAACAUUUGCAUUAAGAGCAGUGGAAAUGGCACUGAUAAUACCUGAAAUAUUUCCUUUCGAUGUGUUCUCCGAGUCAGCCAAGAAUCCAGCAAAUUUCCCUAGCAUUGCAGUAGGGUUUUCAAGUGUCAUUUCAUCAGGUUCAGUGCUUCCUUGCUUCUUUUGAAGAAAAGCAGCAAACUCGUUGAUCAAGGACACAUGAUUGUUGAGAAAUUGGCCAUCCCAUCAGUUAUGGAACAAGCUGAAUGAAAUGCUUUUGUAGUGACUCCACCCUUCCCAUCUUUGAUCAUCCUGCCUUCCCUAUCAAACUUAGGCUUUAACUCCGGAUGAAGAAUCCAACAUUUUUCUCUCAAAUGUCCCUUCAUGUUGCAAUAAUAACAUUUCCAGUCUGCUUUCUUGCCAAGUACCCUAUCACCAGUUGCUUUGUGAUUUGUCGUGAAAACCCUAGCUUCAGAAUUGGAUUUGGGCUCAACGUUCAUCACUCUUCGUCAAGUUUCCUCUCUCUGGACUGCAUGACACACACUGGUAAAUGAGGGCAGCUCUUGAGUCAUUAACAAGUGACUACGCAGGUCUUCAUACUUCGUUCCCAAGCUUGCUAAGAGUUGAAACACCUUGUCUUCAUCAGCCAUCUUCAGUAGCACAGCGGAAUCAGUCGUGUGUGGACGAUACAUAUUGAGUUCAUUCCACAUGGAUUUCAUACUUCCAAGGUGUUGAACAAAUGAGUGAUCACCUUGCUUUAAACUAGCCACACUCUUCUUCAGUUAAAAGAUGCAAACUGAGUUGUUUUGGCUGCCAUACAUGUCUUUGACAGACUCCCAUAGGAGAAGGGAAGACUCUGAGUAAUUGAAAAGCUCAGACAGUUUUGGCUCCAUAAAGUUAAGUAACCAGGACAUGACCAGUUAAUCAGUAGCAUGCCAUGCAUCGUAAGUUGGUGAAGUGGAUUAUGCGGGCUCAGAGCUUCCAUUGAUAAACCCUAGCUUCGAUCUUCCCCCUAGAGCAAGUGACACAGCUCUUGACCAAGGAAGGUAGUUGAACUCGUUCAGUAGCACCGAGCAGAGUCGUUGAUUUGGAUUGUUUUCAACCCCUUGGGUUAAGUUUAGGGAGGAGGAUGAGGCACUAUCGGCACUAGACACAUUUUCUUCUGCCAUCUCUUUCGAUGAUGAGCAAAUGAAGAAGUAAAAAAAAAAUGACCCUAUGGUUCCUGCUCUGAUACCAUGUUGAGUUUUGGUUUCAAUAUUUGUUAUAUAUUUCAUUAUGAAGAUUAGAAGAGAGUGAAGGCAACUCUUGUAGAGAGCCAAAAGAAAGCUACAAUAGAUUGUAGGAUAACUACACAAACACAAUCCCUAAAAUCUGCCCUAACAAGUGGAAAAGCAAAAACCAAAUUACAAGUAAAGAAGCUUUUACAAGCAACUAAGAAAUGUUGAUGUAAGGUGAAUGACAAGCUAUGGAAAGUGACUGGUGAAUGACAAGCUAUAGAAAGUGACUUUAGCCUAUGACUUAGCUAAAGUGAGGAUAACAACUCAUACAUACAACCCAUCCAUACAAUCCAUACAAAGUGUUGUUUCCUUUUGUACUGACAUACUACACCUGGAAAAGAAUUUUUUAGUGCUUCUUUGAUUCUGGUUUAUGAAACCUCAAUGAAUAUGAGGACUGGGGGGAAGAUGAUUAAUAAUGAAAAUGAAAGGAUGAAGAAAAUCACACAGAGAAUAUAGGUCCCCACUCAAGUCGUGCAAAGAGAAUAUUACCGUUAGCAAAGCACAGCUGGAUCCUUAGACAUCACAAAGUGAUCUUAGCCACACAUCUAACUAAUUUCUAGGAUCCUUAGACUUCACACAAGGCAUUAUUUGCCGUACAUCUUUGAACCUCACACUUGGCCAUAUUACAACUCUAAGUGAAUAUAGAAUUAAGCUCAUAACUUAUGUCACUAAUUCUAAUCAGCUCGAGACCUACAAUUCAACAGAAUUUGCAUCAUAGCUCUUUUUGUGCAGUGAUCUUUCGUAUAACAACCUCGCCAUAGAGGAUGCAAGUUGUCAACCACGAGGUGGCACGUAAGAAUGUCUUCAUUAGCUUGAAGUUAAUCUGUUUGUGUUAUGUGGAGAAAAGCUUAACUUUUCAUUUGUGUUAAUUUCUGCAGUAACUUGUUUGCAAGCUCGUCAAAAGGAAAUAGUUCGUAAGUUCAAAUUAAUCGUCUCAAAGCAUGCACCUAUAAAUUUACUUCGGUAUCCAAUGGUGUAUUCUUUACUAUUUUUUUUUCCAACUUCGUCUCAUUUAUGAUUGCUGACAUUUUUUGUACCCUGAAUUACUAUAUCCGGAGAAUCGUUUCAUGUUUCAAAACUUCAGAGUGUCCAAAAUGUAAGCCGAGUUUCUACACAAAUAAUUACCUUUAUUUUUUCGCUUCAUUCUUUUUUAGUUUUCCUCCUCAAUGCCUACUAAUCUCCAAUUUAUUUUUUCAUAGAUUUGUACUACUCUCUCCAUAUAAAUUGUGGUGGGAAACAAUUUACGGUCCCUGGAGGAAAAGAUACAGUAUAUGAUGAUGACACAUUUUCAGCUGGACCUUCAUCAUUUACCUGAGCAGAACAAAUUGGGCAUUAAGCAGCACCGGUUACUUCCCUGAUGAUGACCGCCCUUAUGACACCUUUAUAUGGACUAAUGAAACUAGACUCUCUAUGGCCAAUCCUCAACUGUACAUGAACGCACGCCUUUCUCCCAUCUCUCUAACUUAUUUUGGGUUUUGUCUGGGAAAUGGAAACUACACCGUAAACCUCCAUUUUGCAGAGAUAAUGUUUAGAAAUGGCAAAACAUAUAAAAGCUUGGGAAGGCGCAUAUUCGAUAUUUACAUUCAGGUAAGUAUCGCAUCCACUUCCAUGUAUACCAGUGAAUUAUUCUAAUUUUCAACAAGCAUUGUUUAUAUUUUGGUCGAUUUGAAUGUUAACUUUCACAUUUAUGAUCAUGAAAUGUUAAGCAACUAAAUUAGUGUGUGUGUGUGUGUGUGUGUGUGUAUUGCAGGGAAAACUAGUGAAGAAGGACUUCAAUAUCAUGGAUGAAGCUGGCGUGUUUGGUGAUGUAGUCAUAAAGAACUUUACUGCUCCUGUAACUAAUAAUACAUUGGAGAUUCGUUUCUAUUGGGCCGGAAGAGGGACGACAGGCAUCCCUUUUAGAGGAGUCUAUGGUCCUCUUAUUUCAGCUAUUUCAGUAGACCCAAGUAAGUUUUCACUGAUCUGAGCUUCGUCUAAUUACUAUGCGUCGACCAUAUGCAUUUAUAUAUCUACUAAAUUAAGAGAUCCGACUUCAGUUCUGCAAGGUUCUUCUUCUUCUUCAAUAUUUCCCUUCGCUUGUAUUUUCAGAAAAAUGCUUCUGUGUUUUUCUCCUGUUUUACAUAGUUUGAGCCAAGACUUGAAGAAAUACUCUCUUAAAUUUUCUUAUCACAUAAUAUGCUGUUUUUUUCUAGGUGACGGGUAUGCUCUUUCAAAUACAACAAAAUUCAACUUCGAGGAUUUUUAACUAUUUACAUGAAAUGUACCGUUUGGUACGUGGGACGGGACGGGAUGGAACGGGACGAGCCGUUCCGUCCCACGUUUGGUGCGCCUAAAAACUGUGGAACGGGUUGUCCCAUGGGACGAAAUUUGGCUGAUUUUUCGUUCCACCUCUUCCCCCUGGAACGACCCGUUCCACAUCCGUGUAACACAAAUUUAUAACAUUUUAUGACACAAUUUCUCCUUAUCUUUUUUAAUAUUUACAUCAUCUGUUCCGUCCUGUUCUGUCCCGUCCCGUCCUGUUCCAUCCCGUCCCGUCCCGUUCCAUCCCGUCUACGUACCAAACGGUACCUUAAGGAAACAUAUAAUAUUUACAACCAUCAAAAGAAAGUUUGUUCGAGGGAUUACUUCAUAUACUAUCUACUUAGUUAAGGAUGCCGCAAAGACAGGGUUUCAAUCUUCUGUUUGUGUGCAUUGGAUAGCUAGUUGAAUAAUCCACUCUCAUAUCAAUUACAUACAUUUACUCUAAUUUAAGCUAUAUUCUUUCUUCGGACAGACUUUGAUUCGCCGCCAAAACCUGUAAGUGACACAUCAACUGGUGGAAGUGGCGUGCCUGUAGGUGUCGUGGUUGGAAUUGUGGUUGGAGGAGUCUUCAUUAUACUACUGAUAUUUGGUAUUCUUUGGAAGAGAGACAACAAAAGACAUUGGAGGAUGGUAUUAAUUUGCAGUUUAUUAUGUUAUACUGGUUUUUCCUUUUUGUUCCUCCAUUACUUUCUCUCAUCGAGCUUUUUUCGUAACUAAGUACGAUAUUUAUGCUAUUUGCAUGGUUCUCAUGCAUAUUGACAUGCACCACAAAGACAGUAAUUAUUUAGAUAUGGAGCUUUCCGGCACUUUGAUGUUUCUGUAAUAUAUUUAUCGUCCAAACACCAUGAUGCAAAGUGUCUGCCUAUAGAUCUAGUUACUUGUUAAAUUCUAUAAUUAGGCACAAAAUAUUAAGAACUAAGAAUGUUAUCGUUCUGAAAGUUUUCUUAAGACACAAUUUCUUAUGAGUUUUAGUUGUUAUACAGAUUUGAAGGGUGUGGACCUGCAAACUGGUAAAUUUACCUUCAAGCAACUCAAAGAUGCCACUAUUGGCAUGUAACCCUUCAGCCGAAGACUUGGAGGCAAAGAAAGAAUUCAAACCUUAUUUUAAUGUUUGUUUCAUGUUUAAAUUUGAGCCAUUGAAUCAUAGUCCAUGUGGCUAGCCUUACUUGUAUCUAGCUUAAGUGAUAGAUUAUAACAAGUGGCAUCAUCUCAUAGGAUGAUAGCAAUUAAGGAAUGAGAUUAAGUGUGUUAUUGAUGAGUGUAUAAAGCCAAAAACCUUAUAUGUUUGUUGUGAGGGAAUAUUUUUCAAUCAAUCAGUGUAAUCAUCCUCCUAAAAAUUCUCUCUGCCAUUUUCGGCAUUACACAGACCUCUGCAAGAUUUCAUAGAAGCUUACCAAACAUUCCCAUACACUAACAGCCACAAGCAACUUUAACAAAGCUAUCAAGUCGUUGCAUCCGACUAUCCUUGCAUUCUCUGCUUUGAACAUUUUCACAUAAUCGCGAAACAACUCCUUUGGGUUCUUCUUGACGUUGAACAAAUGGUCGGACUUCUUUUUUAUCAAGCGAUAGGAUGAAUAUUCUUUGGUGAAAACCAAAAAAGUUCGUCAAAACUCCGGAUGGAUUGUGGUGGCAGGGUGUAGAACCAAUUUUGCGUCUCGCCUUGUAGAGUGAUGAUGAAUAUCUUGCACAUGAGAUCGUCGUUGUUUCGAUAGAGGAUCAUUGCGCUUCGGUAGUGCUUUAAGUGUCUCUCCGGGUCUUCAUCCCCUUUGAAAGAUGUGAAAUGUGGCAUGCUGAACUCGUGUGGAGGCUCUGCCUGCUCGAUCUCAUCCGUGAAGGGUGAUCUGCUUAUGUUGGUCAUGUUCCGUCGUAGUACCUCGUAGGUGACCUUGUUGCGUUGGAAAUUGCACAAUCACUUAGUCAAGAGUCUCUCUACUUCUUCCUGAAUUUGCCUUUGUUAGGGUAGUCGAACUCUCGGCUGCCCCUAGCUGUGACUUGCUGGUCUAAGCUGCUCUUCUAUGUGUUUGGCUCGUCUAUUCCGCGGAUGAGGUGUGUGUGGUGUGUUCCUAGCAAGCGAGCGAGUUCUUCUCAGGCUGUCGGUUGAACUUGAGCCGGAUUGAGUGACAAAGUCAAUGAAAGAAUGAUUCACAGUGUGCUUGCAUACUUCUUAUACACGAACAACUUUGUAUCGGCCUAGUUAUUAGUUACAAAGUCAAUGAAAGAAUGAUUCACAGUGUGCUUGUAACAAAUACACAUUUACCGUUUGUGUAAUUCCUCAUGUUUUAUUCUUUCUAAAGAACAUUGGACAUUUUCCUUCGGUUUUAGAGUAAGAAAACCAGUUCCUUCUUCCUAUUUAAUUCCCUGACCAAAAGUAAGUAUUUUCUGUGAUAAAUUAAUGUUUUACCUGUUUGGUCUCAUUUCUGUUGCAGCUUUUCCUUUUAGUCACAGUAUAGAUGCGUAAUGGAUAUCUGUUAAUUUCCAUAUAUGUUAUUAUUUAUUUUUACUUGUAAUGAAUAUCUAUUGUCACAACCCGUCCCGAAAUAUUUAUUUUCGACGGUGUGAAAUGACAGUUUUACCCUUGGACGUUGAGAUGUGUGGUGUGUGUCAUGCUUUUGGAUGUGGACCAAUAUGUUGAGUUCCUAAGUUUUUGGACUCAAUUAGAAGUUAGACUUUUGUUAGUUUGGUUAGGGACCAAGUGAGGACCACACACACACACAAAACACCCCGUGCAUUCUCUCUCGUCUCGGCCUUCCUAUCAUUUCCGUACAAAACGUACAGACGAACACCAAACUCACACUUCACGCACGGAUCGACGUUAACCAGGUAAUAUUCGAAUUCCUUGUAAGAUUUUGAGUUCACCCAUACCCUUUUUAGAUCGAGAAACCUUCGUUUUCUCGAGAAACCAGAACUGCCGAAUUCAUGCACUGUUCAUGCACUCAUAAAUGUGAGGUUUUUAGGAAUUUUUUAGGACAUAGUGAGCUUUGGAUCAUCCUCACGAAGCUUGGAGAAGAAAAACCAAGUGAAUUGGACGUCGGGAAGUGGAGAUCGACGAGUUCAAAGUUUGGCCGGAUUAUCGAAGGAUCUCCGGCGAAUUCUCGAGGGAUUUCAGGUCCCAAAAUUGGUAAGGUUUUAUUCCUUAUGUUGUAAGCUUCAUUUUGGUGAAGAUUUCGUGGAAUUUGGUGCAAAAAUGGGAGAGAUAUGAGGUUUUAUAUAUUUUCCAGUUUUCGGCAACGGCGACGGUCGCCGGAGGUCAAACGUAGGGGACGACGAGAUAUUCCAUCAAAAUUGAUGGAAUAUUCCUAACGGCCGUUAGGCCUCAGUUAGGGUUUGGCCGAGCGUGGGGGCGCGUAGGGCCGUGCCUCCGCCGGCGUGUGACGACGCGUGGGACGUCAGAAAAUUUUUCUAAAAAUAUGGGGAUGUUCAUGAGAUUGUGUAGUUCACGUUGGUAUAUUCAAACAUCCCAUUUGAGCAAUGUAUGAGAAGUUAUUAGCUAGUAUUGGUUAUGUGCUUUAAAUAACGUUUAUUUAGUUAUUUCACAUAUAGGUGAGACCUAUCUAGAGGACGAGCGCAGUCAAGGGCGACUCGGGGGCUACGACCCUUCGACAUACCAGUUAGUGGGCUUUUGGUUUUCAAUAUAUAUUUAUAUACUUGAUAUUUUCCCAGAAAAUGUGUUUAAAUGAAAGUAUGCUUUGAAAUGCCAUGCAUAUAGAUUUAUAUUCGGCAUAUGAAUUAGUAUAUGAUGCAUAAUAUGAAUUGGUACUGUGGAUGCUCAGGUAAGUACCAGGUGAGUUAUGUUUUGUUAUAUGAGAUAUUGAUAAUGUGAGACGUGAUUGAGAACUCAUAAACCUGCACCCCGGGUGAUUGUGAUUUAGCCAGAGAUAUGGCACAUGCCUGUAUAUAAUGUCACAUCCCGCACCAUAUGCUCACAUUGGAUCCAAUUUAGGUGCACAGUCUUGUCGUACAGACCAUUAGGUGAGUAGUGAUUUAUCGCACAGCUAUCAUGAGAGCGUAACAUUGAGCAUAAUUAUAUUACACUCAGUCUUGUCGUACAAACCAUUACAGUGGUUCCGACUCGUGUGCAGUGUAGUGCCGUAUAGGUCACUGACGAUGACUUCGGCUAGAUUGAUAAAUAAUAAAUUUAGUCGUACAGACCUCUGCAGGGGGUUCCGACUAAUAUGUUAUUUUCCAUGAAUUUAUUUUCACCUGAGUUACUUAUUCUGUUUUAUAUUUUGGCAUGGCAUACUUAUGAAUAGAUAUGUGAAGCAUGAUUUGAAUAUAUAUAUAUAUACACACACACACACAUAUAUAUAUUUAUAUUCUAUUUCUGGGAAAAUUAUACAUGUUUUACGGCGAUGGGUUAUAGUAUUUGAUAAAUGAAAUGGUUUUGAAGAACUUUGUUUUUGCCCACUCACGUUUUCUGUUUUGCGCCCCUCCAGGUUUUAGGUAAGCUUGCUCGUUGGUGGCUCACGAGGAUUAGUGGAGGUUCUGACAGACCAUAUCAAAUGUAGGACAUCUUUGGGUGUCGUUUAAUUAGUACUUGCUUUCUGGACUGAACUUAGGCUACUCUCACUCUGAUUGUGUAUUUACACAUAUACUAGCACUAGUCUUAACUAGUACUCUUACAAGUUGGUUUUCAAUUAUUCGUAUUCUCUAUUAUCAUUAUUGCUUCUGCACUGUGCACAUGACUACGUCACCCUCACGUGAUGGCCAGCAUACCCUGAUUCGGGUCGGGGUGUGUCAUCUACCCUUUUAAUUACAUUUUAUUUUCAAUAGUAUCUAAUGAGUAGAUUUUAUAUUAUAUAUUUUACCUUGAUCUUAGUUUAUUUUGGUUAUUAUUUUGGAAGAAUUUUGAUACUUUGAAUUGCAUUUGCAAUAUAGGAGUUUCAACUUCUUCUGGAGCAAAACGUGAUCAAAUGAAUGAAUUUUGGAGUGAUUCCAGCUGGAGGAUGUUCGUGAUUUUCUUAGCUUGAUCAUGUCAAAAUAUAAGAUUCUUCCACCAAUCGGUUAUUUUCUAGCGAUAGAAUAAAGGAGCACUGCGCGAUGCUGGAAAAAUGACGUUUUGGGCUUAAUUGCAAGUUUUGGAGUCUAAGAUAACUUAAUUUGGGUUCGGCCCCUUCUGGAGAUAUGUUCAGAACGUUCCGAUCUUUAAAACAAGCUGUCAUGGGCCGGAUUUGGAGGAGAUUUGAGGCUAAAACGUGGCUGGACAAUUCCCAGAUUCUCCUAGCUUAAUUAGGACUUUAUUUUCUAGUAUAUUUAUUAUUAUUUGGUUUCCUAGUUGGAUCCAAAGACUUUUAUUAGGGAUUAUUGCAGGUUUUAGGAGAGGAUAUAAGGUUUGACCGGCCUUAGUCCUUUACUUCUUCUUUCAUGCGACUUCGGAGAUAGGAAAUUGGCUAGGGUUCUUGAAGAUUUUUAGAGUUUAUUUAAGGUUUUUUCAAUCAUUUUCUUCAUAAUAAUAUUUUGUUUGAUUUUAAUUAUAAAUAUGCGUAACUAAUUUGUUUUGCUGGGGCGAAGUCUUGAAUCUUAGCAUGAAUAUGUAAUUUUUAUUUAAUUGAUAAUGAUUGAUCGUAUGUAUGCUUUGAAUUAUUGAUCACCAUUUUAAACUAUCUAAUUGUCUUGAUGACUAGCCACCAUUAUGAUGUUUAGACAAGUAAUUGGAUGCAAUUCGGUUAGAAUAUCACCAGAGGAUUGGGUAUUGCUUCUUGUGGUUAAUAAUUGUAAUUUCACCUAAGGCGAAUAUCACGCUCUUAGGGGUUGCAUGUUUUUCGGAGAGUUUCACAGAACUUAAUGAGUUUUGCAAGUUUAUAUUUGAUCUGAAUAUCACAGACGGAUUGCAUGUUAGAUAUACGUUCUUGCUUGAAAAUCACGAGGAGAAUAUGUAUCAGGAAAACCUAACCUUCAAAGUUGCAUAUGUAGAUCAUAAGUAAUUUGUCAAAAUACAUAGGAUUGUUAUGAUGAUGGCGGAACCCUAGUGUUUUUAUAAAUUGGUAUUUAAAAACUCUUUUCUAUUAUUUUUACAAUUUUGGUUUAUAGUUAAAAUUCAUUUAAUAUAAGUCAGGAUAUUUUAUAGGGAACUUUAACGAAAAGUUCCCAGUACUGUUCACUUUAACGAAAAACGUGCCUUGAUAAUCACAUGAUGUAUUUAAUGUAAUUAUAUAAUUGAUCAUUACAGUUGUGGAUAAUUACAAAAAAGUAUAAUAAAUAUACGCUGAGAUACACAUAGUCCUAAAUUAGUACUUAGUUCUGAAAACGCCAAUAAGAUAUAGAUCCAGAAAAUUGGACUUCUCGUCCUCGUCAUAUCACAUCAGCCUAUCAAGCCACCGUUACCAACACCUCCACAAUUUGCAGAGAAAUUCGCAAUGAAUGCUUAAACAAACAGAUCCAUCAAGGAUCUUACCAUGUAAGGUCGACCAACCGCAAAUAUGCAGAAAGAAGACAAAUCAAUUACAAAAUCCAGCGUUUCAGAAGGUAGAUCUGGAAAAUUUCUGACCAAACUUGCCUGAUCCAAAGCCCUAUAACCUAGGGAGAAAACAAAACCUCGCAAGAGGCAAUGAAGAACAAGCCUAGCACAAGAAGGCUAGGGAGCAAAAGCUCUCCACAUAAAUACGGGAGACAGGCCCUAUAGUCGUAGGACUCCUUGUCAAGAUUAGGCUUGGGUGAGUGGUUUUCAUAAGGGAUUGAAGCACAGUUGGUCAUGAACUUAUCAUAAACUGUUAUACGGAAGAUAUUAGAAAAUUGCUACAUGAGCAUCACAAAAGCAUGUGAGAGGCGAGAGUGAUUUUUAAACCCUUACUUGGUUUAAGUCAUUUUCAAAUCUUUUUCACAUGUCUUUACAAUGCUUAUAUGGUGUUUUUGUAAUCUCUCAUAUCUAGCAUUUUAUAAUUCAUUUUUUACUAAUUUGGUCUCAAGUUCACAGGGCUAGAAUUCUUCCCCCCAAACAUAGCUCAAAGGACUCACACCCUCCAAAUAAAGUAGACAACAAUACUACAAUUGACAUAAGUUUUUGUGUGGUAGUGAAUUAUUGUCACAUGCGCUCAUGCAGAUACUAAUAUGAAGAUAAAUUAUGGGAAGUGAAUUAUAUAUACUUCUUUUCGUUGCGCUCUCUUUUCAAUUUUUUUUUAUAUUUGAAUUGAAUUUAGAACAAUUCAGAAAACAAAGUAGCCCAAAAUGAUCUAUGUGAAAAUUAUUUCUAUAAACUCUACACACACACACACACACACACAAAACAAUUAAUGAUUGUUCCAUACCAACUUAUACAGUCAACCAACUGAUAAACUGGAAAAUAUGAUUAUAAUGAUAGCAUCCAAUUCCUAUCAAUGACUUUAGGGUAAAUUACAUAGUAGCUCUUCAGGUUUGAUGUCUACUACAACCUCAUACAAUAUCUUUGAAACAUUUCACUUUCAUAUCUCACGUACUAUUUUAUUUCAAAAUAAUACAUCCGUUACAUUUUCCAUCCAUUGAUCCGUUAAGUGCUGACGUGGCUGCCAAAUGUGUGCCACGUGGCAAAAAAAAUAAUUUUUUUUUAAAAAAAACCUUAAUCUUCUAAAUAAAAAAAAUCAAAAAGAGAAAAUUCAGAUCCCAUCAUCCCACCCCCUCCCCCAUACCUGAACCUUGAACAAAAAAAAAAAAAAAAAAAAAACCCAGAAAACCCAGUUCCCACUAACACACCUUCCCCCCAAAUCCCAUCAACACCCCCAUGUGAAACCUCGAUCCCAUAUCCCCCCCCCCCCCAAAAAAAAAAAUCAUCUUCCAUCAGUCAUCCGCACCCAUCCUCCACCUCCUCCCCUGCACCCAUCUCCACCUCAUCCGCACACCCAUAUUCCCAUCUUCUCCUGCCCCGCCCCCCCAACCCGAGCCCAACCUGCAACCCAGAAAGAAGAGGAAAAAAAAACCCAGCGCACCCACCCUCGCACUCAUCCUCUUCCCUCCUCUACACACCCUACUCCUUAAAUCCACACUCAUUGGGGAAGACGGGAUCUGGGUUGCAGGGAAAUGGCAAUAGGUUUUUUUUUUCGUUUCUUUUCUGGGUUGGAGGUAGUGGGUGCAGAGGAAGAGGUGGAGGAUGGGGUGCACGGUGGGUUUGGGGAAGACAAGAGGGGAAAGAAAGGGGUGGGUUGCAAGGAAAGGGGGUCGGGGAAGAUGAAGAUGGUUUUUUUUUUUCCACUCCUUUUCUUAAUCUUCUGGGUUGCAGGUUGGGUGGGUGGGGGUUGAAGGUUCAUCUUUUGUUUUUUGUUUUUUUUUUUUAUUUAGAAGAUUCAGGUAAAAAAAAAAAAAAAAAAAUUUGCCACGUGGCACAAAUGUGGUAGACACGUCAGCACUUAAUGGAUCAAUGGAUAGAAAAUGUAAUGGAUGUAUUAUUUUGAAAUAAAAUAGUAUGUGAGGUAUAAAAGUGAAAUGUUUUAAAGAUGUUGUAUGAGGUUGUAAUAGACCUCAAACCUAAGGGGUUACUAUGUAAUUUACCCAUAACUUUAUACUUGGAGAACUAAAUAUUAAUUUUAUAUACAAAUAAUUUUAGUAUUGUUUUUUUGUAGGACCAUAUAUAUUUUUAAUUAUAAAUGAAUUUUUUGCGAUAAUGAUUUAUGAAUGAUGAAUUGAAAUAUAGGUGGUUCAGAUCUUUGAAAAAAAAUUAUGAAACGAAAACUACAAAAAAUUGUGUCAAAAUAUGUACACACAAAUUUAAGGAUGUGUAGCACUAGGUAUACGUGGCAUUAGGUAUAUUUUUUAUUUUCAUAUUAAUAAAUUUCCUUCAUACCUCGAAAUUUUCUAUAAAAAAAAAAACAAAAAGAAAAAAAACGGCAGAAGGCCACUUGUGAUGAGUACUUUAGUCAUGGAAUGCUGAUCGAAGUGCUAUUAAAUUGUCACUUAGAAUCAUAACUCUUGGCUUAUAGUAUGAAAAAAAAAAUACAGAACAUUUGUAUAUUGCUUGCAAGCAAUUAGGUUCUGUUAGUCAACUCCAGCAACUUGAUUAGAAAGCAUGUAUAUAAAGCUGCGCAAUUACCAUGUCCACAUAUCCUGAUCAGGAAAUUUCCCCUGCUUGGCUUAGUUGAAAAUAGCAGAUAAGUCAAGAGCGUAUUUUAAAUUACUGUUGGUUAAUUAUUUUAAAUUUCACUAGCAUAUGGGUAUACACAAAGUGUGUGAGAAAAUUUUUUAUUUUUGUUUUUGAAAUAGAAGAGGGAGUGAUAGAGAACGUGGGAGUGAGAAUUUUUUUUAUUAUUUUUUUAUUUUUUAUAAUUAGAUAUAUGUUAGGAUUACAUGUAGGUGAGACUUUGAAAAAAAAAACAGCAAAAUUUGGUUGUAUGAAAUUACAUUUCUGCCCCAUAUUUCUUAUUCAUGUUCUAUUUUAAUUAGAGGGUUAAACUGGUAAUUUUAUAGGAUUUUGAUUGAAAAUGAAUGUUUUAUUAAUUAAUAGAGAUAAUCAAUAUUAAUUACCAGUGGGUGUACUUUAAAUUAUGCUUGAUUAAUUAUUGUAAAUUUCAUAAUCAUAGAAAACUAAUAGCUUAUUAUAUAUUGUUGUCAAAAUCGUGAGUUCGGCUGUUGGAAAGGAUUUUUAAUGGGUAAAUUACAUUUUACCUCCUCAGAUUUGGAUGCAAUUGCAACCUCAUACAACAUUUUAAAAACAUUUUAAUUUCAUACAUUUAGUUAUCAUUUCAUUUCAAUGUCAUACAACCGUUAAAAAUUCUGUUAAGUUAGCUGUUAAGUGAUGAUGUGGUAACAGUGGGUCUCCCAUGUUUGCUUAUGUGGUUAACAACUUCUGCCACAUGGACAAACAAUUAAUAUUUUAUUUAAAAAAUUACAAAAAAAACCCUUAAAAAAUGGCUAAAAAAAAGGGAUAACUUGAUAUAGAUCCAAUUUUGUGAGCCAUUAGUAGGAUUAGUCCACUUCAUUGAAAUAGGUUCAAUAAUUGAGAUUCUACGUAUGCUUAUUUGUGGUUUGUACCAUAUUUACCCCUUAGGCUUACAAAUUGUAGUAAAUACACAAAAUUUCUUAAUUAUGGGAUUAUUUGUGGUUUAACUAAUCCCUUAAUUGUAGGAUUAGUUAUAGCCAUGUAAUCACCUCAACCCCCAGUCCGUUUCAUCCCUCCUUUUUUACUUCUUCCAAACAAUUCCCUCUAUCAAUCUUCCUCUUUGUUGUCUCUUCUUUUCAUGGGUGAUAUUUUUGUGUUCUUCCCUCCAAAUUCGUUCCUUUAAUGGAGGUAUAUUACAUCAUAUUUAUAUUUCUAUGUUCCUCCAUGUAGGUUCCCAACAUUUUUCUUCCAAUACAAUAGGUAGUUUAUUUUUGUUUUGCAGGUAGAUUAUAUCUGCUUUAUAGGUAUAAAGCAUUUUUCUUCCUAUACAAUAGGUAGGUAGUUACUAGAUUAUAUCGGUUUUGUUUUCUUCAUAAAUAGUAGGUAGUUACUAUAUAAUAUUUUAGUUUGAGUAUUUAAAUAUUCAAAAUUUAAAAACUGAAUAAAUGAUAUAAAAAAAAUUAAAGAAUUUAAAUAUUUUUAUCUGAAGGGGCAAAAUAUAUAUCAAAAUAUGUAAUUGGAUAACUAGACUCAGUCCCAAAAACUACCUAUGUUUUUGGACCUAGAUCCAAAAGCCCAAAAAAAAAAAAAAACAACCUUCCACAGCCCCUCUCCACCCCACGCUGAAAAUGCAAAGCCCCAACCCUAGAUCUUCCAUCCCCUCCAAUACGUCGUCAACAUCUUCGUCCACCACUGCAAGCCCGCCGGCAACACCAACAUUGCCUCCAACCCCACCCACGUCGACUGACGCUGCAAAUCGGACGACAACAUCAUAUUCUUCCUCGCGCGACAAUAUGUUGGGGGUCGCGGUGGUUGAGGCAGAGAGCACAAAGUGGUGAACUCCCAAACUCCGGCUGACGAAUUUGGUGGCGGUAGUUCAGGCAGAGAGCGCAAGUGGACUGACAAUUUGAGACAUGGAUCAAAUUUAGGGGUUGGGUUGGAUUCGACAAAAUUUGGGGGUUGGAUUUGUCCAAAUCCUAAAUUUUCCCAAACCCAGGUCCAAGUUGCAGGGGUCGAAGCCGACGUCAAUGGCAACGACGGAUGAGGAAAUGGGGUUUGCAGGGGGAGAGGGAGAAUGUGAUUGGGGAUGGGGAUGGGGAUGGGGAAGGGGAAGACAUGGGUUUUAGGGUUUUUUUUUUAUUAAAUAAUUAUUUUAGUAUUUAAUAUUCUGAUUAAAUUAUUAUUUUUUAAAUGCAUAGAAAUUUUUUUGCCACGUGGCAUAAAUUUGGUAACCACGUCAGCACAAAUAUAGAUCCUAUAUUUGCCAUGUUAUCACUUAACAUAUUUUCUAACGAAUGUAUGAAAUUGAAAAAAAAUGAUAAGUAAAUGUAUGAAAUUGAAAUGUUUUAAAGAUGUUGUAUGAGGUUGCAAUCGACCCCAAACCUGACGAGGUAAAAUGUAAUUACCCUUUUUUUAAUUAAGUUGACAUGAGCUGCAAAUAAUAUGCGUUGACACUAUUUUGCCAAAAAUCGGUGUAUUGAGAAAAUAAUACCAAUUACUUCAAAAAAAUAAAAAAACAGUUACGACUAAUUAUUUUUUAUCGUCAGUUGCUAGUUACAAAUAUAACUAGAUCUUGUGCCCUUGUAAUAUUUUUAAGAAAAUUUUCAUUUAUUAUUUGACAAAAAAAAAUAAUUGUGAUAAUUAUAAUCCAUCCAUCUCAACUAUUUGCGGUUUUACUUUAAAAAUAUUAUUUCACAUACGUCUCGGUCAUCCAUUUAUGAUUACAUGACUAAAAUUUCACAUAUGUCUCAAUCAACUAUUUAUGUCACAGCCCGUCCCAGAAGAUUAUUCUCGAUGACUUGAAAUGACAAUUUUACCCUUGGACGUUAAAGUAUGUUGUGUGGUUUAAGUUGGAUUUUGGACCCAUUCAUUAAUUUCCUAAGUCUUUGGACCUAAUUGGAAGUAAGGAAAUUGUUUGUUUUGAUGGGUGACCCAAAAAUCUGGACCACACAUCCUUUCUCUCUCUCACUCUCCCGUGCUCUCUUCUCUCUCUCGGACUCACUCUCUCUUCCCUUUCCUCCGUACGGACAACCUUGAACCAAGCCAAAUCUUCAUAGAUCAAGGAAGAAAAUGGUACCAUUGUGUUCGUGAGGACCAUACGAGUUCAAAGGUACCCAUUUCAGGUAAGAACUCGUUCGAUAUCACGUUAAAAACUCAAACUCCGAGUUGAUCACUAUUCAUGAACUUUUGCAUGGUUAUGUUUUAGGACAAUCCAAGCUCAUAGCGAGCUCUAGGAGGUUCUCACGAAGCUCGGAGUGCUUCGUUGGCUCGGUUUUGACGUCGGGAUCACAAGGUUCGAAGGUGGCCGGUUUUGGUAGAAUUUUCCCGACGAGUUUUCGAGGGAUUUGAAGCUCCCAAGAGGUAUAACCUUCUUCCUUUCGUGAUUUAUGGCAUUCUGGUGAAAAUUGUGUGAAAAAUGGUGCAAAAAUGAGCGAGAAAAAGGCAGUUGCAGGUCUGCCCAGAAUCCGGCGCCGGUGACACUGUUCCAGCGUCUGGAAGUUGAAGAUGAUGCGCGUGGGGCCGUGCCCUCCCCGGCGCGUGAGGGCUCAUGAGCCACAGAAAAUUUAUUUUAAAAAUAUCACGAUGUUCGUGAGGUUGUGUAGGUCGCGUUGGUAUAUUCAAAUACCAAAAUUGAGCUUUGUAUGAGAAAUUAUUAGCUAGUUUUGUGUAUGUGCUUUAAAAUAACGUUUUUAUAGUUAAUUCGCAUAUAGGUGAGACUUAUCCCGAGGACGAGCGUAUCCACGGGCGACUCGAGGGUUACGACCCGUUGACAUACCAGUGAGUGGGCUUUUGGUUUUCAGUAUAUAUUUAUAUACUUGAUAUUUUCCCAGAAAAAUAUGUUUAAAUGAUAAUAUGCCAUAAAUGCCAUGCAUAUACAAUUAUGUUUCGUGUAUGAAUUGGUGUGUGAUACCUUAUAUAUAUAAAUGUGGUGCUAUGGAGGCACAGGUAAGUUCAGGUAAGUUAUGUUUGGUUAUGUGAAUCAUCGAUGAUGUGAUAUGUGAUUGAAUAAUGUUGAGCUCAUUAAACUACACCUAGGGUGAUUGUGAUUUAGCCAGUGAUAUGAAGUACAUGCCUGUUUAUUUACGUCACCUCCCGCAUUAUAUGCUCAUAUUGGAUCCAACUUAAGUGCAUAGUCUUGUCGUACAGACCUUAUUUAUGGUUCCGACUGUAGGUGACUAGCGAAUUAUUGCCCGGCUAUUAUAAGAGAGUAAAAUUGAGCAUAAUCAUAUUACACCCAAUCUUGUUGUACAGACCCCUUUUUAGUGGUUCCGACUUAUGUGCAGUAUAUUGCCGUAUAGGUCAUUGUAGUGACUCCGGCUAGAUUGACUUUUGAGUUAUGAAUUCAGCCGUACAGACUACCACAGGGGUUCCGACUAACAUAUCAUAUUUCUAUGAAAUCAUUCUUACCUGGAUUGUUUACUUUGUUAUAUUUUGGAAUGGCAUACAUAUGCUUAUGAUUAUGUGAAGUAUGAUUUGAAUUGAUAUAUUUUUCAUAUUCAUUUAUGUAUAUGCUUAUAUUCUGAUUCUGGGAAAAAUUAUACAUGUUUUACAGCGAGGGGUUAGACAUGUUGAUAAAUGAAAUGGUUUUGUAAAACAUUUGUUUUUGCCCACUCAUGUUUUCUGUUUUGCGCCCCUCCAGGUUUUAAGUAAGCUUGCUGUUGGUGGCUUGAGGACGUCGGCAGUUCUGACCUAUCUAAAUAAUAGUAGGACAUUCCUGGUACUGUAUAACUAGUACUUGUCCUACUGGACUGCACCUAGACUUUAUGCUCUGAUUAGGAGUGUUUACUUCUGUAACUAACUCCUAUCACUCCCUGUUUAGUAGUGCAUUCUAGUAAUGUGAUUCUUAAUUAUUAGUAUAUUUUCUUAUCAUUAUUGCUUCCGCACUGUGCACAUGGCUACGUCACUCUCACGUAAUGGCCAGCAUGCCUUGAUCUCGGUCGGGGUGUGUCAGUUUGGUAUCAGAGCAUAGGUUUAGCAGUCAUGUAUAAUUCUUGAAUGUUCUAAUCCUUGUGAUGUCUUAUGUCAGAAUUAUGUCGCCUCGUAGAGAGCCCCGUCAAUCAGCUGAACCUAGUUUCCCCAAUAUUGCUCAAUUAGGGGAAGCUAUAGUUUCUGCCAUUCAGACUGCAUUCCGUACUCCCAGAGGAUACCUCUCAAGACAGUUUAUAAUCUGAAGUUGACUCACUUCAUUGGAAAUGAAGGACAUGAGGGGGCGGAAAAAUGGUUGAAUCAUAUGGAGAAUACCUUUCAGGUGAUGCAGAGUCAAGGGAAUCUUCCUCCUGAUAGGUGGGUCGAGACGACUACCUGGUUUUUGGGGGAACAACCUGCAACCUAGUGGAGACAGGAGUCUUACCAGUUGACCCCAGCAGAGAUUGUGGACUAGGGAGUGUUUAAGGAGCUGUUUCGGAAAAGGUUCAUUCCUUAUGCGUAUAUCGAUCGUAAGAAACAUGAGUUUACUCAUCAGAAGCAAGGAAAGACGUCCGCUGAUGAGUAUUAUAGGAUGUUUGCUGAUCUGUCGAGAUAUGAUCCGGAGGUUGCUGCUAAUUCGGUAGAGAUGCUUCGCCGUUUCAGUUUGGGUACUAAGAAGAAAUGGCAUUCCAUAGCGACAUCGACUCACUGUGCUACAUACCAGGAGUUUUAUGAGAUUUUACUGAGAAUUGAGGACUCGGAAAGCAUGCCUAGUGAAAGUGAGGAUGAGGAAGGAAAGAAUGGGGGCCAGAAACGAGAUGAUAAGGGGAAAAGGCAAGCAUUUCAGGGACCCCGCAAGACCCAGAACUUUAAGAGGAGUGGUGGCAGUUCCAGCUCUUCUAGCGGAGGAUUGCGUACUAAUAUGCAAAGAAUAGAUGGUAGAUUUACUGGAGGCCCUAGGUUCUAGAGACAGAGAGAUUUUGGUGGUUCAGGUGGAUCUGGUGCUCUUUUAUGCCGCAAGUGUAAUAGUCAACGUUUUGGGGAGUGUAGGAGAGGCAGCAGUGGAUGUUUUACUUGUGGAUAGAUGGGUCAUAGGGCUGCCCAAUGCCCUCAGAGUCAGCAGAGACCCUAGUAGCCUUCUUUCCCACCACCUGCACCGUCCCAGCAAGCUUCAAGAUCUGGUGGUUAUGCUCAAACUAGACGAGGAGGUGCCUACCACUAUUAAGGUGACGCCGCUCCUUACACCUCAGGACAACAUCAGUAUUCUCAGGACCCUCAGUAUCAGAGUGGGUACCCUCAGUAUCAGGGAGGAUUUAUGUCUUAUUAGCCUCAUUCAAUCGGAGGAUAUCAGUGGUAGCAAGGGGGACAGCCCCAGCAGGGAGAGAUUGCUGCUAGUAGUGCAGGAUCUUCGAGGCAGUCGGGUCAGCAGAGGCAAUGAUGUGGUAUUCAUGCCAACAGAGGUAGUGGUGGACGACAGCAGAAUCAGGGGCGUAUCCACAACAUGUCACUGCAAGAUGCCCAGAAUAAUCUAGAUUUAAUCAUGGGUACGUUAAAUAUUCUUGGUCAUUUUGCUAGAGUAUUGAUUGAUUGUGGUGCUACACAUUCUGUUAUUUCUCAUACAUUUGCUCAAGUGACGCAACCUCAUCCUACACCUUUAGGAUAUAAUUUAGAAUUUUCUAUGCCUAGAGGGGAUAGAUGUUUUGUGGAUUGGGUAUAUCCGGGAUGUCCAGUGAUAGUAGAGGAUGUUGUUAUGCCGGCUAAUCUUAUGUCGUUGGAUAUUAUGGAUUUUGAUGUGAUUUUGGGCAUUGAUUGGUUGCACUAUAAUCGUGCCAAGAUAGAUUGUUAUGGGAAGACAGUCACAUUUCAUCGUAUCGGAUUACCUGAAGUUACAUUUGUAAGAGAGCCUAGUAGGGUGAGACAUGGUAUUAUUUCAACUAUGAAAGCAAAGAGAAUGUUGUCGAAAGGUUGUCAGGGAUAUUUGGCUCAUGUGGUGUUGAAUGAUGAUGCUCCUAGUAGUGUGGAAGAUGUUCGUGUGGUCAGAUAUUUUUCGUAUGUAUUCCCUAAGGAUUUGCCUGGAUUGCCGCCAGAUAGAGAGGUGGAGUUUGUUAUUGAUCUACUUCCAGGUACGAAUCCUAUAUCCUUAACUCUUUAUAAAAUGGCUCAUGCUGAAUUGAGGGAAUUGAAAGUACAGUUGCAAGAGUUAGUGGAUAAAGUUUUUAUUCACCCGAGUACUUCACAUUGGGGAGCUCCAGUUUUAUUCGUGAGGAAGAAAGAUGGAACUUUGAGGCUGUGCAUUGAUUACAGGCAAUUGAAUCGGGUAACCAUUAAAAACCGUUAUCCAUUGCCUCGUAUAGAUGAUUUAUUUGAUCAACUCAGAGGUGCCUGUGUAUUUUCUAAGAUUGACUUGAGGUCGGGAUACUAUCAGUUGAAGAUUAAAAAUGAAGAUGUCCCUAAAACCGCAUUCAGGACUCGAUAUGGUCAUUAUGAGUUUCUUGUGAUGUCAUUCGGGUUAACUAAUGCACCAGCAGCUUUUAUGGAUUUGAUGAAUCGAGUAUUCCAGCCAUAUUUGAACAGGUUUAUUAUUGUCUUCAUUGACGAUAUUCUGGUAUAUUCUAAGUCUAAGGCUGAGCAUGCUAGACAUCUAAAGUUGGUGUUGAGCAGUUUGAGGGAACACCAACUAUAUGCUAAGUUUAGCAAAUGUGAAUUUUGGUUGAAUCAAGUAUCAUUUUUGGGACAUGUCGUUUCUUCUCAAGACAUUCAAGUGGAUUCUCAGAAAGUGGCAGCUGUGGAGAAUUGGGAACAACCUCGAACCGUCACCGAGAUACGGAGUAUUCUUGGCCUAGCAGGCUAUUAUAAACGGUUCGUUAAGGAUUUUUCAGUGAUUGCUUUGCCAUUGACGGGGUUAACUCGAAAGGAUGUUAAGUUUGAGUGGGAUAAUAAGUGUGAGCAAAGUUUUCAGCAGUUGAAAUAUUAUCUCACUCAUGCACCUGUUCUAACACUUCCAGAUGAUAACGGUAAUUAUGAGGUCUAUAGUUAUGCUUCUCUUAAUGGUUUGGGUUGUGUAUUGAUGCAACAUGAUAGGGUAAUUGCUUAUGUUUCGAGACAGUUGAAACCUCAUGAGAAGAAUUACCCUACACAUGAUUUGGAGUUAGCAGCUAUCAUCUUUGCCUUGAAGAUUUGGAGACAUUAUCUUUAUGGUGAGAAAUGCAAGAUCUUCACAAAUCAUAAGAGUCUUCAGUAUUUGUUUACUCAGAGAGAUCUUAAUCUUCGACAGCGGAGGUGGAUUGAGUUACUUAGUGACUAUGAUUGCACGAUUGAGUAUCAUCCUGGUCAUGUAAAUGCUGUGGUGAAUGCACUUAGUUGGAAAACUCCAGUCAGACUUAAUGCCAUUUAUGAUUGCCACGUUCCUCUUCUAGCAGAUUUGAGAUCCACUGGAGUGGAGUUAGGAGUGGAAGAUCGAGAAGAAGCCUUGCUUACUAAUUUUCAGGUUAGGCCAAUUUUAAUUGACCGUGUGCUUGAAGCUCAGAUGUAUGAUGAGGAGACCCAGGAAAUAAUUCAAGCAAGAAAUCAAAGAAAAAAUAAAGAUUUCGGGAUUCGAGAAUAUGAUGGUAUGCUUAUGCAGGAAAGCAGAAUGUAUGUGCCAAAUAAUGCAGAGUUAAAGAAAGAAAUUUUGGAUGAAGCACACAUUUCAGCAUAUGCGAUGCAUCCAGAAGGCACUAAGAUGUAUCAUGCCAUUAGACCAUUUUAUUAUUGGCCAGGUAUGAAAAGAGAAAUUGCCGAAUAUGUGAGUAGGUAUGCCAUUUGCCAAUAGGUUAAAGUUGAAAGGAAGAAGCCGUUUAGGUUGAUGCAACCACUUCCCGUUCCACAGUGGAAAUGAGAAAAUAUUACUAUGAAUUUUGUGUACAAGCUUCCUCGUACACAGAAUGGAUAUGACGGCAUUUGGGUGGUAGUUGAUCGGCUUACGAAGUCAGCACAUUUUAUUCCAGUGAGGGAGAAGUAUUCGUUAAGCCGAUUAGCUAAGUUAUUUACAUCGCAGAUUGUGAAGUAUCAUGGUGUGCCAGUUAAUAUUAUCUCAAAUCGGGAUCUCAGAUUUACUUCCAAGUUCUGGAUAGCAUUCCAGGAAGCUCUUGGUACGAGAUUGCUUUAUAGUACAGCAUAUCACUUUUAGACAGAUGGACAAUCUGAUAGAACUAUUCAGACAUUAGAGGAUAUGUUGAGAUCUUCAAUGCUGCAGUUUUGAGAUAGUUGGCAUGAUUGUUUGGAUUUGAUGGAGUUCGCCUACAACAACAGUUAUCAUUCGAGUAUUAGUAUGGCACCAUUUGAGGCACUUUAUGGGAAAUCUUGUCGUACGCCUCUAUGUUGGUCAGAGGUUGGCGAAAUAGUUUUAGUGGGCCAGAGAUUGUGGAUGUGACUACUCAAAAUGUUCAGGUAAUUAAGUCUAACCUGAAAGCGGCCCAAGAUCGACAAAAGAGAGUAGCAGACAAGCACGCCACUGAUCGGAAGUAUAAUGAAGGUCAUUGGGUACUUCUAAAGCUAUCAUCUUGGAAGGGUGUUGUACGAUUUGGAAAGAAAGGAAACUUGAGUCCUAGGUACAUUGGACCAUAUAUGAUCACCGAACGAGUUGGUGAGGUUGCUUACAGGCUUGAGUUGCCUCCAGAGUUAUCCAAAGUGCACGAUGUGUUUCAUGUUUCGAUGCUCCGACAUUAUGUUUCAGAUCCUUCACAUGUGAUUCCUCCUCAACCUUUGGAAAUUAAUCCGGAUUUGACUUAUGAUAAGGAACCAAUGACUCUAUUGGAUUGGAAGGAUAAGGAACUAAGGAAUAAGACUGUGCGCUUGGUGAAAGUAUUAUGGAGAAAUCAUUCAGUGGAAGAAGCUACUUGGGAGACCGAGGAUCAAAUGAGAGAGAUGUAUCCAUGCUUGUUCUAUGAUUAUUAGUGGAUGUAUUGGUUGUAUGUAAUUUCGAGGACGAAAUUUUAUAAGGUGGGGAGAUUGUCACAGCCUGUCCCGGAAGAUUAUUCUCGAUGACGUGAAGUGACAAUUUUACCCUUGGACGUUAAAGUAUGUUGUGUGAUUUAAAUUGGAUUUUGGACCCAUUCAUUAAUUUCCUAAGUCUUUGGACCCAAUUGGAAGUAAGGAAAUUGUUUGUUUUGAUUGGUGACCCAAAAAUCUGGACCACACAUCUUUUCUCUCUCUCACUCUCCCGUACUUUCUCUUUUCUCUCUCGGACUCACACUCUUUUCCCUCUCCUCCGUACAGACAACCUUGAACCAAGCCAAAUCUUCACAGAUCGAGGAAGAAAAUGGUACCAUUGUGUUCGUGAGGACCAUACGAGUUCAAAGGUACCCAUUUCAGGUAAGUACUCGUUCGAUAUCACGUUAAAAACUCAAGCUUCGAGUUGAGCACUAUUCAUGAACUUUUGAAUGGUUAUGUUUUAGGACAAUCCAAGCUCACAGCGAGCUCUAGGAGGUUCUCACGAAGCUCAGAGUGCUUCGUUGGCUCGGUUUUGACGUCGGGAUCACGAGGUUCGAAGGUGGCCAGUUUUGGUAGAAUUUUCCCGACUAGUUUUCGAGGGAUUUGAAGCUCCCAAGAGGUAUAACCUUCUUCCUCUCGUGAUUUAUGGCAUUCUGGUGAAAAUUGUGUGAAAAAUGGUGCAAAAACGAGCGAGAAAAAGGCAGUUGCAGGGUAUGCCCAAAAUCCGGCGUCGGCGACACUGUUCUGGCGUUUGGAGGUUGAAGAUGAUGCGCGUGGGGCCGUGCCCUCCCCGGCGCGUGAGGGCUCGUGAGCCACAGAAAAUUUAUUUUAAAAAUAUCACGAUGUUCGUGAGGUUGUGUAGGUCGCGUUGGUAUAUUCAAAUACCAAAAUUGAGCUUUGUAUGAGAAGUUAUUAGCUAGUUUUGUGUAUGUGCUUUAAAAUAACGUUUUUAUCGUUAAUUCACAUAUAGGUGAGACUUAUCCUGAGGACGAGCGUAUCCACGGUCGACUCAGGGGUUACGACCCGUCGACAUACCAGUGAGUGGGCUUUUAGUUUUCAGUAUAUAAUUAUAUACUUGAUAUUUUCCCAGAAAAAUAUGUUUAAAUGAUAAUAUGCCAUAAAUGCCAUGCAUAUACAAUUAUGUUUCGUGUAUGAAUUGGUGUGUGAUACCUUAUAUAUAUAAAUGUGGUGUUGUGGAGGCACAGGUAAGUUCAGAUAAGUUAUGUUUGGUUAUGUGAAUCAUCGAUGAUGUGAUAUGUGAUUGAAUAAUGUUGAGCUCAUUAAACUGCACCUAGGGUGAUUGUGAUUUAGCCAGUGAUAUGAAGUACUUACCUAUUUAUUUACGUCACCUCCCGCACUAUAUGCUCAUAUUGGAUCCAACUUAAGUGCACAGUCUUGUCGUACAAACCUUAUUUAUGGUUCCGACUCGUAGGUGACUAGCGAUUUAUCUCCCGGCUAUUAUGAGAGUAAAAUUGAGCAUAAUUAUAUUACAUCCAAUCUUGUCGUACAAACCCCUUUUUAGUGGUUCCGACUUAUGUGCAAUAUAUUGUCGUAUAGGUCAUUGUACUGACUCUGACUAGAUUGACUUUUGAGCUAUGAAGUCAGCCGUACAGACUACCACAUGGGUUCCGGCUAACAUAUCAUAUUUCUAUGAAAUCAUUCUUACCUGGAUUGUUUACUUUGUUAUAUUUUGGAAUGGCAUACAUAUGCUUAUGAUUAUGUGAAGUAUGAUUUGAAUUGAUAUAUUUUCAUAUUCAUUUAUGUAUAUGCUUAUAUUCUGAUUCUGGAAAAAAUUAUACAUGUUUUACAACGAGGGGUUAUAUAUGUUAAUAAAUGAAAUGGUUUUGUAAAACAUUUGUUUUUGCCCACUCACGUUUUCUGUUUUGCGCCCCUCCAGGUUUUAAGUAAGCUUGAUGUUGGUGGCUUGAUGACGUCGGCAAUUCUGACCUAUCUAAAUAAUAGUAGGACAUUCCUGGUACUGUAUAACUAGUAUUUGUCCUACUGGACUACACCUAAACUUUAUGCUCUGAUUAGGAGUGUUUACUGUUGUAACUAACUCCUAUCACUCCCUGUUUAAUAGUGCACUCUAGUAAUGUGAUUCUUAAUUAUUCGUAUAUUUUCUUAUCAUUAUUGUUUCCGCACUGUGCACAUGGCUACGUCACUCUCACGUGACGGCCAGCAUGCUUUUAUCUCGGUCGGGGUGUGUCAAUUUAUUUUUAAAUUGACUAAAAUGCAAAAUUCUCAUAUAUUAAAAAAAAUUGCGGUAAUUAUAAAGGAAUUUUAAUGAAAAACCCGCAGUACUAUUUAUUUUAACGAAAAAUUACAUUUUUACAUUAAAAAGUCAAUCCUUAUACUAUUCACUUUACUUUUUAUUUUGUCCUUAUCGUUAAAACUCAAAAAUUUUAAACUAUUUUUAUUAGUUUUCCUUAAUUAUAAAGGAUCCAUCCAUCUGAACUAUUUGCAGUUUUACUUAAAAAAAUUUAGUUCACAUACGUCUCCGUCAUCCAUUUAUGAUUACAUGACUAAAAUUUCACAUUCGUCUCAAUCAACCAUGUAUGUUAAAAUUGACUAAAUGCAAAAUUCUCAUAUAUUAAAAAAAAUUAAUUGCAAUAAUUAUAAAAAAGUUUUAAUGAAAAGUUUGCGGUACUGUUUACUUUAAAGAAAAAUCACAUUUUUACACUAAAAAAUCAAUAUUGAUUCUAUUCGUUUUAACCUUUAUUUUGUCUUUAUGAUUAAAACUCAAAGUUUUCAAACCAUUAUCAUUAGUUUUCUUUAAUUACAAGGUAUCUAUCCAUCUAAACUAUUUGCAGUUUUACUUAAAAAAAAUAUUUCACAUACGUCUUAGUCAUCCAUUUAUGAUUACAUGACUAAAAUUCACAUACGUCUCAUCAACCAUUUAGGUUAAAAUUGACUAAAAUGCAAAAUUCUCAUAUAUUAAAGUCUUUAAAUUGGAUCCUUAUGAAAGAAUUUCACUUGGGUGUGUAUGCAUAUCUUUAGCUGAAUCUGACCGGCCUUCGGUAUCGGUAAAAAAAAAGGUUUUCAAAAUCAUUUUUAUGAUAUUUUUCUACUAGAAUUUGUCUUUGAUUAGUAUUUUGCAUGGACUAUGUUCGAGAGAGAGCGACCAAACUUGAUAUCGGCAGGCGUUCACUGUUUAGUAAUACAUAGUCCAUACAAAUUUUGGUGCUGAUUAUCUAAAUUACAUAUUAAUAAAAUUUUCAUUGUCAACCAAAAGUUUAUGAAAUUACCAUUCUAACCCUUUAAUUAAAACUAAACAUAUAUAAGGAAUGUAGGCAGUAAUAUAAUUUUACACAACCAAAUUUUUUUUUUUUUCAAAGCCGCACUUAUAUGUGAUUCUAAUAUAUCUCUAAUUUAAAAAUUAAAAAGUAAAGCUCUCUCCUCUCUCUCCCUAUCCCACGCUCUCUCUCCCUCUUUUCCUCUCUCCUUCCAUUUUAAAUACAAAAAAUACAAAAUUUUCACACACAUUUUGUAUGUGGUCAUAUGCUAGUAUUCCACAUUAUGAUCCAAUACUUUUUGGUAAUUUAGGUCAACUACAUAUUAAUAAAAUCCUCAUUGUCAACCAAAAGUUUAUGAAAUUACUAUUCUAACCCUUUAAUUAAAACUGAACAUAUAUAAGAACUGUGGGCAGUAAUAUAAUUUCACACAAUCAAAAUUUUGUUUUUUUUUUCAUAGCCUCACCUAUAUGUGAUUCUAACAUAACUCUAAUUAAAAAAUAUAAAAAGUAAAGCUCUCUCCUCUCUCUCCCCAUCCCACGCUUUCUCUCUCUUUUCCUCUCUCCUUCCAUUUUAAAUACAAAAAAUACAAAAUUUUCACACACAUUUUGUGUGUGGGCAUAUACUAGUAUUCCGCAGUAUGAUCCAAUACUUUUUGGUAAUUUAGGUUAUGAUAAUCAAUUCAAUAACUCCCAACUUAUACCUAUAUAGCCAAAAGUAAUAUAAGGGGCAGAUUUAUGUCACCAUAUUUUUACACAACUUUUGAUACUUGUUUUUGUGAGGCUCAUUCCGUAAUGUAUUUCAAGGAUCCAAACGUCUAUAUUUUAGGUUUCCCUCAAAUAUUAUGUUUACCAAAAAUCACUUAAAUAUGAAAUCAUAUGACCGUUGAAUGUCUUAACGGUUUUAUAUUUGGUUCAUUUUUUGCAAGAAUGAUAUAUGAAAAAAUUUCUCAAAAAUAGAUGGUUCAUUUUUUGGUUUUAAGGGCAAGUAAGGUAACACAAGUCAUUGACUUCCGUUCGUGUCCUUCGAGGUCCACUCAUUCCCUCCCCUCAAGCGAAUAAAAAGCUGUAUUUCAGACUCAUUCUCCUUACAAGUCUGUCGUCUUUCUUCGCCACUCUCACAAAUUUUCAUACAUACAAUCCAACAAAUUCCAAAACCUCUCAACAUAUUCCAUCCAGCUAGCUGCACAAACUGAUUCUUUUGUCUCUGGUUUUCUCUUCAAAUGUGAAAGACUUUGCCUAGAAAAAUGAUGAUUAUGUUCUUCCCUCGACUUCUUCCUCAUUCUCUUUUCUUUGUAGCUUGCUUUGUAACUUUUGCCUUUGGAGCUACUCGAUUGCCAAAUGAUGAAGGUACGAGUAUAAAUCUUUCUUAGUUUCCUUUUCUUCAUUCUUUAAAUGAUAGUUUUAAGUUCGUUUGAUAAUUUUUUUUGAGUUUUCAAAUUUGGUUUGGGUUGAUUUUGGUUUUCAGUUUACAUUUUUCCGAGAAGUGAAAACGGUUACCAUAAAUUAAAAAAUCAAAAUAAAAAUGUUUAUCAAAUGGACCUUAGGCAAAGAGAUAUUUGUGUGAACUUAGUAGAAAUUUUCAAUCAUAUGAUGCUGAGGUGCACUCUGUAGUUCUUGUCUAUGCGUCAAUUUUAUUUUAUUUUUACUAUUUUGUUCAGCACGAUGUUAAUUUGUUGCAUUUUAUUUUGGCGUAUAUGCAGUGCAAACUUUGAAAGGCAUAGCAAAGACACUGGGGAAGACGGGCUGGGAUUUCAGUGGAGACGCAGAUCCAUGCAGCGGCCAAUCUCCAUGGACUAAUACAAGCUCACCGAAAGAAAUUCAGAAUACCAUCAUCUGUCAUUGCUCCGAUGAAAACUCCACUGUCUGCCAUAUUACCAACAUGUAAAUCUCUCUCUCUCUCUCUCUCUCUCUCUCUCUCUCUCUCUCAAAAACAAACAUGCCCGACUCAGAACUCAGUGAGAUUUUUAAGUGUGCUUCCGGAACAUGAUAUAACACGUGUUAUUAUAUAAAUUGUGGGUUACUUGUGUGAAAAAGUAGCACAAUUUGAAAAAUAAAACCUCAUUCUACUUAUAUAACAACAUGUGAUGUACGUUCCGAACACAAUUAAAAAUUUCUGGAUAAACAGUUUACUCGUUGUGUGUUUGAACGAGUUCCAUCUCAUGCAAUAUAUAGAAAUAUUAAGAGCAAAAUAAAGAAAAAGUUGAGAAAAUAAUUAGCCAAUUAGGUGCUAAAUUAGUCGAAUAACUUGACUAAGCAAAAGCAACGUACAUAUUAGGCUCCUUUUGUUGUGAAAGGUUGAGAAGGAUAGGAUCAAAGUUGUUCAGUCUUUGUCAUACCAAUCACAUUAAAGAGAAAAAACAAGAAAGGUCUACGUCCACGUACCAUCCAGUCGAUGAGUGAAGAAAUAUUAAAAAAAAAAGUCAUUGUUUUUCACUUAUAUUAUGAUAUGUGAUGUACUGCUUGAAAAAAUCUCUACUUAAUGAGUGCUAGUAGCACAAUUUGAAAAAUAAAACCUCAUUCUACUUAUAUAACAACAUGUGAUGUACGUUCCGAACACAAUUAAAAAUUUCUGGAUAAACAGUUUACUCGGUGUGUGUUUGAACAAGUUCCAUCUCAUGCAAUAUAUAGAAAUAUUAAGAGAAAAAUAAAGAAAAAGUUGAGAAAAUAAUUAGCCAAUUAGGUGCUAAAUUAGUCGAAUAACUUGACUAAGCAAAAGCAACGUACAUAUUAGGCUCCUUUUGUUGUGAAAGGUUGAGAAGGAUAGGAUCAAAGUUGUUCAGUCUUUGUUAUACCAAUCACAUUAAAGAGAAAAAACAAGAAAGGUCUACGUCCACGUACCAUCCAGUCGAUGAGUGAAGAAAUAUUAAAAAAAAAAGUCAUUUUUUUCACUUAUAUUAUGAUAUGUGAUGUACUGCUUGAAAAAAUCUCUACUUAAUGAGCGCUAGUAGCACAAUUUGAAAAAUAAAACCUCAUUCUACUUAUAUAACAACAUAUGAUGUACGUUCCGAACACAAUUAAAAAUUUCUGGAUAAACAGUUUACUCGUGUGUUUGAACGAGUUCCAUCUCAUGCAAUAUAUAGAAAUAUUAAGAGAAAAAUAAAGAAAAAGUUGAGAAAAUAAUUAGCCAAUUAGGUGCUAAAUUAGUCGAAUAACUUGACUAAGCAAAAGCAACGUACAUAUUAGGCUCGUUUUGUUGUGAAAGGUUGAGAAGGAUAGGAUCAAAGUUUUUCAGUCUUUGUUAUACCAAUCACAUUAAAGAGAAAAAACAAGAAAGGUCUACGUCCACGUACCAUCCAGUCGAUGAGUGAAGAAAUAUUAAAAAAAAAGUCAUUUUUUUCACUUAUAUUAUGAUAUAUGAUGUACUGCUUGAAAAAAUCUCUACUUAAUGAGCGCUUUCUCCUACAUAGAAUUUUUUUUUGUCAAAAAAUAGAUUUUGUUAGGUUAAAUGUUAAAUUAGUCAGCAACGGGGUUUGAAUCCACGUCAUCAUGUAAGAGCUCAACACUUUUCUACCACUGUGGUAAAGGGUCACUUGCCUCCUAUAGAUAAAAUUAACUAUGCAUGUAGACUAAGCGAGACGAAUAACUUACAUUGAACAAGUUAAAUAUCAUAAAAUUAAUACGUGCAAAUUUUUCUUAGCAUGAUAUAUAAUAUUAUAUCAAAAAUAUUAAAAAUAAUAAAUUUGUUCGAUGUAAACUGAUCACAAUUGUGCGGGAGAGAUGUUUUUAUUUCAGAGAGGGGAUUAGCUGGUGAUUUCGUCACAACAGUUUACCCUUUCAAAAGUCGAGAAAAUUCAUAGAGACAACAAUAGAGAUGUUGAUUAGAUGGUUGGAAUUCGGUUUAGUGGACCCCAUGUCUAUUUGGUAUAAAGUAUCAAUCAAUUUUUCAUUACAUGUCCCCUAACCUAACCCCAAGCCCAUGAAACCUCCAAAAUGAUCACAAGUGUGCGAGGAGAGAUGUUUUUCUUUCAAAAUGGGAAUUAACUAGUGAUUUCGUCAGGAUAGUUCACCUUUUCGAAAGUGGGAAAAACUUAUAAAAACAACGAGAGAUGUUGAUUAGAUGGUUGGCAUUCGGGUUUGUGGACCCCACGUCUAUUUAGUAUAAAGUAACAAUCAAUUUUUCAUUACAUGUCUCCUAACCUAACCCCAAGCCCAUGAAACCUCCAAAAUAAAGUAGGAAUUAUAAGGUCUAGUGUGGGCCUCAUCGAGUUGCAUAUUGGCAACUUAGCACGUCGCAUUCACUCAUUCAACCUUAUGUCGGGCCAGGUAGCUAGACCGAUUGAUUUCAAUUAGAUUUGAAGGAUGUUAGUUUAAAGGGUGUGAUAUCCACACAUCACAUUUUAUUUCUCACACAUCUCUUUAAUUUUCGGCCGUCGGAUCGGAUGAAUUGAAGACUAUCAAUGGACAUAAAUUAUCAAAGAUGUGUGGGCCUCAUCAAGUUGCAUAUUGGCAACUUGGCACGUUGCAUUCACUCAUUCAACCUUAUGUCGGGCCAGGUAGCUAGACCGAUUGAUUUCAAUUAGAUUUGAAGGAUGUUAGUUUAAAGGGUGUGAUAUCCACACAUCACAUUUUAUUUCUCACACAUCUCUUUAAUUUUCGGCCGUCGGAUCGGAUGAAUUGAAGAAUAUCAAUGGACAUAAAUUAUCAAAGAUGUGUGAGAAGUAAAAUGGGGUGUGUGGAUAGCACACCCCUAGUUUAAUAGCACAAUCGAGCUCGUUUGUUUCUUUGUGAUUUUCUCACGCCCCGACCCUAGCUUCAGAGAGAUUUUUUAGUGUGCUAGGAGUACAGUCCGGUACAUCAAGUAUCAUAAUACAAGUGGUUAAAUACUUGAAAAAGAACUUCCAACCGUUUGUAUUAUGACACUUAAUGAACCAGAUUUGUUCCUUACACACAAAAUUUCUCUUAGCUUCGGGGGCGUAAAGAUUUUAAGGCUCUUAUUUUAUAUAUGUAAAGCAAGUAAAUGUUGCUACUGUUUAGAGCUAUGAAAAGUGAUCAUCACUCGUCAUUUUCUCUUCAUGCACAUUAUUGAUUUCUAGCCUUUCACGUUUCAAGGGACAUGAAUAAAACCAAGUUAUGCAAUAAUCAUUUUCUUAAAGCUAUAAGUUAUUUUUGACAUGUAAGUUGGAUUGAAAAUUUCGAUUUCAACCAAUUCUGUUUUUGUCGGUUUACGAACAAAAAUAUGAAGAAAAUUGGAACGCAUCUUAAAAUUAGGCUACUUUUGCCGUCGUUAUACAAUCACUAAUUUGUGAUCCAUCAGUGGGUAUAAAGCCAACGUUAUUAUGAUAUCUCUAGACCCUAGUGGGGUUUCCAUUUUCCCAAAUCCUUUACCCUCGGGAUUUUUAAUUUUUCUUCAACCGGCAACCAAUUGGAAGUUUUUCUUGGUCUAAUAAGACCUUGUUGCGCCUUCAAAUUCAAGAAAUGCAGAAGGACUGAUCCAUUUCUUUUAUUGAAUGACCAAUUAAACAUCAAUUACAACCUACCAUGGACCGCAAUUCAAGUUUAGUUUAUCUGCAAAAUCGAGUUCAUGGGAUGUGACCAAUUUGCUCAAUUACUAUAGCAAUGUGUUUUUGAGCUGGCCAUGAGCCAGCAUAGGCGUUCUGUGGUACGCUGAGUUGUUAGAACUUGGUAAUACUGCUGUGCUGUAUUUAGGCUUGAUUCUUACAUACUUGAUCAACGUACAAAAUUUCGCAGUCACGAAGAUUCUUGCAUACUUCUUAUACACGAACAACUCUGUAUCGGCCUAGUUAUUCGUUACAAAGUCAAUGAAAGAAUGAUUCAUAGUGUGCUUGUAACAAAUACACAUUUACCGUUUGUGUAAUUCCUCAAGUUUUAUUCUUUCUAAAGAACAUUGGACAUUUUCCUUCAGUUUUAAAGUAUGAAAACCAGUUCCUUCUUCCUAUUUAAUUCCCUGACCAAAAGUAAGUAUUUUCUGUGAUAAAUUAGUGUUUUACCUGUUUGGUCUCAUUUCUGUGGCAGCUUUUCCUUUUAGUCACAGUAUAGAUGCAUAAUGAAUAUCUGUUAAUUUGCAACUAAUCUUUGAAACAUUAUUUUCUGAAAACACAGAAUUCUAAAAGCCCAAGAUUUGAAAGGAACACUCCCACUAGAGCUGGUAGAUCUCACCUAUCUUCAAGAAAUGUAAGCACAUUUUUACCCCUCCAAGUUUACAUUAUUUAAAAGAAAAUAACUUUGUAUCGUGUAAAUCGUUUAUUCUAAUUUCAUAUAUAGCUUACCUUUAUGUCUGUUGCCAAUGAGACAAUAACUGGUUUCUUUCUUUCUCCUUCAGCGACCUGACCCGCAACUACCUGAGCGGUACCAUCCCUCCAGAAUGGAGCUCUCUUCCACUUUUGAACAUGUACUGUCUUCUCUCAAACUGCAUGCACUUCUGUGUUUGAUGUUCGUGUCAUGUUCUUAUUGCUUCAUUUGGUCACUCCAAUGUUCUUCAGCCAUUUCUUUCUUAAACUAUAAAUCUACUACAUUUGGUUUUGUUCAUGAUGAUGGGCUUCCGUGGUCAUGAGGCGUUUGAAUCAUAAAUAUUGAAUCGAACACAUGGGGUUCAUUGCCUUCGUAUUGACGAACAUGUUAAUGUUAUUGAGCCUCUUGCUUGAUAAAAGUGAUAUUAAGACUAGUUUUUGAUACAGAUCCCUUCUUGGAAAUCGUUUGACCGGUUCUAUCCCCAAAGAGCUCGGAAACAUCACCACCCUGAAGAGUUUGUGAGUGUUGAUUGCGCAUUUGUUUCUUGCUUACCCCAUUUGAUUCCAUGGAGAUCCUUAAUGAUGUUUUUUUAAUCAAUGGAAUUGAAUUUGUUUGUAUAGGGACAUCAGUUUCAAUAAUUUCUCUGGACCUCUCCCUCAGGAGCUUGGAUCUUGGGCCCACAUAGAAAGAUUGUAAGAGUCCUUUUCGAAUUUUACCGUGUUAAAAAGUAUUUGGUUUAUUUGGAGUUUUCUUUCUUGUAGACAAAUUCUGGAUGUUUUCACUAGUAAAUCAUCUACUUCUUUAUCAUUGAUAUAAUGGUUAUAUCUAUUUCGUACUUAGGCUGCUUUGCUCAAACAACUUUACUGGGGAGUUGCCAGAAACAUUUGCAAAGCUUACCAAAAUAAAGGACUUGUAAGUUUCUGUGGUUCUUUCUUCUUAAAGGUUUCCCGAGCACUUAUACAUUUUUUUUACUGCUUUCUGAUACUAAUUCGUAUUUUCCCUUUUCUCCAAUCAUUAUGCAGUCGGGUUAGUGACAGUCACUUUUUCGGGCAGAUACCUGAUUUUAUUAAGAACUGGGCAAAUCUUGAAAAACUGUGAGUGUUUUUCUUUUGUGUGUCAUCUUUCUGCUAUUUGAUUCUGAAUAUUAUCUCUAAUUCAUAUGUUAUGACUCGUUGAAACAGAGUGAUUCAGGCUAGCGGUUUGACAGGGCCAAUUCCUCCUGGCAUUUCUCGUUUGACAAACUUAACUGACUUGUUAGUAUAUCCCGUCUCUAUUUUUAAAUACAAAACGAUUAGCGAUAUGUGUAGUUUAUGUUCAUGGCUCAAUUUUAACAUGCAGGAGAAUCACUGACUUGAGUGGACCUGAAUCACCCAUUCCUUCGCUCGAGAAGAUGAAAAACAUGAAGACACUGUGAGUUAAUGGUUCCAUGACACACAAUUUCUGUCUGUACCAGAAGUCUUCUGUAAACUCAUAGCUUUGGAGUCUGUUGCAGGAUGUUGAGGAGUUGCAACCUUACUGGAAAGAUACCUCUAUAUCUUGCACAAAUGAAAAACUUGAAAACUUUGUAAGUACAAAUGUCUUGGUCCCUAUUUUUUCCGUCUUCAAAUAAAAAAUUUCUUCUAGAUGUGAUUCUACUAAUUCAAGAAUUAUUGAAGUGACUUAGACAAUGUUGGGCGGACUUUAUGUUUCUGUAUUUAUUAAGAGAACAUCUCUUUCAGAUGUCAUUUCCCUCUCUGUAGAGAGCACAACUAAACUGCGUUUGCUAUUUGUUUGUGCAGAGACCUCAGCUUUAACAAGCUGACCGGAGAAAUUCCAAGCAGCUUCGAUAGUCUACCAAAUGUGGCUUAUAUGUAAGCAAUUGGAAUGACCAAUCCAGUCUUUCUUACAUGAAAUUCAAGCAGACAUUCUUCAAUGGUUUUGUUACACCCCAGCCUGACAAGCUGGAAGUAUUUCAAAUCACGAUUACUAUAAUUAUGAGUCACGGAUUAUACUGCAAUGAAAAUGAAAACGGCUCCUCUGCUCAGAAAUGAAAUGUUUAGUUUAUUCAUUAGAGUCAUUACUGCUUAUGCAAUUAAUUAACAUAAGGUGAUCACCUUUAGAUGUGUCUUUCAGAUGGAAGUACCGAUCUAAUCCACUUAGAGUUGGCAAACUCAAGUUUUCAAACCUUUACAGAGAAAUUCCUAAGAACAAACACUAUAUUCUUUACUGAGUUUUUUUCUGUAUUCAUUAUUUUUAGAUUCUUAACUGGAAACUUGCUGACUGGACCUGUACCUGCUUGGCCAAGAGUCAACGUGUAAGCUUCUCUUCCAAAUGCUACUCUUUAGCUACUAAGGAAAUUUAUGCUGUUUUUUUUACUAAGAUAGAUAUAAAACUAUUAAGCUCAUAACUUAUUUCACUAAUUCUAAUCAGCUAGAGACCUACAAUUCAACAGAAUUUGCAUCAUAGCUCUUUUUGUGCAGUGAUCUUUCGUAUAACAACCUCGCCAUAGAGGAUGCAAGUUGUCAACCACGAGGUGGCACGUAAGAAUGUCUUCAUUAGCUUGAAGUUAAUCUGUUUGUGUUAUGUGGAGAUAAGCUUAACUUUUCAUUUGUGUUAAUUUCUGCAGUAACUUGUUUGCAAGCUCGUCAAAAGGAAAUAGUUCGUAAGUUCAAAUUAAUCAUCUCAAAGCAUGCACCUAUAAAUUUACUUCGGUAUCCAAUGGUGUAUUCUUUACUAUUUUUUUUUCCAAUUUCGUCUCAUUUAUGAUUGCUGACAUUUUUUGUACCCUGAAUUACUAUAUCCGGAGAAUUAUUUCAUGUUUCAAAACUUCAGAGUGUCCAAAAUGUAAGCCGAGUUUCUACACAAAUAAUUACCUUUAUUUUUUCGAUUCAUUCUUUUUUAGUUUUCCUCCUCAAUGCCUACUAAUCUCCAAUUUAUUUUUUCAUAGAUUUGUACUACUCUCUCCAUAUAAAUUGUGGUGGGAAACAAUUUACGGUCCCUGGAGGAAAAGAUACAGUAUAUGGUGAUGACACAUUUUCUGCUGGACCUUCAUCAUUUUACAAGAGCACAACAAAUUGGGCAUUAAGCAGCACCGGUUACUUCCCUGAUGAUGACCGCCCUUAUGACACCUUUACAUGGACUAAUGAAACUAGACUCUCUAUGGCCAAUCCUCAACUGUACAUGAACGCACGCCUUUCUCCCAUAUCUCUAACUUAUUUUGGGUUUUGUCUGGGAAAUGGAAACUACACCGUAAACCUCCAUUUUGCAGAGAUAAUGUUUAGAAAUGGCAAAACAUAUAAAAGCUUGGGAAGGCGCAUAUUUGAUAUUUACAUUCAGGUAAGUAUCGCAUCCACUUCCAUAUAUACCAGUGAAUUAUUCUAAUUUUCAACAAGCAUUGUUUAUAUUUUGGUCGAUUUGAAUGUUAACUUUCACAUUUAUGAUCAUGAAAUGUUAAGCAACUAAAUUAGUAUAUAUACAUAUAUAUAUUGCAGGGAAAACUAGUGAAGAAGGACUUCAAUAUCAUGGAUGAGGCUGGUGUGUUUGGUGAUGUAGUCAUACAGAACUUUACUGCUCCUGUAACUAAUAAUACAUUGGAGAUUCGUUUCUUUUGGGCUGGGAAAGGGACGACGGCCAUCCCUUAUAGAGGAGUCUAUGGUCCACUUAUUUCAGCUAUUUCAGUAGACCCAAGUAAGUUUUCACUGAUCUGAGCUUCGUCUAAUUACUAUGUGUCGACCCUAUGCAUUGAUAUAUCUACUAAAUUAAGAGAUCCGAUUUCAGUUCUGAAAGGUUCUUCUUCUUCAAUAUUUCCUUUCCCUUGUAAUUUCACAAAAAUGCUUCUGUGUUUUUCUCCUGUUUUACGUAGUUUGAGCCAAGACUUGAUAAUAUGUUGUUUUUUUCUAGGUGACGAGUAUGCGCUUUUAAAAACAACAAAAUUCAACUUUGAGGAUUUUUAACUAUUUACUUGAAAACUAUCCAGUUCACUUAAGGAAACAUAUAAUAUUUACAACCAUCCAAAGAAAGUUUGUUCGAGGGAUUACUUAUACUAUCUACUUAUUUAAGGAUGCCCCAAAGACCGGGUUCAAUCUUUUGUUUCUGUGUGCAUUAGAUAGCUGGUUGAGUAAUCCACUCUCAUAUCAAUUACAUUUACAUUUACUCUAAUUUAAGCUAUAUUCUUUCUUCCGACAGACUUUGAUCCCCCGCAACCUGGUGGAAGUGGCAUGCCUGUACGUGCCGUGGUUGGAAUUGUGGUUGGAGGAGUCUUCAUUAUACUACUGAUAUUUGGUAUUCUUUGGAAGAGAGGCCUCCUAGGACAACAAAAGACAUUGGAGGAUG